GGAUUUUCUAGAACUUCAAAAUGAUUAAUGGAGAAAGAUCCCAUUAUCGUUAUUGCUAUAAGAAAUUGAUUUAUGCAUCCAAAGAUACAUUAUAUAUUUCUGUGUCUCUAUUUAUAGAUGACAUUUAAGCAUCCAUAAACCGUCAGACAGAGGAAGGGGGUUCAGUGCAAAGAUUCUGUUGACCUAGGGUUGACUGCAUAAUGUCACUUGUUCGCAAUCUAUUAUUUAUUUUAUAUUUUGAAGAAUUUAAUGGGUAAUCCUAAUUGUUUGUUUUGGCAGGUAUGUGUUGUUUUCUCCUUCUAUCUAACAGUCGUACCUAAAUAGCAUAGUUUCAUCUGUGUUACCAUGUGAUGUACAUAAUUUCACAUUUGCCUCAGAUUAAGCUUAAUUUCCCACAGAAUAGAGCUGUCGCGACUGGACUUAGGUUGAUGUCCAAAGAGGUAAAUUAUUGGCAUGCCUAGAUAAUUUGGCCAUUUCCUAAUUCAUAAGUCUACAUUAAUUUUGAUUUUGAGUUGACUGAUUUCUUUUCAAGGUCUGCUUCCUUAACGGAGUGACCAAUGUUUUUCAACUAAAUUUAUCAUAUGAUGCAGGAAGCAGGGCAGGAUAUGAAAUGAGAAGCUCAUUGGUGGAAGUAUUGCCAGUAACAGAACCCAAAGAAAAUGAAACUAUUUCAAGGCAGCAGUUGGCAGUUGCAAGUGAAUGGAGGCCCUGACAAAAUUCUCAAGCGGUUGCAAUGCAAUUACGAUCAUCCUCAGCCUCAGGUAAUUUCUUCUCCUGCUCUGUUUUUAUUUGUUAUCUAAUUAAAAAGCAUAAAGUAUCUUGAAUCACUUUCUCUAUCUGGAAUAUAUGCAGCAGUUUCUAAAAUCUUCAUAUGAGUGUAAUGAUGGUAAUUUCUGUUUUUUGUCUGUCAUUGAAUGUUAGACAACUUUCAGUGAGACUCUUGAACCGAGACAUUUUUGACAACUGAAGGACAAUUGCUGAAGAGUCGGAAUGGUGCUAGAUUGGGGAAUAAAGACAAAGGAGGUAAAUUAUUUGCAGUUUAUUCAGCAUUAUUUGCUUUGGACCAGCGCCUGAUUCACAAGUCUCCAUAAUUUGGCUUUUGACCAGUUAAUAAAUUUUUAAUUCCAUUGGUGCUAAAUGUACACGUGAAGCAGGCAGAGCAGGACUGUGGAAAUGAGAAGGUUUUUAGUGAAAGCUUAAACUCAGGUAAUUCUAAAAAGUACAUGUUUUUGCUGAUUUAUCUAAAUCAGGAAAUUUUAUUUCCAUCUGUUACAAGAUAAAACAGAAACAGAACACAAAGAAAAAUAUUCUACUUCUUGUGGCAAUCUUGCCUUCAUUCAGACAAUGAAACCAUUUCCUUUCACCAAUUUCUUCCAAAAGUUUGAAUAAGUUUCAUGGGUGGACCUAGUUAGCUUCUUUUUCUUUUGGUGCAUUUAGGUCCUAUCAAGUGACAGCCAUAAGUAUGAUUGCAUUAUUGGGAAAUUUUAGGUUUGGAUGGCUCCCCAUGUUAUUGCCAAGAAAGUCCUCAUGUCAGAAGCUGCGGUUCUUUUCAUCAGCCUGAACCCGAACCUGUCGUUAUGGAUAACUCAGGUUUUUGUCAUCAACUAUAUCAUCUUUUUUACUGUUUUGAAACUCUUAAGAUUAAACUUCAGUAAAGUUGUUUCAGUUAUCCAUGUAAUCAGGCUAAGGAUAUUUAGCAGCUUAUUUAGGCAACUGCCAGAAUUCAGUUUGUUAGCUCGAAACUUGUAUGGUGACAAGGAUACUGGCAAGGAUAGUGAGAUAGUUUUUUGUGUGAGUGAAAUUUGAAAGCUUGGGUGUUCUGGGAUUUGCAAUUGCAAUCAUCCUCUGAGUCAGGUGAUUUCUUCACCUGCUCUGUCUUGAUUUUCUCUCUAAUUGAAAGCAUAAAGUAUUUCAAUCAAAUUCUGUACCAGGAAUACGUAAAAGUUACUAAUAUUUUAUUUCCAUCUGUUUGCAUUGAUAACUCGGCGGCAUAUGUUCUAGUUAAAGAACAAACAGAAACAGAGUUCAGGAAAAAGUUUCUUCGGCCACCAUAUUUGAAAAUGAAACCAUUUCCAGGAAGCAGUUGGCAGCAAAUUCAUAUGGAGUGUAGACAAUGAUGAGCAAAAAGGUGAUUCGCAAUUUCUUUUUUUUUUUAAGUGAAAUUAUUUGUUAGAUUGAAGCUGAUAUUGUAAGAAGGCCAUUGAGCUAACCUAUGUCGCCACUUGCCUAGAUUGCAGGGGGUCAAGACUCAAAAGAAGCACUGAAAUUUAAAAAGCAUGCAAUAGUUCUUUUGCCAUGUGUCAAUUAAUGCAAGUUUGAAUAAGUUUAUUGGCUGAACGAUGUUAGCUUCUUUUCCUUUCGUGCACUUUGGUAUGCUAUCAAGUGACAGCCGUAUGUAUGGCUUGCAUAUAGCUGCUGCUGGGAAAAUUGACGAUUUCAUGGCUGGCCGUGUUAUUGUCUUAAAUUAGUUGUGAUAAGCUGUUGCUUGGAGAUUCUGUUGCCAAGAAUUUGCUCACAUCAGAAGCUGUGGAAUCUGAACCCUUCGAUUCUGUUGCCAAGAAUUUGCUCACAUCAGAAGCUGUGGAAUCUGAACCCUUCGUUAUGUAUCAUCUUUUUCAUUGUUUUAAAACAGUAAACUCUCAGGACACUGAGCAGGCAAAUGUUAUAACUCGGUUUGUUAGCCAAAAACUUGUUGAAGAUUCUUGACAAAGCUGCGUCGAGUGAAUUGUCGGAGCUCUGAGGGUGAGAGAAAUUAGAGGGUGUAUAGGGAUUUGGAUUUGUUAGGAAGUUAUCAUUUUUAUUUGUCCGAUUCAAAACUUGAUAUUCCAAUUAUAUUCAUAAGCUUCUACAGUUAUCUUCAAAAAGACAUUCCAAUUAUAUUCAUAAGCUUCUACAGUUAUCUUCAAAAAGACAAAUGGAAGGCUUUGAACGGCUUGGGUCUGAGUAUUGUAGUUUGAUUUAUUUUGAUGAAAGAACCUUUUGACAUUAAGAUUCUUUCAUGAGUUAAACAUUCUUUUUAAAACCAACUUAUUAAAAAAAAAGUAACGAACAUAUAUUAUUUUGUUAGUGCUUUUUAAAUCAAAUAUAAAAAAGAGAACUGUAAUUCUUAGCAACCAAUUUUUCAUUGAGUACACCUACAACAAAUUAUUAAAAAAUAAAGCGAUAGAAAAUGCCUGAUUUUUCGUACUUUCUAAUUACUUUUGGUCCUAAAAUAUGGCGAUUUGUGUAAUAAUAAGCCCAUGUAUAUCUUUAUGCCAUUAGUUUGAUAAAUAACUAUCAAGGAUAACUUAUUAAGCUAAAAAUAUUUGAAGGAUAAAAUGGGAAAACUAAAAGGGUGGAGUAAUAAAGUUAUUUAAGAUUACAUAGUAAGUUAACUAUAUUCGAGGGAUAAAAUAUUAAAACUUGAAUAGUUAUAUUAAAAAUAUCUCGGCUAUUAUACUAUUAAACCAUAUGCCGUAAUAAUGUUUUUUUUCAAACUUUAAAAAAUUCAGGAUUUUAAAUUAAAACAUGGAUUUCUUUAAGAUGCUAUAUGUGUUUUUACAGUAUUGAUAGUGGGAUUAGUGUGUACCCUUAUAUGAAAGAGUUUUAAUCUGAAUCAUUCAUUUAAUAUAAUAGAUAAUUAAAUAAUUAAUUAAAAUAUAGCAGGUAACUUAUAGGUUGCAGGUAAAAAAUUAAUUUUUUAAUUUUAAAUUAAAAUUAAUUUGGAACAAAACCAUCCACACCCCUAAGGUUUACUUAAAUGAUCAUAUAAAUCCCUUUAGUUUCUACAUAGUUAUACAGACCCUCUUAAUUUCAUAAAUUAUUAUUAUACUUUUAAUUAAAACAACCUAAAUGAAUAUAAAUAUAGUAAUAGGAUAGAAAUAAUAAAUAAAUAUCAGAUGAAACAAAUAAAAUAUUACAAUAAAUACAAUUAAUUAAAUAACAUGUAUGAUGAAAAUUUUAUUCAUAUUAAGUUAUUAUUAGUCUAUCCCGAUGGAUUUACUCAAAUCAAUUAAUCCAAAAUUUAAUUUUAAGAUUGAUAUUAAUAUGGACAUAAUUAAAUAAGAUGUUGUAAUAUAUACUACUUUGAAUGUUAAGUAUAAUUAUCUAAUAUUAUUAGUAUGUGAAAUAGAUUUUAAUAUUAUUAAAGAAUAUGACAAUAUAUAAUUUUGAAUUAAAUUUUUUAGUAUUCAUGAUAUUUUAUAAAUUUUAUGUGAUUUUAUAUAUUAUAUUUUUUAAUUUUAAUGUAUUAUAUAUGAUCAUUUAAGCAAAUUUUGGAGGUGCGGUGGUCUUUUCCCUAUUAAUUUUGUAGCAUAUUUAAAGUGUUAUAUCAUACAUGAUACAUCACACUUUUGUUAAAGUGUUAUGUUAUUAAAAAUUAAACUUUGCAUUUAUAAUAUACUACCAUUUUAAUGUAAAGGUAAUAGAAAAUAUGAAGAUAUUUUUAAGUAGUCAAUUGUAGCUUUCUUUUACAAAAUAGCAGUAUAGAAAUACAAUUGGUAAAAUGUAAUAAAAAUGGUAUGGAAAAAAGUUAGUAGAGGCAAUUAUUCUUGUAGUUGCUAAAACAUAUGAAGUGACACACACACACACACACAUAUCAAGUACUUGUAUGUUCCCCUAACUUUUAUUAAUGGGAAGGAAAUUAAAUUCGUAAUUUUCCCGGUGAAUUAUGAAUUGAUAAAUGAAAUAUAAAUAUUAGUAAAAAUUAAUUUGUCGACUAAAGAAGUAAACCAUAUUUUAUGGGCAUUUAAUACAUUAAUUUAAGGUCAAAUGAGAUAAUAUCACAUGAUAUUUGAUACAAGAGUCCAAUUUUCAACAUUUGCAUAUAGUUUCUAAGCUAGUAAUCUAAUAAAAUAUACCAAAUGAGAAAUUGAAGGCUAUUAUUUAUAUUUCACCAUUGGACAAACACCAUACAUUAGAAUAAAAAAAUCUCACAGUAGAGACGGCAUCUGUUUGCAUGUUUUGAAAAUAGAUUUUGAAAUUAGUUUAAUUACAUGAUAAUUAAAUUAUAUUAUAAAAUUAAGAAUAUGAUUUAAGUACUAUUUUAGCAAUUUUGAGUCUCACAUUGAGUAUUCAAGUUAAUUAAAUGUUGAAACUCUUUUCUAUUUGGCUUGAAAUCACUACUAAAUAAAAUUACAAAAAGUCAAUAAUGAAUGAUGUAGGACACAUAUGUAAAAUAAAUUUUAAAGUGUAAUUAAACAUUCCUAUCAAUAUUAGUUUUGCAUACAUAUUCAUAUAUUUUACCGAAACCAUAUAUAAUUAAAUUUUGUGUAAUUAAGUAAAAUAUAUUAUUCAAGUGAAUUUAUGAGAAUAUUUAAAAUUGUAGGGGUCGUCACUGAAAUUUGCCAAACUUGAGCCAACCGUGCAUGAUCCAAACAGUUUAUUUUAAUAAUUCUCAAUAUGUUAGUCUGUUUGACUGUUGGCAAAAUAAAUUCCUAUCAGCAAUGCAACACAAUUCAAAAUCAUAUCUGCAUACAACGAACAAUAUCUCAUGAAAGAUCAAAUUAUACAUUUUUUACACCAAACCAUAAAUAUCUAAAUUGUCCCUCUUCAACUCACCAAGCUCAUACCUAACAACAGCAAGAUUAAAUGUCAUUUGAUCCAUCUUUUUUAUUAAGCUUUAUCAAUUCUUCUCAUGGUUGCAAUUUUGAAAGCUCGCUUCGCUAUUUCCAUUUGCUUUUAUGCUUUGUUUGAGCUCCAUCUUUUCUCUCCAUCUACAUUUUACACUGUAAAAAAAAUUUUAAAAAAAUUACAAAGCUUCUUAUGCUAGAAUAUGAGCAACAAUAUAAAUAAUAAACAAUAAAGUUAUGAUAGCACAGCAUGCUCAUUAAAGUGCUUCUUUUUUUUUUUUUUCAACAAGAAAUUACUACUGAAUUAAAGAUUUGGCUUUGCAUUAAGGUUUGCCUUCAAUAACUCAACUCCCCACUUGGGUUUUGUCGUUUUCUUAAAAUCUCUGCUCAAUCAAUUUAAAGAUCCUUUUUUUUUUCUUUCCAAAGAUCUAAAAGCAAUGUCUUUUAUUGGUACCCAACAAAAAUGCAAGGUCUGUGAGAAGACAGUUUGUCCAGUUGAGCAGUUAUCUACUGAUGGGGUUGUUUAUCACAAGUCUUGCUUCAAGUGCUCUCACUGCACUGCAAAGGCACACUCAAGCUAAGCAAUUACUCAUCCCUGGAAGGUGUUCUUUACUGUAAGCCUCACUUUGAGCAGCUUUUGAAGGAGUCGAGUAACUUCAACAAGAAUUUCCAAUUACCUGCAAAGUCAGCUGAGAAGUUAACUCCUGAGCUGAAAAGGUCGCCUAGCAAAGUUGACAGCAUGUUCUCUGGGCCCAAUAAAAAUGUGCUUCUUGCAGUAAAACAGUGUGUCCGUGGGAGAAGGUAGCAGCGGAAAACCAAGCCUCUCACAAGACAUGUUUCAAGUGCUCACAUGGUGGUAAUUCCAUUAGCCCGUCAAAUUACGCAGCCCUAGAAGGCAUCUUGUAUUGCAAACAUAAUUUCUCCCAAUUGUUCAAGGAAAAAGGCAGCUACAACCACCUUCUAUCAAAUCUGCUUCCAUGAAGCGUGCUGCAGUCUCUGUUCAAGAAGCUUGAACAUGUUAUGUUAUCUUCCAUAAAUCUUAUUUGGCGUGGGUUUUCUCUGGCUUGAGGGUGUGCUUUCUAUUUUGAUCCCUCUUGUUGUUUUUGCGGGGAACUACCAAACCUUCGGUUCCCUCUGCUUCUUUGGAUCAUCUUUGUUGGGACAAAUUUCAUGUAAUUAGAGAUACUGAUUUAUGGGAGGCAUAAUCCCAUGGUUGUAAAUUGACCAUUUUCUGGCAAUGUUCUUUUUAAAAAGAGAUGAGCAGUUGUUUAACAAAAAAAAUAGCUGGCCUUCAUCAUGGUAUGUUACCAAACUGCUAUGUAUAGCUGCUAACUAUGAGCAUCCGAAAAUAUGGUGCAUCGUGAUUCAUGUCGUGCAAUAUGGCUACCAACGCAUCCUAAAUGGAGUAUUACUCAGUUAGUCAGCAAAAUAAGACAACAGUAAGAUAUUAAAAAAAUAAAAACUACAUUAAUAAGUGGGCAAGAUCAUGCCAGUUUAACUUUUCGCGCGUCGCUGCUGGAGAUAAUCAAAUCGGGGCAGAGAAAAGGAGAAUGGAAUCAGAGGCUAAGAUUAAUAAGUGGGCUUCUGCUUGCUUUGCCCCUCUUUCUUAAACGAUUGGUAGACUGCUGCUUCCACCGAUUAACCGGGUCUUCAACCACUGCUUUUAUUGCCUGCCAUCUUGUUGUUUGUCGAAGGGAUGAAUUCGAGUCGAAAAGAGAAAGCGCGCUGAAAAAGACAAAUCACUAGUGGUUAACUACUGACUCAGCCAAGUGUUGGCUUCACUUGAUUCACCGAUUGAGGUUAUUUUGUCUUCUAUCUAAUGCAGCGAAGAAGCUUUACUGCUUAACAUGCUGCAAUGCAACUUUAUCUUUUGAAGUUCACACUUCAGGGCUGCGCACUUUAUGUAAUCCUAUGAGUAAAAAGAAUUUAUUUUCAAAUGUGAAAAAAGAAAAUGUAAGGUAGUAACUAAAUAUAUUAUAGCAUCAAAGUAAGAUUUGAUAUGAAUUUAGUACAACAAAGAACAUUAAAUCUGUGAUUCCUUGUCUAAUGUCACCAUCGAGCAACAAAUUUAAAAGCCUACCUAUCAAAUACACGAGGCAAUAAACGGAGAAAAAGUUGAAUUACAAGAACAAGUUUACAAUUCUUGUCAAUGGUUAAUGAUUCGUGAAUUGAGAUAGCAUUCAAGAAUCCAAUUUCAAUACAACAACGUAAAAGAUAAACAGAUGAUGAAUUUUAUGAGAUAAAGAAGGAGAUUGUGUUUUAUCGUAUCUCUAUUUUCUUUCCAUUUAAAUUUAAAAUAAGCUUUUCAACCGGUUAUAAUAUUUUUUGAAAUAAUUAAAUAUUUUUAUUAUUAAAAAUAAUGUGUACCGUUGAUUACAUCUAACGCUACAUAUUUCUUACACUAUUAAUACCGUAAAAAAAAUCAUAGAGGGACCCUUAAAACAUUUUCAUUUGAAAUUAUUUGGUGAAGUGAAAAAGUUAAGAAAGAAAUAGUUGUCCCUUUGGUCAUUUCACAAAAAUGAAAGCCCCAUAUAACAUGGACUUGAAUGGAAGCCCAAUUGUUGUGUUUGAUUUCAAGCUUUAUCGGACCUUUGGACCUGGAUACUUUACUGCGGCCUCUAAGCGCUACAAAUUUUUUUUUUGGGAUAAAAGGCGCUUCAAUGAAAAAGCACUUUAAAACUUUGGAUUUUGCCAAAACUUCAAAGCGGUUGGUCCAGUUACGGUGUUAUGCUAACGGGUUUAAAGGUUCCGAUCCAAUGAGUUAGGGUGGAAUAUGAAUAUAUAAAUCCUAGUCAUGUAAGGACUAGGAUUUGUUUGUUCAUAUCAAGAAAAAAAAUCUGAAAAUUUGAUGAUCAGAAGAUAAAAACACUUAAACACGUUUAUUACAGAGAAACAAACGACAACAUGAUGCUAGUAGUAAUUUUAUUUUUCUUUUAUUGUGUAACGUGGACCAAAAAAAAGGAAAUGAAUUUAAUAAAACCGUCAUUCCGCAAUAAUAAUGUACCAGCCUGGUUUUUAUAAUCCAUACCAUCCUGAUAUAAUUAAACACCAUUAAUAAUGUACCAGCCUUUAAAUAGUAAUUAAUUUAUUUAUCUAAUUCACCAAAUGUCAUUUCCGGUACAUAUCUCCUGGUAUCAAGAAGAGGCAGAACCCAAAGAAACGUUUCUUGUAUCUUCAUAUUUGUGCGAAUUCAUCCUUUCAUUGAGAAUAACCAUUUCCAGGCGGCAGUUGGCAAUCAAUUCAUGCGCAAGUCGAUGCUAUUCAUAGAUAUUAAAGACAAUGAUGAACCAAAGGUGAUAAAUCAUAAAUGCAUAAUUACCAAACCUCCAUCCUUCUCUCAUUAUGAUUUGAUUUUAAAUGAAUUAUUGCUUGGUAACAUUAUUUCCAACCAUUGCAAGAUUAUUAUUAUUUUUUUUUGGGGAGAAAUUUCAAUUGAAAGUGAAACCUUUAGACAUUUACCUAAUGAAGUUAGUUAAUGGGGAGGGUUGGAAAAAUUCCCAAGCCGUUGCACAGCAAUUACGAUCAUCCUCGGCCUCAGGUAAUUUCUUCUCCUGCAUUUUUGUUAUUUGCUAUCAAGUGACAUUCGUAAGUAUGAUUGUAUUAAGCUGCUGCUGGGAAAUAUAAGGUUUUGAUGGCUGCCCAUGCUAUUGUCAGAAGCUGCGGUUCUUUUCAUCAGCCUGAACCUGGACCUGUCGCCAUGGAUAACUGAGGUUUUUUUUUUUUUAAAUCAACUACGUCAUCUUUUCCACUGUUUUGAAACUCUUAAGAUUAAACUUUAGUAAAGUUGUUUUAGUUAUCCAUGUAAUCAGGCUGAGGAUACUUAGCUGCCUAUUUAGGCAAAUGUCAGACUUUAGUUUGUUCGCUGGGAACUGGUGUGGUGACAGCGUCCUGGCAAAGGAUGAUGAGAUAGUUUUUUGAUUGAGUAAAUUUUGGGGGCUUGAGUAUAUUGGGAUUUGCAAUUACAAUUAUCCUCUGCCUCAGGUGAUUUCUUCUCCUGCCCUGUCGUUGUUUGUUCUCUAAUUCAAAAUUAUAAAAUAUUUCAUCAAAUUUUAUGCCGGGAAUAUGCAAAAGUUUCUAAUAUUUUAUUUCCAUCUGUUUGUCUUGAUAACUUUGCAGCAUAUGUACUAGUUAAAGAACAAAUCGAAACAGAGUUCAGUUAAAAGUUUCUUCUGCCGUCAUAUUUGAAAAAUGAACCCAUUUCCAGGAAGCAAUGGGCAGCAAAUUCAUAUAAAGCGUAGACAAUGAUGAGCAAACAGGUGAUUCACAUUAAUGAAAUUAAUUGUUUGGUUGGAGCGGACAUUGUUAGAAGGCUAUUGAGCUAACCUAUGUCACUACUUGCCUAGAUUACAGGGGGUCAAAACUCAAAAGCGGCAUUGAAUUUUAAAAGGCAUCCAAUAAUUCUUGUGGCCAUAUAUCAAUUCAUGUAUGUUUGAAUGUAAUUAUUGGUGAAGGGGUUUCACUUCCCGUCUCUAAAUAAAAAUACUGAUUCUUUAAGGUACCUGCCACUAGGGAUUGCGAGAUUAAUGAGUCUUUGGACAUUGGAAGAGCUCCUUGUGAGUGGAGGAGGAGGUGUUGAUGGUAGCAAAGCAUGUGGGCAGUGGGCUUGAAUCUCUAAAAAACUUGGAACUCCUCCAAGCGUAAGUAUACGUAUACUGGGAAAUUUGUUAGAUGUGGAUGAGGCUAAGAGAUUAGAGCUUGACAAAAUGAAAUACCUCUUUCAUUGAGACUUAAAUUUGAUGGGGAAGAAGAAAAAGAAGAGGGAAGGAGGAAGAAUGAGGAUAAUCAACUUGUUCUUGAAGCCUUGCAACCACCUCUGAAUUUGAAGGAAUUAGAGAUUUGGUCAUACAGAGGCAACAUUGUUUCCCCCCGGAUGAUGCAAAAAUUGAAGGAAUUUACCAAUCUAAGGAGUUUGACACUCUUUAAAACUGCAAAAAUUGAGAGCAGUUGCCUCCUUUGGGAAAAUUGUGAUCCUUUGAAAAUCUCAGCAUAUUGUACAUGGAGAGUGUGAAAACAGUGGGUAAUGAAUUUCUGGGAAUAGAAAGUCAUCUUCAUGACUCAUCUCCAUCUUUAUCAGUUAUUAUUGCCUUCCCCAAAUUGAAAUCACUUUCAGUUGAGGGAUUGAUGGAAUUGGAGGAGUGGGAUUAUGGGAUUAAAAGAACAGGAAACACCUUCACCAACAUUAUGCCACGUCUUUCUUCCUUGGAAAUUAGUGUGGGGUUAUGGGAUCGCACAACCACGUUGAAGGUAUUGCAGAUUGUGGCAUGUGGUACUCUAAGAAGACGUUGCAGACAGGGGAGAGCAGAAGACUGGCCUAAGUUCUCUCACAUUCUAGACAUCAUGAUUGUGUGAAAAGAGGCCCUUGACAAAAUUCUCUAGGCGGCUACAUGGAGUACAAUCAUAAAAUGCUAAUGUGGCCACCCUGGUUCUUAAUUAAGGUUGUGAAAUAUUAUUGUAAAAGAUGAUUAAUUCAAUUUGAGUCAUUCGUUUGCUUUGAUAAUGAUAGUAAUUUUAUAUUUUGACAAUUUGCAAGGUGAGAAUGGUGCUGAUUGGUGAUACAGGAUACGGUUCAAACACCAUUGAAUAAAGCUACGGACAUGGUGGCUCAACUUAGCUAUUGCUGUCAAAAUUGGUAAGUUGGCUUGUCAAUGUAUUGAUGCUUUUGUUUUCUCUCAACCCUAAUUACCUUACCUUCAUUUAGUUUGGCUUUGGAGUUGAGUAAUAACUUUCAAGGUUCUCAAACAGAGCAGGACAACCGAAAAAAAAAGCUUAAUUUGCUACUGAUCACGUGUUACCAAUUAUUAAGGUAAUUCUCGUUUACUUGCUUCUACACUAUAGAGUACGUGUUCUGGCUGGUUUAUCUAAUUCAUCAAAUGUUAUUUCCUUAUUGUUCCAUUGAUAUAUUUGUUAGAAAGUGAAACCAUUUCCAGGCAGCAGUUGGCAGUGAAUUCAUGCAAAUGUUGAUGCCAUUCAUAGAUAUUGAAGACAAUGAUGAGCCAAAGGUGAUAAAUCAUUAAUGCAUAGUUACCAAAACCUCCAUCCUUCUCUCAUUGUAAUUUGAUUUGAAAUGAAUAAUUUCUAGGUAAUUGAAGCCAAUAUUGUUAGAAACGGUGUUGAGCUACCCAAGCUAAGAAGUUGGCUGCCAAAAAAUGCAGGGGAUCAAAAGAAGCAUUGCAUUUGAAAAGGAAUGAGAUUCUGGUUGCUACAUGUCAAUUCGUAGAAGUUUCAAUAAAUUUAAUGGUUCAAGAUUUUAGUUUCUGUUUAAAUUUGUGCUACUGCAGUGCUGCAGUGCUGCUACUGGGAAAUUUAAAUCCCAUAUUAGACUUUCCUCACAUAAGAAGCUGUGGAUCUUCGGACAUCAGGUUUUUUCACAGUUCUGAAACUCUCAGGAUUAAACUCUAUUAAAGUUGUUGUAGUUGUCUACGUUCUCAGGUCAAGGAUUCUAAGCUGCCGAUUAAGGCAAAAUGUCAGAAUUCCCCUAUUAUUUUUUUUUUCAUGUAAAAUUAUGUUGUUGUCUUCGCCCAUGAAUCUUAGCUAAAUUCUGAACCAAUUGUUUGCUAUUAUAAAUUUCAUUGUUAAAUAUUAAUUGUGAUGUUGGUGUUGAGUUUCUUUUAAAGUCAGAGAAGCCUGACGAUUGAGUUCCAUGGGAUUCUGAGAAGCAGUAAUAUUUUGAACAAGUGAAGGUUCUUCGUUUUUACAGUAUGUGCAGAUGUCUAAGAGGCAGGAUUUUUAUUUCUGUAAUGCUAAAUUUCGCAAAACAAUAAAAAUAAAUAAAUGCAUGACAGUGACUUCAAGAAUUUAGAUUAUUGAAUUUGGUCAUUUUAAAAUUGUUGGAAUGUUGAACUUAAGUAAUUUUUAUAAACCAGAGCUCAGAAAUGUAGAAUAUAAAUAUUGGAGAUUUGGACUUCAAUCAUUAGACUUGAAGCUAAAGAGGUAAGCCAUUAAUUAUAUCAAAGGAUUUGGAAAAUGGAGGGAUUGGAAAAAGGAAACAUUUUCAUAAACUUCAAGAGGAACGUCACAGAAAGGGGUAAAGAGAAGAGUAGCCUAAGAUAUUAAAGACAAUGUUGAGCCAAAGGAAACAUAAAUCCCAACCAUUGCAUGUGAACAUGAUCACAAUAAGGUCAAAAACCAUUUUUUUGAGAAUUUUCAAUUGAAAGUGAAACCUUUUGACAUUUACCUAGUAAAGUUAGUUAAACGAGAGAAAUAAAGGGGAAAAGAAAAGUUGACUCAAGUCAAUACAGAAUAAUUAGUUCAAUCUGGAGUAACUAAAACAGAGCCACUAUAUUUUCAAAAAUAUCUGCAUUCAUCACCUUCUCCUCCAGCUAGUGAGCUACACACGAAUCCUUUCCUUUUAGCAUUUUUGCAGCAUCAAUUUCUCCCCUCGUUUGUCAUCAAUUUCUCCCUUCGUUUCACCAAUACCAUGGCUGAUGCAAUCGUUUCCCCUCUCUUGGAGCAGCUGAUUAUCUUUGCUGCUGAAGAGUUGAAACAACAGGGGAAGCUGGUGAGUGUUGGAUGAGUGGAUCACAGCAUGCGCCAAAUCGCAAAAUAGAUCAAUGCUCUUGGUGCUCCUUAUCUGAAGAAGAAGGUGCAAAUUGGGAGCUGCAUUUCACUGUCAUAACAUUUAUUGUAAUUUCAUUUGGAGAUAUGUAAUAUCUGUUGUCCAGAUACAUAUCAUACACCAGUUGCUAUGUAAUUUCGUUUAGGUUCAUUUUUGUUUCUUAAGAGUUUGUAAAAAGAAUGGAAAGAUUUUAAAAUAUAAAUUUCAUAUCUGUUUAUUACUGUUGUUUGGUCUAAUUUCUUAUGUAGAAUUUUCAGAAUCUGUAGGACAUUAGUUUAUAAUUUUGAGAUUUUGCAGCCAUAAAAAAAAUUUUUUUUUUUUGCCAUUUUAUUUUGCUCCUUUAUCUAUGUGCAUGUUGACUGGCUGCAGUGAGUGAAAAUUUACCUAUAUAUGCUGGCUAUUCUUGGACAAUAUUAGAGAAAAUAAUCAUAUUAUUUCGCGUGAUGUGAACUUCCAUAACUUAUCAAUUGAAUUGCUGUAAAAUAUUAAAUAGUUUUAUUUUUCUUUUAUCGUGUAACUUGGACCAAAAAAGGAAAUGAGUUUAACACGACCCUCAAUAUAACCUCCAUUUCAGCACAAUACAUGUUAAUUGUUCCCCAAGGACUUCUCCUGUUUCCCAUUCCCACCUCCAUGCUCUCGAGAGGAAUUUAGCACCCAUCAAUUUUUAUUUUUGAAAACUCGUAAUGGUCUGAUAAAAUUAAACAACAUCAAUAAUGUUACCAGUCUUUAAAUAGUAAUUAAUUUAUUUAAUUUGCCACCUAAAAGAAUCCUGCUGGAAAUAGAGGUUAAAAAUUUUAUUAGAUCUGCUUACCUUUGUUCAUUCAGCAAAAACACUUACAAUUCACAGCUAGAGAAUCUAUCCAUUGACAAUUGUGGAUUAAAAUUAUAACACCUGAAUUCAAACAUAUCCUUAUGAAGUUAUGAAUUUGUUCAUACUUCAAAUGAUUUUUUUUUCCAAGCUAAUAAAGCAACCACUUUGAUCAAACGACGACGUUGAAGGAAUUACGUAUUUUCAAUGUCCUUUUCCAGACAGAUGUUGGAGAGAGGGAAAGGAGAAGACUGGCCUAAUUAAGAUAUCUCACAAAGAUUAUUGAGUUAAAAUGUUAUUGUAAAAGAUGUUUAAUACAAUAAUAGUAAUUCUUUUGCAUUGUUAUAAUGAGGCUGGUGGGUUUCCUCAGAGGAUGGAUAUGGCUCGCUAGCAUGCAUUUGGGAAGAUGCUAAUUAUCGGCCAUAAAAAGUCAGGGGGUUGUGGCUCUUCCGUCGCCCAGAAAUUCCUAAACUCAUAUAUCAAACUUCAGAUGAACUUGGGCAUUAUGUAAAUAUGUAUUUUUGAGAAUUAAACUAGUGCGUUCGAAAAAUUUUGAGCCAUUGUAAUCAUUUUAUUUUGCUAAGAGAAAAUUUUACUUUGUUUCGCUUUGCCUUUUGUUUUUUCUGUGAUAAUAUGAUUCAUACGAAUGUGAUUACACACUAUCAUGCAUCUAUUUUCAUUUGCUUGUCAUGAAUGGUCAACAUGCUCGAAAUAUUUACUUAGGUUGGAAAUAUUUGAAUCCACUAAAAUACUAUACAAACCCAUUUUAAAAUUAAAAAAAUGAUUAUCAUAAUACUCGUGAAGAUAACACGAUAUCAUACAUAAAAUAAAAUAUUUCGCAAAAAAGAUAAGAUACAAAUCUUGAGUAAAUAGGUACAAAAAAUAUUUUAGUGGGUUAAGUAGCACUAAUGCCCCCUUAUCAAAAAAUAAAUAAAAAUAACUAGUCUGAUUGGGUAUACCGUUUAUAUAUAUGUACAUAUUCUUGAUAAUGUGUAAUGUACAUUAUAGACAAAGAUUUUGAAAGCAAUAUUUUUUAAAAAGUCGAGAGAAUAGGAAAAGUCUAAAUCAAUUUUCUAAUCUCUACCUCCUUUAUGAUUUAAACUUUAGUGUUUAGUGUCGCGAGCCACUCAAAUUUUCUAAUCAAAGAGACUAAAUUGCACGAAAUUGUGCUAGCUUAUUUGAUUCUAGAAAUUUCUACUACACUGUAACACACUCUCACGUAGGGAUGGCAAUGGGGAGGGGAGGGGAGGGGACCAAUCUCCCCAUAUCCAUCCCCGAUAUUUUACAUAUGUCCCCGUCCCCGUCAGAAUUGCUUGAGAGAAUCCCCAUCCCCUCCUCGAAUAAUAACAGGGGAUCCCCGAGGGUCCCCGGUCCCCGAAUAACUAAUAAUCUAAUACAUUUUUUUAUUUUCGAUUUUAAAUUAAUCAUAUUAAAAUAAACUCAUACCGCUAUUGUAAGCUCGUAACCAAUUUUGACAGCACAUUAAGGCCUCCAAUGUGCUUGGAUGAAGUCUGUUAUGGUAUGGGCUCACAACUCUACCACUAGUGUUAAAAGCUGAUUCAGAAGCAACUGUUGUAAUUGGAAUUGCCAAAAUAUCUCUAGCAAUUCGAGCUAAUGUAGGAUACCUAUUAGCAUUUGUCUUCCACCAACUCAAAAUAUUAAAAUCUUCCAUCCGAGGUAUAACUUUCUCAUCCAAAUAUGAAUCUAAUUCAUCUGCAACAACUGCACAAUCUCCAUUGUUUACAUAAUCAUCAAAACCUAUCAUCCAUUUGGUUGCUUUCUUAUAAGAAUCCCCUGUAGAUCUAGUAGAAGAACUACUACCAGUAUAAUCAAAGCAAUAAACAGUUGGUGAAAACUUCAAUUAAUACUCUUCAACUAAUUCCCGGCAAAGGAUGACCACUUUCCCAACAUACAACUAUUUUGAUAUUUAUUAUUUUUAACAAUAUUUAUAAUUUUGUUAUUUAUUUAUUAGUAAUUUUAAAAAUAAAAAUAAAAUUAAAAAUUAAAAUGGGGAAAUGGGUAGGGGAUGGGGAUUCCACCUCAUCCCCGUCCCCUCCCCGAAUAAAAAAUUGGGUAAAAAAUUUUCCCCGUCCCCUCCCCGAAAAAAAAAUUGGGUAUAAAAUUAUCCCCGUACCCUCCCCGAAUGGGGAAAAUCCCCGAGGGUAUCCGUCCCCGUGGGGAUUUUUGCCAUCCCUACUCUCACGCUUGUACAUACCUCGAAAUUCUCUAGAAUUUACUAGAGUAGUGUUGCAUGUAGCUUGUACAUAGGUUUUUCUGGAACACUCCAGGCAUUACUAAGCAUGAGAGCCUUGAGAACUCUCUAGCCAUAAAACAUUCUAGGGUAAGCCUACCCUAAAAAUAGGGCAUGAUGCUUGCCACUUGAGCAUACAACAAGUAAGAACAAAUCAAGCAUACUUGUGAGCUCUCAAACUCUCUUAUACACACUUUUAUGAAUAAUAUAUUCUCUCUUUGGCUAUAUUGCUCUCUCUUCUCUCUAGUUUUUUUCGCAAGCAUCAAACCUUAGUUAGUCGAAAAAUUCAAGGCUUACUUUAUAGCUAUCUCGUAAAAGUUGUUUAAGUACCAUAGAGAUUUGCUGUGCAAAAUACUCAUCACAUGACAUUAGCUAAAUAAAAUUGUUUGAAAGCCACUUACCCAAACUAUUAAACGAAUAUUGACUUUUGUCUUAAUUUUCUAUCUCCUACGAUAAAUUUUAUAGUUAAAAAUUGAAAAAAAUUAAUAACUAUUAGAUAGAGCAUUCUUUAUUGUUAAAAGAAAUCUAUAUAGAUAGAUAGAUGGUAAUAUAAAAACUUACUUAUUGUAGUAUAAUGUUUUUAGUUUUUUGAAACACAGAUUCUCACUUUUUAAAGAUAAAAUUCAAAGAAAACAAGUUAAAUGUUGUAGAAAAUCUUCCAGCCAUACAAGAAAUUGUGAUGGCUAAAUGCAAACCUAACUAAAGUAUUAGUUGUUUUAUUACAAUCUCCAAAAAGAUGAGCAAUUCCAAAAUCUUUUUUUGUGACAAUAAACACUACACGUCAGUAAUUAUCCAGGUCAAAAGCAAGCUACUCUAUUAAAAAAAAAAAAAACUUGCAGUGAAUUCGAAGAUAAACCAAUUUUACUAGCAAGUUGGAUACAAAAGAGUAGGGCUUCGGCCUCAAUUACUCAGUGUACCAACAACUCAAUCUCGGUGAGUUAAAAUCAACUUCCAUCAGUCUUUUAUUUGUUGAUAGAUCGAUUAAGGUACCAAAAAGAAUAAUUAAAGAUGUAUUAGUUCAAGUUAAUAAAUUCAUAUAUCUUGUGGAUUUUAUUAUUUUGGAAACUGAACCAAUUGCUAAUGAAUGCAAACAAAUUCCUGUUACAUUGGGUCGUCCAUUUUUAACUACUGCUAAUACAUUGAUUAAUUGCUGGAAUGGAGUAAUGAAUUUAUCUUUCGGCAACAUGACAUUGGAACUUGAUGUGUUCAACAUAUGUAAACAACCUCACCACCAGGAAGAUGAUGAUAAUGAGAAUUAGGAGAUUGAUUUCAUCGAGCCAAUCAUUGAGGAACACAUUCAGAAUAAGAAUUUUACAAAUUCUGUGGAAAUUUAUUCUUCUUGUUCUUUUGAAUCGAGUAAAGAAUUAAAUUAUGAUACUGCUAACAUAUAACCUACAAUUGAUUCUAUGCAGGUACAUGCUGACAAUGGCCAAUCAAACUUUAAAGAUACAGAACAACCUGAAGAACCAAACGAAGAGCAAGUACCAGAGCUCAAAUUAAAGCCCUUACUGGAAGAAUUGAAGUAUGUCUAUCUUGGAGAACAACAGAUUUAUCCUGUGGUAAUUUUUUUCCCAACUCACGCUUGAUCAAGAAGGUAAGUUGUUGUCUGUACUAAAAAGGCAUAAAACUGCAUUUGGCUGGACUUUAAAAGACAUAAAAAACAAUAAUUCUUUAAUCUGCACACACCGAAUACACUUAGAGGAAAAUACCAAAACAACCCAUCAACAUCGACAUUAUAUGUGUAAACAUUAAAUACCAAAAUCAACCCCAAAAACUAUAAAUAAAAUAUCAUGAUUAAAAUGAAGUUUUUUUUUAGAUAUUCGUUGUAGUAUCUCUUUAGAUCGCAAACAAGAGAUAAAAUAAAUAAAUAUUUGCUAUGUAAAUAAAAAUAAAUAAUUUUUUUUAACUGAAAAAUAUUCUCAAAAACUAAAUAGUUCAAACUUUUUUUAACAUCAUGUGUUUCUAGGGUUGGGCAUUCAGUUCGGUUUUUACCGAACCGAACAACUAAAUUAAAUCGAAAUUACCUGUUCGGUUCAAUUGAAUAGACAAAAACCGAAGAGUUUAUAUUUUCAUGAACUGAAUGAUUUGUGUUUCAGUUGAGUUCGGUUCGAUUCUGGACCUGAACCGAACCGAACCGAUCCGUGAAUCGUAAACUGCCCACCCUUACGUAGUAGUUUCCGUUAACCGACGUUGUAUUGCUCGUAUAAAAUUGUUCAAAUGUUCAAAUCACAGUCUCCCGCUCUCAGCUCAGUCAGAGUUUCCAGGUCCAGAGACUUCCCGCUGACUGAGAACUUUUUCGUAGCAGGUCUACAAAUAAUGGAGUAGAGCUGAUUUUAUGAUUAAUUUAUUUCCUUUUUCAAUUUCUCUUGAUUGCGAUUUAAUCUGGAAAGUUAAACGUGAAUUGUUUAGUGCGGAUUAAAUGUUCGACGAAUUUCCCACAAGAGUAUUAAGUUCAAGAGAAAAAAAGAAAACAAUUGAGCGUGAGCGUGAGCGAGAAUGGUGUUUGGGCAAGUGGUGAUUGGUCCGCCCGGCUCGGGAAAGACCACUUACUGCAAUGGCAUGUCUCAGUUUCUCAGCCUUGUUGGCAGGUAACUUCGUUUCUUGAUUUCAAGCAGCUUUAUCUUCGAUGACCAAAAAUAUUGAUUUGGGCUUUGCCAUUAAAUGAAUGUAAGAGCAGUAGGGAAUAACUGAGUUAUAGGAUUAGCUUUAAGUGAACAUUGAUGGUAAUGUGAAGGUUGUAUGUGUUCAGUGGCAAGCUGUAUGCCAAUUUGGUCUAUAUGGUUGCUUAGGUAGUAACUUAUUAAUUUUUAGGCAGGAAGGUUGCAGUCAUCAAUUUAGUUCCUGCUAAUGAUAGUUUGCCGCAUCCUUUGUCAUUGAACUUUCUUACAAAUGCUGUGGUUUGUUGUAGUAUAAUUAGUUCAAUUGGAAAUUUCCUUGAUGUUAAUAUAGAAAUGAGUGUGCUGUGAAUAUUGAGGACCUCAUUAGACUAAGUGAUGUGAUGAUGGAGUAUUCACUUGGUCCCAAUGGAGGUUAGUCAGCCUAUUGUUGUUUACUCUUUCUUGCUUUAUCACGCAAUGAUAUUCCUUUGCUUUACAACAAAUUUCAUGAAAUUAACUUCAAUCAAGUGGCAAUGUUCAUACGCUGUUGAGAUUUUAUGGACAAUGAUUUGGUAGAAUUUAUAUGCCGUCUUCUUUCUUUUUGCAGUGAUAUGCUUGUAUUCAAUGAGCUUGUACUUAUUCUAUGGUUUCUAAAGUAGGUGUUUUUAUGAUAAACUAGGUCUUGUGUAUUGUAUGGACUAUCUAGAGAAGAAUAUUGACUGGCUGCAGUCGAAAUUGGAACUACUUUUGAAAGGUAAGUAGAGGCCAUUUUCCUUCAUUCUAAUGCCAAUAAUGCUGUCAUGAGACUCAUAAAAAUUGUUAAAACGUUAAUGUUUUUGGUAUUUUGCAGAUCGUUAUCUUCUGUUUGAUUUUCCUGGCCAAGUUGAAUUAUUUUUUCUUCAUUCCAAUGCCAAGACUGUUAUAAUGAGACUCAUAAAUAAGUUAAAUCUCAGGGUAUUGUUACAUCUUACAUCUAUGAAGGGACUCAAAGAGUUGAGAUGAAUUCAUCUUUGUUAUUUUGAUGCCAGAAUUGUGCAAUUCUCAGUUUGUUCCUUUCACAUGCAGUUGACUGCAGUGCAUCUAGUUGAUGUGCAUCUUUGCAGUGACCCCAGGAAGUAUGUUAGUGCUUUGCUUCUCUCAUUGUCUACGAUGCUACAUCUGGAACUUCCCCAUGUCAAUGUCUUGUCUAAUCGAUCUGAUUGAGAAUCAUGGAAAGCUAGGUGUGGUUUUAAGUGUAGCUCUCCUGCUUGUUUGUUUAGUUUGAAAUAUCAGAUAUUGUCACAAGAUCCUAUUUGCUACAUUUCCUCACCAAUCAAUUAUUUUGGGUCUGUUGCAGCUUUUAAUCUCGAGUACUAUACAGAUGUGCAAGAUUUGUCAUAUUUACAGCAUGCUCUCGGUCAGGACCCUCGUUCUGCUAAGUACAGGUUUGAAUUCUAGCUGAAUCAAUGAUGCAAAUUAUGUCCAUUGUUAUUUCUGCUGUUGUUUCUAUCAUUUUCAAUUGUUACUUCCCCUUUCCAUCUACUACCACACUACAAUACCCACACAAAUGUUGUGAAAUUUGUCAAUGGAAAAAAAACAGUUCCUCUUUUAUUUUGAUCAGACUCAAUGAAUAAGUGGUUAAAAUGUGCCUGUCCUAGAAAUAUAGAUGUGUGGUUUCGUAAAAUUUUCUUGAUCUUAAGAAAGAGUUAUCUCGAAAAGAAGAUAACAUGGAGAAUUCAACAACUAUACAGUCAUAUUGAUGUCUGUCAACUUGGGUCAUAUGGUGUCGUUUGGAUGGAGAUGUUAGGUCCCAGAUGGUAAACUUGUUAUCGAAUUCCAGUCUACUUCAUUCAUGCUUUGAUGACAUAUACGGUGCAGCUUCUUAUCUAAGACCUGCAUAUGUUCAAUCAUCAUUCUGUUCUGUAUUUGGCUGCCAUUCUUUUCAAUGAAUUCAAACCACUUCUGAAUACUUGCAAAUUCAUCCAGUGUUGUCAUUGAGAUGCCAAUAUGAAAGGAAGCCAUAAUUGCCCUUGAUAGUAUGCUUAUUGAUUGCCUCUUGCCUCACUCAGCCUCAUGAAUCUGCUUGUAUGGUGUUCUUGUAAUUUCAUUUGGAGAUUAGUAAUAUCUGUUGUUCAAAUGUAUUUUAUAUACCAGCAGUUAAUAAUUCUGCUUGCAGAAAGCUUACAAAGGAGCUGUGUGAUGUAAUUUUUCAACCUUAGAUAUCCAGGUCAUCAGUUUCUCUUGAAUUCUUUCUUGAAUUUCUUUGAAUUAUUUGUGAAUAAGAUCUUAGUUGGCUGCUUCUCUUCAGGAUAAGGAAAGUGUGGCAAAACUCGUGAAGCUGAUAUAUAAAAGCAAUGGGUACAUCUUUGCUGGCAUGGAUGCCAGUGCAGUUGAAUUCAGCAAGAUUGCCGUUCGCGAUGUUGAUUGGGAUUAUUUCGGAUAUCCUUCUUUUCACCUAUUUUCAAUGUUGUUAUUCUCAUAUUCAUAAAAUUUUUUGGUUAUUUAAUUAUGGUUCAUCAUAUGCAUCUGCAUCUUCUAACUUGUUCGUUUGAGAAACUAAUUUUGCCGUUAGGUAGGCUUCGAGCUUGAUGAGUUGAUUCAUGCUUUUUUCAUAAAUGUACCAAAAUCAUGGAAACUUCUUUUUCCCAGAUAUUGUAUCCACACUUUUUCCAUGUAAUUGGGUCAGACAAGUUUUGCUUAACAAAGAUAUCUACAGUAGCCGAAGUGCAGGAGAAGUACAUUAAGGAUGAUGAUGAUGUUAACUAAAAUGAGACGUGAAGAUAUGUGGUGUGCGAACCGUAAGCCUGCCUCUUAAUUUUGUGCAUGUUUACUUGCUUGUGAUUCACGUUUGUUAAUCUAUUUUGCUCUCUUGCAGGAGUUAUAAAGUUUUCAAUCAAUCAAACAUUUAACUUAAGUCCUUACCUCUUGCUGCAAAGACAAUGGGAAGUCUCAUGAGCUCUAAAAAAACUGAAGAAGAGUGGAAAAUAAUUUUAAAUAGUGAUUUAUGGAAGGUAAAAGAGAUCGAGAAAGGUGUUCUAACCCCUUUGUGGUUGAGUUAUAAUGAUUUGCCGUCCAGAGGAAAAAGAUGUUUCUCGUAUUGUGCUGUCUUUCCAAAAGACUACAAUAUAAAAAAAGACAAAUUAAUUACUUUGUGGAUGGCUCAAGGUUAUCUUAGUGCAGAAGCAGCAGAACAAGAUGAGGAGUUGGAGACUAUAGGUGAAGAGUAUUUUGGCAUCUUAGCUUCUCGCUCUUUCUUUCAAGAGUUUCAGAAACGUUAUGAUAAUCGUAUUAUAGCGUGCAAGAUGCAUGAUAUGGUACAUGAUUUUGCCCAAUUUGUUAGUCAAAAUGAAUGUUUUUCGUUGGAAGUUAAUGGUAGUGAGGAACUAACCGUCACAAACUCUACAAACUCUCUUGAUGAGAAGGUCCGUCAUUUAAUGUUAAUCUUUAGUAAAGGGACUUCAUUACCUGUUUCCACUCGUAGAGUUAAAAGAAUGCGUACCCUCUUAAUUAACGAUAGUAGAUCUGAUCAUUCAUUAUUAAAUGGUGAGAUCCUAGAAGAAUUAUUUAGGGAAUUGACAAGUUUAAGGGCAUUAGAUUUUGGCAAAUCGUAUAACUCAAGUUGGUCUUCGACUGUGGAGAUUCCGAGAACCAUAGAAAAGCUGGUACAUUUAAGAUACCUUAAUUUGUUUUAUCAGGGAAUAAAGAAACUACCGGAGACAUUAUGCGAGUUGUAUAAUCUAGAAAAGUUAGAUAUUAGUUUAUGUUUUAAUCUUAAAGAAUUACCUGAAGGGAUUGGGAAGUUAAUAAACAUGAAGCAUUUACGAAAUAGAGGUACUAGUUCUUUAAGGUACAUGCCAGUAGGGAUUGGGAGAUUAACGGGUCUCAGGACCUUGGAUGAGUUCCACGUGAGUGGAGGAAAGCGUGUAGGCUUGAAUCUCUUAAAAAAUUGGAACACCUUCAAGUAUGUGGUAUACGUAGACUGGGUGAUGUAUCAGAUGUGGGCGAGGCUAAGCGAUUAGAACUUGACAAAAAGAAAUACCUCUUCAGUUUGACCCUUGAGUUUGAUAAGAAGGAGGAAGAAGAAGGAGAAAGGAGGAAGAACGAGGACGAUCAAGUUCUUCUUGAAGCCCUACAACCACCUCUCAAUUUAAAGGAAUUAGAGAUAGAGUACUACCGAGGCAACACUGUUUUCCCCAGCUGGAUGACGUCAUUAACCAACUUAAAGAGUUUAGAUCUCUCUUCCUGCGAAAAUUGGGAGCAGCUGCCUCCUUUGGGAAAAUUGCCAUCCCUUGAAGCACUCAGCCUAUGGGACAUGAAGUGUGUGGAAAGAGUGGGUGAUGAAUUUUUGGGGAUAGAAAGUGAUCAUCAUGGCUCAUCUUCAUCGGUUAUUAUUGCCUUCCCCAAAUUGAAAUCACUUUCAAUUGAGGUUCUGCGCGAAUUGGAGGAGUGGGAUUAUGGGAUUACAAGAACGGGAAACACCGUCAUCAACAUCAUGCCACGUCUUUCUUCCUUGACAAUUGCACUUUGCCCCAAAUUAAAGGCACUGCCCGACCACUUUCAUCAAACGACAACAUUGAAGGAAUUGCACAUUUGGGAUUGCAGGCUUCUGGAAGAACGUUAUUGCAAGGGGGAAGGAGAAGACUGGCCUAAGAUAUCACACAUUCCCAACCUCCAUAUUGGGCUUUGACAAGUAAUUUCUUCUCUUACUCUGAUUUGCUUUGUUGUUGUUUUUAAUCUAAUUAAGAAGCGUAAAUAGCAUUUUGAAUCAAACUCUAUAUCAGAAAUCUGCAAUACUUACUUUCUAAUAUUCUGAUUUUCAUAUCCUAUGAAUAUACGAUUUUUAAUUUGUGAGAUGGGUAACGUUACUGUAAAAGAUUAUUAAUGCAAUAUGAGUAAUUCUUUUGCAGGACAAGUGACCUACAUUUAGUUUGGCUUUGGAGUUGAAUAAUAACCUUUCGAGGUCCCGACAACCAAAAAACGAAGCUUAAUUUGCCACAGAUUGCACGUAUUGCCAUUAUUGACAAUUUUCUGCACAAGCUUAGGUUGAUGUCAAAAGAGGUAAAUUAUUGGCAUGCCUGACUAUUUUGACCAUUACACGAUUCAUAAGUUUACAUUAAUUUUGAUUUUGAGUUGAGUGAUUAGUUUUCUAGGUUUGCUUACUUUAACUGGGUGACCAAUUUCUUGUAACUAAAUGUAUGAUGUGAAGCAGAACUCAAACAAAAGUAUGCUACUUCUUGCGGAAAUCUUGCCUUUGUUCAGAUUAUGAAACCAUUUCCAUGCAGCAAAUUCAUCCAAAAGUUUGAAUAAGUUUCACGGUUGGACACUGUUGGUUUCUUUUUCUUCUGGGGUGCAUUUAGGUGCUAUCAAGUGACAGCUGUAAGUAUGAUUGCACUAAGCUGCCGCUGGGAAAUUUGAGGUUUUGAUGGCUGCCCAUGUUAUUUUCAAGAAACUAUUGAUGUAAGAAGCUGUGGUUCUUUUCAUCAGCUUGAACCUGAAACUGUCGCUAUGGAUAACUCAGGUUUUUGUUAUCAACUAUAUCAUCUUUUUCACUAUUUUGAAACUCUUAAGAUUAAACUUUAGUAAAGUUGUUUCAGCUUUUCAAAUGAAAAACUCAUUGAUUUGAGACUUCCUUCAUUAUUGUUUCUAAUUACAAUGCUAACGAUCCAGAUAAGAUAAUAUUUAAUCGGCGAAGGUGUCCCUUGGAAGUACAUCCUUCUUUUUCUUUUAUUAUACAAAUUCUUGCAAUGAGCUUAGUGAAGCUGUUGUGCUAAUCAUGCCACUGCAUAAUUUGGCCCCUAAUGUGGGUACUCUGUUACAUUGUUCUGCAAAUUCUCCAGAAGUUAAAAUCAAUAAAUUUUCUAUUAGCUCUAGUGCUUUGACCUAAAUGCUAUUCUAUAUUCUGAUUACAAUGUUUUACCUUUAAAUUAACUACCCCUAGAUGUUGGAUUUUCUAGAACUUCAAAAUGAUUAAUGGAGAAAGAUCCCAUUAUCGUUAUUGCUAUAAAAAAUUGAUUUAUGCAUCCAAAGAUACAUUAUAUAUUUCUGUGUCUCUAUUUAUAGAUGACAUUUAAGCAUCCAUAAACCGUCAGACAGAGGAAGGGGGUUCAGUGCAAAGAUUCUGUUGACCUAGGGUUGACUGCAUAAUGUCACUUGUUCGCAAUCUAUUAUUCUUUUCAAGGUCUGCUUCCUUAACGGAGCGACCAAUGUUUUUCAACUAAAUUUAUCAUAUGAUGCAGGAAGCAGGGCAGGAUAUGAAAUGUGAAGCUCAUUGGUGGAAGUAUUGCCAGUAACAGAACCCAAAGAAAAUGAAACUAUUUCAAGGCAGCAGUUGGCAGUUGCAAGUGAAUGGAGGCCCUUGACAAAAUUCUCAAGCGGUUGCAAUGCAAUUACGAUCAUCCUCAGCCUCAGGUAAUUUCUUCUCCUGCUUUGUAUUUAUUUGUUAUCUAAUUAGGAACCGUAAAGUAUCUUGAAUCAUUUUCUGUAUCUGGAAUAUAUGCAAGAGUUUCUAAAAUUUUGAUAUGAGUGUAAUGAUGGUAAUUUCUGUUUUCUGUCUGUCAUCAAAUGUUAGAAAACUUUCAUUGAGACCCUUGAACCGAGUCAUUUUUGACAAGUGAAGUGCUGAAGAGUGAAGAGUAAGAAUGGUGCUAGAUUGGGGAAUAAAGCAAAAGGAGGUAAAUUAUUGGCAGCUUCUUCAACCUUAUUUUCUUUGGACCAGUGCCUAAUUCACAAGUCUCCAUAAUUCGGCUUUUGACCAGUUGAUAGAUAAAAUUUUAAUUUCAUUGGUGCUAAUGUACCCGUGAGGCAGGCAGAGAAGGACUGUGGAAAAGAGAAGGUUUUUAGUGAAAGCUUAAACUCAGGUAAUUCUAAAAAUUAUAUGUUUUGGCUGAUUUAUCUAAAUCAGGAAAUUUUAUUUCCAUCUGUUACAAUAAAACAGAAACAGAACACAAAGAAAAAUAUUCUACUUCUUGUGGCAAUCUUGCCUUCAUUCAGACUAUGAAACCAUUUCCUUUCACCAAUUUCUUCCAAAAGUUUGAACACAUUUCAUGGUUGGACAUAGUUAGCUUCUUUUUCUUUUGGUGCAUUUAGGUGCUAUCAAGUGACAGCCGUAAGUAUGAUUGCAUUAUUGGGAAAUUUUAGGUUUUGAUGGCUCCCCAUGUUAUUGCCAAGAAAUUUUAAGUCCUCGUGUCAGAAGCUGCGUUUCUUUUCAUCAGCCUGAACCCGAACCUGUCACUAUGGAUAACUGAGGUUUUUGUCAUCAACUAUAUCAUCUUUUUCACUGUUUUGAAACUCUUAAGAUUAAACUUCAGUAAAGUUGUUUCAGUUAUCCAUGUAAUCAGGCUAAGGAUAUUUAGCAGCUUAUUUAGGCAACUGCCAGAAUUCAGUUUGUUCGCUCGAAACUUGUAUGGUGACAAGGAUACUGGCAAGGAUAGUGAGAUAGUUUUUUGUGUGAGUGAAUUUUGAAAGCUUGGGUGUUCUGGGAUUUGCAAUUGCAAUCAUCCUCUGCUUUAGGUGAUUUCUUCUCCUGUUCUGUCUUUAUUUUCUCUCUAAUUGAAAGCAUUUCAAUCAAAUUCUGUACCAGGAAUACGAAAAAUUUACCAAUAUUUUAUUUCCAUCUGUUUGCAUUGAUAACUUGGCCGCAUAUGUACUAGUUAAAGAACAAACAGAAGCAGAGUUCAGGAAAAAGUUUCUUCGGCCACCAUAUUUGAAAAUGAAACCAUUUCCAGGAAGCAGUUGGCAGCAAAUUCAUACAAAGUAUAGACAAUGAUGAACAAAAAGGUGAUUCGCAAUUUCAUUUUUUUAAAAUGAAAUUAUUUGUUAAGUUGGAGCUGAUAUUGUUAGAAGGCCAUUGAGCUAACCUCUGACACUGCUUGCCUAGAUUGCAGGAGGUCAAGACUCAAAAGAUGCACUGAAUUUUAAAAGGCAUGCAAUAAUUCUUAUGGCCAUUUGUCAAUGGUGGAAUGCUUUUAGCUUCUUUUCCUUUUGUGCAUUUUGGGGUUCUAUCAAGCGACAGCCGUAUGUAUGGAUGGAUAUAGCUGCUGCGUUGAUUUCUAAUGCAUUGUAUGAUGUUAUAGCAACUAUCCAUCUGGUCAAUGUUUCAAAAGAAUAAGACAGGGAAAAAGAGAAAGCAAGUGGCCAAUCAAGUUGCAUCAACCAAAUUGUUGUUAAACAAGUAAAACAAAGAAAGAGAGUUAAGGAAGCUGACCUUGUAGUAGGGGAGCUGAAGAAAGGCUGCCAGUGAAUGUAAGAGAAAAUAAAAUGCAAGAAAUGGUGAAGUGCAGCUUUUCAUGUCAACUUGAAAUUGAUUUUUCUGUUUGUUUUUUUUUUUUUGUAAUCUUUUGGAUUUUUCAAACAAAGAAAAUGAGGAGCAACCAGGGAGAUAAAAAGGGCGCCAAGGCAACUGUGUGUUGGGUUUAGAGCCAAAAAUAAAUAAAUAAAUAAAUAAGACAUCGUGUUCUUGUGGAGACCAGACCUAUUACGUAACGUCCCCUUCAAUACCACUUGUUCCGUAUCUGGUUUUCUCUUCGUCGUUUACAUAUUUAUCCUGUGAUUUUACAAUAACUAAAUAAUCCCCGCAUAGUUUGCAAUUUUAUUCAUUUGGGCCCUACAGAUUUCAGUAAUAGGAAUUAUUAAGGGACAAGAGCGCAAAACAGAAACUCUGUCCACUACUGAUGAUAUAAUAACGAACCUUUGUUUUUUUUUUUUAAAAAAAAAAAGAGUAACAAAAUAUCAUUAGACAAAUGAAAAUAUUAUCUAACAUCACCUAUUCACCUUACUGAUGAUAUGAAAAUAUGUAUGUAUGUAUGUAUGUAUGUACAUAUAUACAUACACCUAUGUAACAUUUACUUAUACAUUCUUUUGAGUUUAAAUCUUAAUACAACUACAUACAACCACAUCAAUGUAUAUAUUUUUUACAUAAGACAUGCCGUCCUAUUAUUCAUAAGUAAACAAUGUGCCGUAAAUAGUAUUCUGUGUUUUCUCAAAGUUGACUUUUCGUCUUUUAUUUUCAGACGCAGACGCUAUGUCAUUUUGUAAUCGUCCGAACAUAUACAGAGCAGAAUUGGUGUUAUCUGAUUUUGUGAUGCAAUAAGAUUUGCACUUCCUGUGCAUUCAAUGGAAUCAUGCCACGCUAGUAGACAAUAUGCUAGUUUGAACAAACUUGUUUGAAUGGCAAAAACGACAUGACCUGCUGUAGUAUUAAUUCUUUCCCGAACCAACGGGUGAUUUGCUACGUUGGAUCAUGAAAAUUAACCAAAAUAAAAAUUCUUAAGGAAUUAGUUAGUUAAUUGAUUGAUCGAAUUUAAUCUAAAUUUGAAAAUGAUAAGAUAAAUUUAAAUUUAUUAUUAUUAUUAUUAUUAUUAUUUUAAAGUGGGUGGGUUUAUACAAUUUGAGCGGUGGAAAUAUCACUGCUGAAUUAUUAAAUAUACAGUGUAAAAUUUUGACCUUUAAAAUAUUCCCUUUUUUUUUUUAUUUAGCACUAUAAGUUUAAAAAUUUAACAUUUUACCUCAAUAAUUAAAUACUUUUAACUUUAAUCUUCAAAUAUUUACCCUACAACAUUUGGACCUAAAUUUUUAAUCCGACUCGGCCCCUGACCCAAGUGGGAAGAAGAUCAGGCUUAUAAGUUAUAACUAUCACCAACAUAACAUCUUCUGGAAAAUAAUAAGAUUACUCACCUGCAAUUAUGUGAUCAAACUAAUGGUAAGCAAAAUAGAACAGCGUUAUUUCAGUCCCCUUUCAGUUUCUUUAUCAUUUUUCUUUUCCUAUUUAUAAGCUUAAUUCGGUUCAAAAUCGGCUAAUUCACUUUGAUUUCACUUUUCUUUCUUUCGGUUCAAAAAAAUUGAACCCAUUGGCUGUCAAUUCAAUUUUGUUGAAAACCAACUUUGCCUGAAUUUAAGUAAUAAUAGAGGAAAAAAAAAGAGUACUUAGCAGAAGAGAUUUCUCAUUUUUUUCUCAUUCAAACUUCUAAAAUAAAAGAAAAAAAAACAAGAGUAAUUGUUAAUUAUCAAAAUUUUGUUUAUACUAUUCCACCAAGAAAAUUAUACAAAAAAAAAAAUUUUAAAAAUUGGAGAAGAAAUAUGAGGUGAAAUACGUGGAUGGCUUAGACUAAUAAUGUGAACAAAUUCCUCUUGGAAGCAUGUCAUUGUUCAUCCGGACAACACGCGGCGAUGAGAUUCGAGAAUAAAAGGAUAGGAAUCAACUGUAACCUCAUAAACAAAUGGCCUUGGAGUUGUAACCAAAGCUUUUAAUUAUUGAUCAUUAAGAUCGAUAUAAAGUAUCACGAAAUGAUGUGUACGACGACAAUAUCAAUAGCGUAGUGUGAAGACCUGGCUGUAAACACAAGGCUCGGCAGAUUAAUUAAACAAGAGUAUCCGAAUUUUCUAUGAUAAUCUCUAGGAAACGAUCAGCUAUAAUGUACGAAAUUAAAAUAUUGCAUAUAUUUUUGAAUUUUUGAACUCAUGCAUUAAUUUAAAAAAUUAUAUCGUAUUAUAAUUUAUUCACAAAAGAAAGAAAAAUUCACUAAUCAAGUGAAAUCGUAUUCUUAUUGAAAUGAAUUCCAGUAAUUGGAUAAAUAUAAGUAUUUCUUCCGUUGUAAUUUUUGUUUAACAGAAAAUCUAUUUGAGAUUUUGUGAGAAGAAACUCAACAAUAAAGUUUGAUAGACUUUGUGGAUAUUAAGAGUUUGACAAGUAAUUGAAAUCUGAAGUUUACUGAAAUUUACGAGCAAACAAACUGAAAUCCGAAGUUUACUGAAGUUUACUAUCAAGAGUUUCAAAACAGUGAAAAAGAUGAUAUAGUUGAUGACAAAAACCUGAGUUAUCCAUAGCGACAAGUAACAUACUGAAGUAAGCCGUUGGGAGCUGGCCUGUUCAUGGGCUAUUUUUCUCUGAUGAUCUGCAUUUUUCUUCCUUUUAAAGUGAACCUUGACUCGUAUCAAACCUGUCAAAAGAACAGUUCAUCAACUGAGCUGAGAUUUGCUUUCCUUUUUCAAAACCCACCUGAGAUAUUGUAAUUCCCAAAUUUCUCUCUCUCAGCUACACGAGCAAGCAGCCGCUUUUUCACUUCAUCGAAGAAGGUAAGCGAUUUAUCUAUUUCGUCCGAUUGAUUUCUUGUUUCGUUUUCAGUGUUCGGGUAAAUUAUUGGCAUGCCUGACUUUUUGACCAUUACAUGAUUCAUAAAUUUCUAUUAAUUUUGAUUUUGAGUUGACUGGUUACUUUUAUAGGUUUGUUUACUUUGACUAGGUGACCAAUUUCUUGUAACUAAAUUUAUGACGUGAUGCAGGAAGCUCGGCAGGAUAUGAAAUGAGAAUCUUAUUAGUGGAAGGAUUGCCAGUAACAGAACCCAAAGAAAAUGAAACCAUUUCAAGGCAGCAGUUGGCAGUUGGGAGUGGAUGGAGGCCCCUGACAAAACUUCAGUAAACUUCAGAUUUCAGUUUGUUUGCUCGAAACUUGCAUGGUGACAAGGAUACUGGCAAGGAUAAUGAGAUAGUUUUUGUGUGAAUGAAAUUACGAUCAUCCUCAGCCUUAGUUGUUAUUUGUUACCUAAUUAAGAAGCAUAAAGUAUCCUGAAUCAUUUUCGUUGUCUGGAACAUAUGAGUGUAAUGAUUGUAAUUUCUGUUUUCUGUCUGUCAUCGAAUGUAAGACAACUUUAUUAAGAUUCUUGAACCGAGUCAUUUUUGACAAUUGAAGGACAAGUGCUGAAGAGUGGGAAUGCAAAAAGUUUUGUUGUUUCUAGCCUUGUUUUCUUUGAACCAGCGCCUGAUGAUAUAACAGAAACAAGGCUAGAAACAACAAAAACUCUGUCCACUACUGAUGAUAUAACAACGAACCUUUGUUUUUUUCUUUUUUCUUUUUUUUUUUAAAAAAAGUAACAAAAUAUCAUUAGAGAAAUGAAAAUAUUAUCUAACAUCACCCUACUGAUGAUAUGAAAAUAUGUAUGUAUGUAUGUAUGUAUAUACGUAUGUAUGUACAUAUAUACAUACACCUAUGUAACAUUUAAUUAUACAUUCUUUUGAGUUUAAAUCUUAAUACACAUUUUCAUGAAAUUUUUAUUUUAUUAAGUAUACAACUACAUACAACUACAUUAAUGUAUAUAUUUUUUACAUAAGACAUGCCGUCCUAUUAUUCAUAAGUCAACAAUGUGUUGUAAAUAGUGUUCGUGUCUCAAAGUUGACUUUUCGUCUUUUAUUUUCAGACGCAGACGAUAUGUCAUUUUAUACACAGCAGAAUUGGUGUUAUCUGAUUUUGUGAUGCAAUAAGAUUUGCACUUCCUGUGCACUCAAUGGAAUCAUUUCUUUGUAACUAAUUGGGUGCUGGAAUGGUGGUCAAAUCUCGAACGAAGACAGAUCUAUCAAACUCCAGAAUUGGUGUUAUCUGAUUAAUUGAUUGAUCGAAUUUUAUCUAAAUUUGAAAAUGAUAAGAUAAUUUUGAAUUUAUUAUUAUAAUUAUUAUUUUAAAGUGGGGUGGGUUUAUACAAUUUGAGCGGUGGAAAUAUCACUACUGAAUUAUUAAAUAUACAGUGUAAAAUUUUGACCUUUAAAAUAUUCCCUUUUUUUUUUAUUUAGCAUCUAUAAAUUUAAAAAUUUAACAUUGUACCUCAAUAAUUAAAUACAUUUAACUUUAAUCUUCAAAUAGUUACCCUACAACAUUUGGACCUAAAUUUUUAAUCCGAUUCGGCCCCUGAUCCAAGUGGGAAGAAGAUCAGGCUUAUAACUAUCACCAACGUAACAUCUUCUGGAAAAUAAUAAGAUUAUUCACCUGCAAUUAUGUGAUCAAACUAACGGUAACCAAAAUAGAACAGCGUUAUUUGAGUCCCCUUUCAGUUUCUUUAUCAUUUUUCUUUUCCUAUUUAUAAGCUUAAUUCGGUUCAAAAUUGGCUAAUUCACUUUAAUAAGUUUAUUGGUUUGAACGCUGUUAGCUUCUUUUCCUUUCGUGCAUUUUGGUAUGCAACAGUUCUUGCCUAUGACACUGCUUGCCUAGAUUGCAGAAGGUCAAGGCUCAAAAGAAGCACUGAAUUUUAAAAGGCAUGCAACAGUUCUUGUGCCAUAUGUCAAUUCAUGCAAGUUUGAAUAAGUUUUUUGGUAUGCUAUCAAGUGACAGCCGUAUGUAUGGUUUGCAUAUAGCUGCUGCUGGGAAAUGUGAGGAUUUCAUGGCUGGCCGUGUUAUUGUCUUAAAUUAGAUGUGAUAAGCUGUUGCUUGGUGAUUCUGUUGCCAAGAAUUUGCUCACAUCAGAAGCUGUGGAACCUGAACCCUUCUCUAGAUAUCAUCUUUUUCAUUGUUUUAAAACUCUCAGGAUUAAACUUGAGUAAUUUUGUUCGGUUGUCUAUAUAAUCAUGUAUUGAGUAAACUCUCAGGAUACUGAGCAGGCAAAUGCCAUAACUCGGUUUGUUCUUCAAAAACUUGUUUAAGAUUCUUGACAAAGCUGCAUGAAGUGAAUCUUGGGAGCUUUGAGGGUGAGAGAAAUUAGAGGGUGUAUAGGGAUUUGGGCUUAUUAGGAAGUUAUAUAUGUAUUUCGUCACUUAUCAUUAUCAUUUUUUUUUUCACAGAAAACCUUCUGAUGGUGCUAAAUUUUCAAACACCGGUCCGAUUCAAAACUUCAUAUUCCAAUUAUAUUCAUAAGACAAAUGGAACACUUUGAACGGCUUGUGUCCGAGCAUUGUAGUUUGAUUUAUUUUGAUGACAGUACCUUUUGACAUUGAGAUUCUUUCAUGAUUUAAACAUUCUUUUAAAAACUAAAUUAUUAAAAAAAAAGUAACUAACAUAUAUUAUUUUAUUAGUGCUUUUUAAAUCAAAUAUACAUAGGAGAACUGUAAUUCUUAGCAAUCAAUUUUCCACUAAAUACACCUGCAACAAACUAUUAAUAGCAAAGUGAUAGAAAAUACCUGAUUUUUCAUACUUUCUAAUUUCUUUUGGUCCUAAAAUAUGGGCAUUUGUGUAAUAAUUAGCCCAUGUGGAUCUCUAUGCCAUGAGUUUGAUAAGUAGCUAUCAAGGAUCACUUAUUAAGCUAAAAAUAUUUGGAGGACAAAAUUGUAAAACUAAAAGGGUGGAGCAAAUAUGGCUAUCUAGGAUUAAAUAGUAAGUCAACUAUAUUUAAAGGAUAAAAUAUUAAAACUUGAAAUGUGAUAUUAAAAAUAUCUCAACUAUUAUGUUAUUAAACCAUAUGUUGUAAUAGUUUAUUUUUUAAGCUUCAAAAUGUUCAGGAUUUUAGAUUGAAACAUUUUCAUUUGAAAUUAUUUGGUGCAGUCACAAGUUAAGAAAGAAAAAGUUGUCCCAUUGGUCAUUUCACAAAAAUGAAAGCCCUGUAUAACAUGGGCUUGAAUGGAAGCCCAAUUGUUUGUGUUUGAUUAAUUGAUUUCAAGCUUUAUCGAACCUUUGUACCUGGAUACUUUACUGCGGCCUCUAAGCGCUAUAAAUUUUUUUGGGGAUAAACGGCGCUUCAAUGAGGUCAUCUCCGAUGCUUAACACCAUUUUGGUGUAAUACCAACAUUAAAAAUAUACAUUUUUCACACUAAAUUACUAUUUCAUCUCCAACCCAUUUACACCAAAAAAAAUAUUUUUCUUUUUAUUCUUUUAAUUCUCAAGAAUUAAUUCAAUUAACACAAUAAAUACUACUAUUAACAUAGAUAAUUAAGUAAUAAGUAAUUUUAUCGAUUAACAAAAAAAUAUAGAAAAUUAUUAAAUUUGCAUUUAAUUAACUAAAUUAGUACAUUAUGAAAAUUAAACAUUACAUUAAUAUAGAAAAAUACAAUAACAAUAAUAAUAAUUUUAUAUCUAAUAUUUUGAUGAUAUUGGAGGAUCUAAUAAUGAUCUUCCAGAUUAUUAAAUAAUUGUUCUAAUUUAUACUAGUAGUAGUAGCUUUUUUAAUUUGUGUUAAUUUAAUUUUGUAAUAUGUAAUAUAGUAAUUAAUGUUACUAGCAUUUUAUUAUUAUUAUUAAUUUUUGUGUUGAAUAUUUUUUAUUUAAAAUAUUAGUAUAAUAUUCAAAAAUUAAAAAAUGAAAUAAAAAUAAUAACAAAAAUAAUAAUAAUAAUAACUUAAAAUAUUAUAUAAAAUAGGACAUAUAUGUAAAUAAGAAAAAGUAAUAAAGAUAUUUAAGAGCUUUUUUUCCUAGCACCAAAUGAAUAGUGUUACACCAUAUUUGGUGCAAUACUAUUCACAACACCAUUUUGUUGUUGGUUUUGGUGUUACAUUGGAGAAGCAUUUUACACCAAAAAUAGUGUAAAAGGUGGUUUGGUGUUAGUUUUGGUGUCACAUUGGAGAUGGCCUGGAAAAGCACUUGAAAACUUUGGAUUUUUGGUUCGUCCAGUUACGGUGUUAUGCUAACGGGGUUAAAGGUUCCGAUCCAAUGAGUUAGGAUCCGAAGGUUACUGAAGUUUACUAUCAAGAGUUUCAAAACAGUGAAAAAGAUGAUAUAGUUGAUGACAAAAACCUGAGUUAUCCAUAGCGACAAGUAACAUACUGUUUAUUACAGAGAAACAAACGACAACAUGAUACUAGUAGUAGUUAUUCUUUUCAUCCGAUAUAUUACAUGGUAAUAUCACUACUCGUUCCACUAGUUUCAUGUACACUGUCGACCAGCAACAUGAUAAUUUCGUGCCAGUUCAUUUUGGUUUGUUGGAAAAAGCAGUGUAUUUCUUAGAACUUGAAAAUAAUAAAAAUAUUUUAAAAUAUAAAUUGCAUAUUUGUUUAUUACCAUUCUUUGGUCUAUUUCUUCUGUAGACUUUUCAGAAUCUGUAGGACGUUAGUUUAUAACUUUGGGAUUUUGUAGCCCUAAUUUUUUUUUUUGGCAUUUUAUUUUGCUGCUUUAUCUAUGUGCAUGUUAACUAAAUUAAGCUAAUCUAGAAUUAAUAGAGAGGGAUAUUUAUCUAUUUUGUUUAACCUUUACCACUCUAGGCAUUGUACUACAUGUGAGCUUGUGAUGCUUGCAUUUUAUUGAUGUUGAUGAUUCGUUGAAUGUUUUAUUUUUUGAUUUUUUAAGUUUUCCAGAGUCAUGUUUGUGUCUACGAAGAAAUUGUAAAGGCUGUGCACGAAGCACUUGUCAUUCUUUAGACUUUAUUGAUUAUAUUUUUGUCAGAUUUGCGUGUAUAUUCACAUAUGUUUUAUUUUUUCAUUUUGUAGGACAUUUUUACAUGCCAUAUUAUCACGACUCUUCUGUGUCUGAAUAAGAAGAAAGCAUAAUGCGACCCUCCAACAGCUUAAUCUAUGGAAUUAUCGUGUUUUGUAAGUUCUGGUCCAAUGGCGUUUUGGCACAUCAUAUGAUAGACCACUAUAUUGCGUUGCUUUACAAAAGAUUAAUAUUUUUAAAAUUAUUAACUCAUGAUAUGAUAGUCCAGGUUUUCGAGGACCACUAUAUUGUAUGGAUUUAAAAAAAAUUAAUAUUUUUUAAUAUUAAUAUUCUAAAUUAUAUUCAGUUAAAAUAUUAAAUAUUAAAUACAUUCUUAACAUUAAUAUUCUUAGAUGAAAUUCUUUUGCUGACUUAAGAAUAAAGUAUUAAAUAAUUUUAUUUUUCUUUUAUUUUGUAACGUGGACCCAAAAAAAAAAGGAAAUGAAUUUAAUAAAACCUUCAUUCCGCCAACAUGCAUGUUAAUUGUUUCCAAAUUCCAACCUCCGUACUCUCUUGAGGAGUUUCCCAUUCAUCAAUUAUUAUUUUUUAUAAUCCAUACCAUCCUGAUAUAAUUAAACACCAUUAAUAAUGUACCAGCCUUUAAAUAGUAAUUAAUUUAUUUAUCUAAUUCACCAAAUGUUUUUUUCCGGUACAUAUCUCCAUUGGUAUCAAGAAGAAGCAGAACCCAAAGAAAUGUUUCUUGCAUCUUCAUAUUUGUGCGAAUUCAUCCUUUCAUUGAGAAUAACCAUUUCCAGGCAGCAGUUGGCAAUCAAUUCAUGCGCAUGUCGAUGCUACUCAUAGAUAUUAAAGACAAUGAUGAACCAAAGGUAAUAAAUCAUAAAUGCAUAAUUACCAAACCUCCAUCCUUCUCUCAUUAUGACUUGAUUUUAAAUGAAUUAUUGCUUGGUAACAUUAUUUCCAACCAUUGCAAGAUUUUUUUUUGGAGAAAUUUCAAUUGAAAGUAAAACCUUUAGACAUUUACCUAAUGAAGUUAGUUAAUCGGGAGGGUGGAAAAAAAAAAGUUGACGCAAGUCAAUACACAAUAAUUAAUUAAAUCCGGAGUCACUAAAACAGAGCCACGACUUUUUCAAAAAUAUCUGCAUUCAUCACUUUCUCCAGCAACUAGUCAGCUACACACGAAUCAAUUUCUCUCCUCGUUUGUCAUCCAAAAUUAUUCACCAAUACCAUGGCUGAUGCAAUCGUUUCCCCGCUCUUGGAGCAGCUGAUUUCCUUCGCUGCUGAAGAGAUAAAACAACAGGUGAUCGAAGUUACACCCCUCAUAUUACAAAUACUUCCAAUGAUUUUAAUUGGUUUUGUUUUUAUCAAAAACAUUAUAUAUUUUUGCUUUUUUUUAUUUAUCUGAUAAUUUUAUAUUUUGAAAUUUGAAUUGAAUUUAAUUAAAAGGUGAUGUAGUAACCACUUAUUUUUAUUUUAUUUCAUUUAUAUUCUCAAUAACUACUCAUAUUUUGGUAACUUACUAUAACUUCCAUAUCUAAGAAAUGAUCCAAACCCACAAUUUUAACUAUGUAUAAAUAUUCAACGUUGAGCUAAGGUUUUGCAGAACAUUCAAGUUUAUCAAAUAGUCAUUAAUUUAAUGUUUUAGUAAAACCUCAACUCAUCACUGAAUCCCAUAGCUAUUACUUAGACACUAUGAAAAAUUUCAUAGUUUUCUUACAUUCUUUCAGUUUGGUAAGUGAUUUCAUAUAAUUUCUUUUCAAGUUAAAUUUUAAUUUGGUUUCUGAUAUAGUCUCUUUGCCGAAUUGUAUCUUUUAUGAUUCUUGGAUUUUGGGCUCCAACUUUUUAGGAUUUGAUAGUCACAUUUUAUGCCAUGCUCAGAUUGAUUUUCAUGAUUUUUAGUACCCGUUAAGUGACGUACAAUUUGACAAAAGUUUGAAAGGAAAUAUGUUUCAGAAUUCUGUUUUAAUUGACCUUUUAGUGGAAUUAGGAUGCUUAUAACUUAAUGUGGAUGGUUCGUAAAAUCAUGAAAUUUGGAUAGGAUUCACUAGCAAUAUGUACAAGACUCCCCAUAAAGUUUCAUAAUUUUUCAUUCGGUCUGGGGUGGUACAGGUGAAACUUGUGGUUGGUGUUGAAAAAGAAGUGAAAAGCCUUACCAGCCAUCUUCAAGCCAUUCAAGUUGUGCUCGAUGAUGCAGAGGAAAAGCAAGUGAAGGAAAAAGCUGUUAGUCUUUGGCUGGGUAGGCUCAAGUAUGCAUCCUACGACAUUGAAGAUGUGUUGGAUGAGUGGAUAACAACAAGACGCAAAUUGCAAAUUGAGGGUGGCGUUGAUGAAAAUGCUCUUGUUGUUCCUCAUAAGAAAAAGAAGGUAUGUCUCUGCUUUCCCGGCUCUUGUUUUGGAUUCAAACAAGAAGAAUUUGGUUUCAAACAGGUCUUUCUCCGUCAUGACAUUGCCGACAAGAUCAAAGAAAUCAAUGAAGAGCUACAUGAUAUUGCCGCUCAAAAAGACAUGUUUGAUCUUGUUAAGAGUGGCAAUAAAAGUAGUGAAAGACCAAGGCGUGUACAGAGUACCUCCUUGAUUGAUGAGGAAGAGAUUUGUGGCAGAGUUGGUGAGAGGAAUGAACUCUUAAGCAAGCUGUUGUGUGAGAGUAGCGAGCAACAAAAAGGCCUUCAUAUCAUCUCAAUCGUUGGUAUGGGAGGCAUAGGGAAAACAACUCUUGCACAACUAGCUUGUAAUCAUGACGAGGUGAAGAGAAAGUUCGACAAAAUUCUGUGGGUGUGUGUAUCAGAAACUUUUGAGGAGUUUAGGGUUGCCAAAGCGAUCGUUGAAGUUUUGGAUGGUCGUGAAUCUCAUUUAGCUGAAUUCCAUUCUCUUCUUCAACAUAUUUAUGAAUCCAUUGCAGGGAAGAGCUUUCUUCUUGUCUUAGAUGACGUGUGGGAUGGAAAUUACUUGAAAUGGGAACCAUUCUACCAUUGUCUAAAGAAUGGUCUCCAUGGAAGUAAAAUUUUAGUUACCACACGUAAAGGGUCAGUCGCAUCCAUGAUGGGAUCCAUAGAUAUUAUCUCCGUUAAGGAGUUAGCUGAAGAGGAAUGUUGGUUGUUGUUUAACAAGAUAGCAUUUUUUGAUCGGUCCAUCGAGGAACGUGAAAAAUUAGAACAAAUUGGGCAAAGAAUUGCAGGCAAGUGCAAAGGUUUACCUCUUGCAGCAAAGACAAUAGGGAGUCUCAUGCGUUCUAAACAAACUGAAGAAGAGUGGAAAAGAAUUUUAAAUAGUGAUUUAUGGAAAGUAGAAGAGAUUGAGAAAGAUGUUUUGUCCUCUUUAUUGUUGAGUUAUAAUGAUUUGCCAUCUAGAGUAAAAAGAUGUUUUUCAUAUUGUGCUGUCUUUCCAAAAGACUACAAUAUAGAAAAAGACAAACUAAUCACGUUAUGGAUGGCUCAAGGUUAUCUUAGUGCAGAAGAAGAUGAAGAGAUGGAGACAGUAGGUGAAGAGUAUUUUGGCAUCUUAGCUUCUCGCUCAUUUUUUCAAGAGUUUAAGAAAAGUUAUGAUAAUCGGAUUAUAGAGUGUAAGAUGCAUGAUAUGGUACAUGAUUUUGCCCGAUUUGUAAGUCAAAAUGAAUGUUUUUCGAUGGCAAUUAAUGGUAGUGAAGAACCAAACGCCACAAACUCUCUUGAUGAGAAGGUCCGUCAUUUAAUGUUAAUCUUUAGUAUAGAGGCUUCAUUACCUGUUUCCACUUGUAGAGUUAAAAGAAUUCGUAGCCUCUUAAUUAACGAUAGUAGAUCUGAUCAUUCAUUAUUAAAUGGUGAGAUCCUAGAAGAAUUAUUUAGGGAAUUGACAAGUUUAAGGGCAUUAGAUUUUUGCAAAUCGUAUAACGCAAGCUGGUCUUCGACUCUGGAGAUUCCGAGAAACAUAGAAAAGCUGGUACAUUUAAGAUACCUUAAUUUGUCUUAUCAGGGAAUAAAGAAACUACCGGAGACAUUAUGCGAGUUGUAUAAUCUAGAAAAGUUAGAUAUUAGUUAUUGUUAUAAGCUAGAAGAAGUACCUGAAGGGAUUGGGAAGUUAAUAAACAUGAAGCAUUUACGAAAUAGAGGUACUAGUUCUUUAAGGUACAUGCCGGUAGGGAUUGGGAGAUUAACGGGUCUUAGGACCUUGGGUGAGUUCCACGUGAGUGCAGGAGGAGGUGUUGAUGGUAGGAAAGCAUGUAGGCUUGAAUCUCUUUAAAACUUGGAACACCUUCAAGUAUGUGGUAUAUGUAGACUGGGUGAUGUAUCAGAUGUGGGCGAGGCUAAGCGAUUAGAACUUGACAAAAAGAAAUACCUCUUCAGUUUGACCCUUGAGUUUGAUAAGACGGAAAGAGGAGGAGAAAGGAGGAAGAACGAGGACGAUCAACUUCUUCUUGAAGCCUUGCGACCACCCCUGGAUUUAAAGGAAUUAGAGAUACGGUACUACCGAGGCAACACUGUUUUCCCCAGCUGGAUGGCGUCAUUAACCAACUUAAAGAGUUUACAUCUCCAUAGGUGCGAAAAUUGCGAGCAGCUGCCUCCUUUGGGAAAAUUGCCGUCCCUUGAAAAUCUCUACAUAUGGCGCAUGGAGAGUGUGAAGAGAGUGGGUGAUGAAUUUUUGGGGAUAGAAAGUGAUCAUCAUGACUCAUCGUCAUCUUCAUCAGUUACUAUUGCCUUCCCCAAAUUGAAAUCACUCACAAUUUAUUCGAUGCUGGAAUUGGAGGAGUGGGAUUAUGAGAUUACAAGAACAGGAAACACCGUCAUCAACAUCAUGCCACGUCUUUCUUCCUUGACAAUUGUUGAUUGCACCAAAUUAAAGGCACUGCCCGACCACAUUCAUCAAACGACAACGUUGAAGGAAUUGAGCAUUUUUAUGUGUUGGCUUCUGAACAAACGUUACCGCAAGGGGAAAGGAGAAGACUGGCCUAAAAUAUCACACAUUCCCAACCUCCAUAUUGGGCUUUGACAAGUAAUUUCUUCUCUCACUCUGAUUUGCUUUGUUGUUGUUUUUGUUGAAAAGUUAAAAAGUUUGGUUGGAAAAGAAAAGUGAGCCACAUGCAUUGCUUUUGUUUUUCAAAGUCGGCACCAAAUUGCAAACUGUAUUUGGCAUUUGACAAUCCUGCACCAAAUGAAGAAAAAUGCAAAAGUUAGCAAAAUUUGUCAAAUUGACAGAGAUGGAGAUUGAUAAAUUGCAGAGGGAUUAGGUGGAAUAGUGCAUGCUUGAAGCCUAUAAAUUGAAGCCAUUUCUUCAUUCUAAAUAAUCCCAAAAUUGUUAAACUUAUAAGUUUCUAAGCUUUUGAGAGAAGUGAGAGAAGUGUGUCUGUGGAAUUUAUUUUUCCUGCAGAGUGUGAGAGUACUUGGUAUAUUUGGGUUUCUGGGAAGUGAGAUUCGUUACUCAAAUAUUGUAUUCUAUUAAUUGUUAAAUAAACAAUUAUUCUUUCUUACCUCCGUGGAUGUAGGUUUAAUUACCGAACCACGUAAAAUCUUGUGUCCUUUAUUUUUCAGUAAUUAUUUGGUGCGCUUGAUUCCGCAUUCCGCGCACAACAGUUUUUAAUCUAAUUAAGAAGCGAAAAUAGCAUUUUGAAUCAAACUCUAUAUCAGAAAUCUGCAAUACUUACUUUCUAAUAUUCUGAUUUUCAUAUCCUAUGAAUAUACGAUUUUUAAUUUGUGAGAUGGGUAACGUUACUGUAAAAGAUUAUUAAUGCAAUAUGAGUAAUUCUUUUGCAGGACAAGUGACCUACAUUUAGUUUGGCUUUGGAGUUGAAUAAUAACCUUUCGAGGUCCCGACAACCAAAAAACAAAGCUUAAUUUGCCACAGAUUGAACGUAUUGCCAUUAUUGACAAUUUUCUGCACAAGUGUGACUGAACUUAGGUUGAUGUCAAAAGAGGUAAAUUAUUGGCAUGCCUCACUAUUUUGACCAUUACAUGAUUCAUAAGUUUACAUUAAUUUUGAUUUUGAGUUGAGUGAUUAGUUUUCUAGGUUUGCUUACUUUAACUGGGUGACCAAUUUCUUGUAACUAAAUGUAUGAUGUGAUGCAGGAAGCAGGGCAGGAUAUGAAAAGAGAAGCUUAUUAGAGGAAGGAUUGCCAGUAACAGAAUCCAAAGAAAAAGAAACCAUUUCGAGGCAGCUGUUGGCAGUUGGCAGUGAAUGGAGCCCCUUGAAAAAAUUCCCAAGCCGUUGCACUGCAAUUACGAUCAUCCUCGGCCUCAGGUAAUUUCUUCUCCUGCAUUUUUGUUAUUUGCUAUCAAGUGACUAUUUUAAGUAUGAUUGCAUUAAGCUGCUGCUGGGAAAUUUGAGGUUUUGAUGACUGCCCAUGCUAUUGUCAGAAGCUGCGGUUCUUUUCAUCAGCCUGAACCUGGACCUGCCGCUAUGGAUAACUCAGGUUUUUUUUUUUUUUUAAUCAACUGCCAUCUUUUCCACUGUUUAGAAACUCUUAAGAUUAAACUUUAGUAAAGUUGUUUUAGUUAUCCAUGUAAUCAGGCUGAGGAUACUUAGCUGCCUAUUUAAGCAAAUGUCAGAAUUUAGUUUGUUCGCUGGGAACUGGUGUGGACUGGCAAAGGAUGAUGAGAUAGUUUUUUGAGUGAGUAAAUUUUGGGAGCUUGAGUGUAUUGGGAUUUGCAAUUACAAUCAUCGUCUGCCUCAGGUGAUUUCUUCUCCUGCUCUAUCAUUGUUUGUUCUCUAAUUCAAAAGCAUAAAAUAUUUCAAUCAAUUUUUAUGCCAGGAAUAUGCAAAAGUUUCUAAUAUUUUAUUUCCAUCUGUUACAAGAUCAAACUGAAGUAGAACUCAAACAAAAGUAUGCUACUUCUUGCGGAAAUCUUGCCUUUGUUCAGAUUAUGAAACCAUUUCCAUGCAGCAAAUUCAUCCAAAAGUUUGAAUAAGUUUCAUGGUUGGACACUGUUGGCUUCUUUUUCUUCUGGGGUGCAUUUAGGUGCUAUCAAGUGACAGCUGUAAGUAUGAUUGCACUAAGCUGCCGCUGGGAAAUUUGAGGUUUUGAUGGCUGCCCAUGUUAUUUUCAAGAAACUAUUGAUGUAAGAAGCUGUGGUUCUUUUCAUCAGCUUGAACCUGAAACUGUCGCUAUGGAUAACUCAGGUUUUUGUUAUCAACUAUAUCAUCUUUUUCACUAUUUUGAAACUCUUAAGAUUAAACUUUAGUAAAGUUGUUUCAGCUAUUCAAAUGAAAAACUCAUUGAUUUGAGACUUCCUUCAUUAUUGUUUCUAAUUACAAUGCUAACGAUCUAGAUAAAAUAAUAUUUAAUCGGCGCAGGUGUCCCUUGGAAGUACAUCCAACUUUUUCUUUUAUUAUAUAAAUUCUUGCAAUGAGCUUAGUGAAGCUGUUGUGCUAAUCAUGCCACUGCAUAAUUUGGCCCCUAAUGUGGGUACUCUGUUACAUUGUUCUGCAAAUUCUCCAGAAGUUAAAAUCAAUAAAUUUUCUAUUAGCUCUAGUGCUUUGACCUAAAUGCUAUUCUAUAUUUUGAUUACAAUGUUUUAACCUUUAAAUUAACUACCCCUAGAUGUUGGAUUUUCUAGAACUUCAAAAUGAUUAAUGGAGAAAGAUCCCAUUAUCGUUAUUGCUAUAAGAAAUUGAUUUAUGCAUCCAAAGAUACAUUAUAUAUUUCUGUGUCUCUAUUUGUAGAUGACAUUUAAGCAUCCAUAAACCGUCAGACAGAGGAAGGGUGAUGGGUGUCGAAGCCAACAAAAAUAAAUUCCUACUCUAAAUAAAUUGUGUAUAGUGAUUGAGCAGGGUCGUGUCCACAGAGAUCGGUAAUUAAUUAAAUCCUUUUGAAACGUAAAACAUAAAAUGGGGGAAUUGUUGACAAUAAUAAAAAUCAAAUUAAAAUAACAAGAAUGCAAAUUAAAGUUGUAAUUCAAAUUAGAGAAAGCUCUGGUUGAAGGAAUUAACUCAGCUUGAUUCGACUACUGAUCAUUGAUUCAAAUAUAGAUUAUUAUUACUCAUGAAUAGACCGGUUAUAGCUACUGAGACCCUCUAAUAGCCAAUCUCUCCUUAACUAGUCGAUAACCAAGGUACGACCAUUGGUUAUUUCCCUAAUCAAUAGACAACCCUAGAUACGAUCAUAGAAUUUAAUCAAUUGACAGCCUGAAAAACCAGAGAGACCCAAAUCCUAAUCAACACAUAUGAUGAUUCAUUUAAAUUAGAUUGUUUAUUCUCACAACACAACUCUCUGCUAUGUUAUUUGUCACAAACAUUAAAUUCUUCAUACGAUGAAUCCUUUAAUUGACAAUAGAUUAAGUUGAUAAUUAAAUAGUGGCCAAUUACCUAAUUAACAAACAUAAUCAUGAAAAUAAUUCAGAGAAUAAACAAAUACCCAAAAAGUAAUAAAACAAUUAAAGCACAAGAAAGAUCUCACAGUAGUGAUGAAUCAAAGCUUCAUUAACCUUCAACCAGAAAAAUAGGUUUAGCUCUUCAUAGAGAGAAGAGAAAAAUUAGAUCUAGGGUUUCUUUCUUUUUCUCCAAUCCAAAAAUCCCCCUUUUUCACAAUAGAUUCCUCCCUUAAAUACUUUCUCUCUCUUCUCUUUUAGAAUUCUAUUUAAAAUAAAAUCCUAAUAUCUGAAAUAUUAAAUUCGUAAUUACAAAAAUAACCAAAAAUACAAAACACGUUAAACUAAAAACUGCAGGUCCGCAGUUGACAGCACGCGCCCACGCCUUAUCAACAAAGUUCUUCUGACGCUCAUAAUUUCUCCAAGAGAACAAUCAUCCUUAAACAUCAUCUUAUAGCUCAAUUUUAUCAUCAAUCAAUAGAAUUGCACCUACAAAAGUAAAACACAAGUAAAUCACUAUUAUUAAGUGCAAAACAUUGAUAUUAAGGGAAGUAAAUAAUGCAAAACUAGUGCAUAAAUUGCACUCUAACAAAGGGGGUUCAGUGCAAAGAUUCUGUUGACCUAGGGUUGACUGCAUAAUGUCACUUGUUCGCAAUCUAUUAUUUAUUUUAUAUUUUGAAGAAUUUAAUGGGUAAUCCUAAUUGUUUGUUUUGGCAGGUAUGUGUUGUUAUCUCCUUCUAUCUAACAGUCGUACCUAAAUAGCAUAGUUUCAUCUGUGUUACCAUGUGAUGUACAUAAUUUCACAUUUGCCUCAGAUUAAGCUUAAUUUCCCACAAAAUAGAGCUGUCGCGACUGGACUUAGGUUGAUGUCCAAAGAGGUAAAUUAUUGGCAUGCCUAGAUAAUUUGGCCAUUUCCUAAUUCAUAAGUCUACAUUAUUUUUGAUUUUGAGUUGACUGAUUUCUUUUCAAGGUCUGCUUCCUUAACGGAGUGACCAAUGUUUUUCAACUAAAUUUAUCAUAUGAUGCAGGAAGCAGGGCAGGAUAUGAAAUGAGAUCUCAUUGGUGGAAGUAUUGCCAGUAGCAGAACCCAAUGAAAAUGAAACUAUUUCAAGGCAGCAGUUGGCAGUUGCAAGUAAAUGGAGGCCCUUGACAAAAUUCUCAAGCGGUUGCAAUGCAAUUACGAUCAUCCUCAGCCUCAGGUAAUUUCUUCUCCUGCUUUGUAUUUAUUUGUUAUCUAAUUAGGAAGCGUAAAGUAUCUUGAAUCAUUUUCUGUAUCUGGAAUAUAUGCAAGAGUUUCUAAAAUUUUGAUAUGAGUGUAAUGAUGGUAAUUUCUGUUUUCUGUCUGUCAUCAAAUGUUAGAAAACUUUCAUUGAGACCCUUGAACCGAGUCAUUUUUGACAAGUGAAGGACAAUUGCUGAAGAGUGGGAAUGGUGCUAGAUUGGGGAAUAAAGACAAAGGAGGUAAAUUAUUUGCAGUUUAUUCAGCAUUAUUUGCUUUGGACCACCGCCUGAUUCACAAGUCUCCAUAAUUUGGCUUUUGAGCAGUUGUUAAUAAAUUUUUAAUUCCAUUGGUGCUAAAUGUGCACGUGAAGCAGGCAGAGCAGGACUGUGGAAAUGAGAAGGUUUUUAGUGAAAGCUUAAACUCAGGUAAUUCUAAAAAGUACAUGUUUUUGCUGAUUUAUCUAAAUCAGGAAGUUUUAUUUCCAUCUGUUACAAGAUAAAACAGAAACAGAACACAAAGAAAAAUAUUCUACUUCUUCUGGCAAUCUUGCCUUCAUUCAGACAAUGAAACCAUUUCCUUUCACCAAUUUCUUCCAAAAGUUUGAAUAAGUUUCAUGGUUGGACAUAGUUAGCUUCUUUUUCUUUUGGUGCAUUUAGGUCCUAUCAAGUGACAGCCAUAAGUAUGAUUGCAUUAUUGGGAAAUUUUAGGUUUGGAUGGCUCCCCAUGUUAUUGCCAAGAAAGUCCUCAUGUCAGAAGCUGCGGUUCUUUUCAUCAGCCUGAACCCGAACCUGUCGUUAUGGAUAACUCAGGUUUUUGUCAUCAACUAUAUCAUCUUUUUUACUGUUUUGAAACUCUUAAGAUUAAACUUCAGUAAAGUUGUUUCAGUUAUCCAUGUAAGCAGGCUAAGGAUAUUUAGCAGCUUAUUUAGGCAACUGCCAGAAUUGAGUUUGUUUGCUCGAAACUUGUAUGGUGACAAGGAUACUGGCAAGGAUAGUGAGAUAGUUUUUUGUGUGAGUGAAAUUUGAAAGCUUGGGUGUUCUGGGAUUUGCAAUUGCAAUCAUCCUCUGAGUCAGGUGAUUUCUUCUCCUGCUCUGUCUUGAUUUUCUCUCUAAUUGAAAGCAUAAAGUAUUUCAAUCAAAUUCUGUACCAGGAAUACGUAAAAGUUACUAAUAUUUUAUUUCCAUCUGUUCGCAUUGAUAACUCGGCGGCAUAUGUGUUGUGCGCGGAAUGCGGAAUCAAGCGCGCCAAAUAAUUAUAGAAAAAUAAAGGACACAAGAAUUACGUGGUUCGGUAAUUAAACCUACAUCCACGGAGGCAAGAAAGAAUAAUUGUUUAUUUAACAACUAAUAGAGUACAAUAUUUGAGUAACGAAUCUCACUUCCCAGAAACCCAAAUAUACCAAGUACUCUCACACUCUGCAGGAAAUAUAAAUUCCCCAGACACACUUCUCUCACUUCUCUCAAAAGCUUAGAAACUUAUAAGCUUAACAAUUUUGGGAUUAUUUCAAAUGAACAAUUUCCCUUCUAUAUAUAGGAACCGUAGCUCACCUACCACUUCCAAUUUGGCUACAACUUGCCGAAUUGAUAAAUUGAAUUUAGAAUGGAAAAUCAAUUUGGUGAGCAACAAAAUCAACAAGUUUGAAAAAUCAAUUGGCUUCUAGAAAAACAUCACAUUUUUCCUCCAUACAAUUUCAACAAAAUCGUCCCACCAACCAUGUCUUUUGAAAUUUGCAUGCCAUUCUUUGACUUGUUGUGCGCGGAAUGCGGAAUCAAGCUCACCAAAAAUUACUGCAAAAAUAAAGGACACAAGAAUUUACGUGGUUCGGUAAUUAAACCUACAUCCACGGAGGCAAGAAAGAAUAAUUGUUUAUUUAACAAUUAAUAGAAUACAAUAUUUGAGUAACGAAUCUCACUUCCCAGAAACCCAAAUAUACCCAGUACUCUCACACUCUGCAGGAAAGAUAAAUUCCCCAGACACACUUCUCUCACUUCUCUCAAAAGCUUAGAAACUUAUAAGCUUAACAAUUUUGCGAUUAUUUCAAAUGAACAAUUUCCCUUCUAUAUAUAGGAACCGUAGCUCACCUACCACUUCCAAUUUGGCUACAACUUGCCGAAUUGAUAAAUUGAAUUUAGAAUGGAAAAUCAAUUUGGUGAGCAACAAAAUCAACAAGUUUGAAAAAUCAAUUGGCUUCUAGAAAAACAUCACAUUUUUCCUCCAUACAAUUUCAACAAAAUCGUCCCACCAACCAUGUCUUUUGAAAUUUGCAUGCCAUUCUUUGACUUUUCAACAAUUCUCCACCUCGGCGAAAAUUUUCCAAAUCUGAGCCGACUACCAACUAACCAUCCCCAAAGUGAUCCUUCAAUAAGGAUCCAGAAUGGCUGUGUCGAUUCGACUGCCUACGUACCCAAACUGUCUUGAUUUUCUCUCUAAUUGAAAGCAUAAAGUAUUUCAAUCAAAUUCUGUACCAGGAAUACGUAAAAGUUACUAAUAUUUUAUUUCCAUCUGUUCGCAUUGAUAACUCGGCGGCAUAUGUGUUGUGCGCGGAAUGCGGAAUCAAGCGCGCCAAAUAAUUAUAGAAAAAUAAAGGACACAAGAAUUACGUGGUUCGGGAAGCAGUUGGCAGCAAAUUCAUAUGGAGUGUAGACAAUGAUGAGCAAAAAGGUGAUUCUCAAUUUCUUUUUUUUUUAAAGUGAAAUUAUUUGUUAGAUUGAAGCUGAUAUUGUAAGAAGGCCAUUGAGCUAACCUAUGUCGCCACUUGCCUAGAUUGCAGGGGGUCAAGACUCAAAAGAAGCACUGAAAUUUAAAAAGCAUGCAAUAGUUCUUUUGCCAUGUAUCAAUUAAUGCAAGUUUGAAUAAAAUUAACAUAUAUCAAGACACAACUAGAAACAUCAUACUUUCGUGUAAGUUCAUUUCAGAAUAUUUCUUAGAGUUUGUAUAAAAUGAAAAGAUUUUAAAAUAUAAAUUUAAUAUUUGUUUAUUACCGUUGUUUGGUCUAAUUUCCUCGGGAGAAUUUUCAGAAUUUAUAGGACAUUAGUUUAUAAUUUUGAAAUUUUGUAACCUAAAUGUUUUUUUUUUUCGGUUACCAUUUUGUUUUCCUGCUUUAUCUACGUGUAUGUUGACUAAAACUAAUCUAUUUUGUUAAACCUUUACCACUUUAGACAUUGCACUAAAUAUGAGUUCGUGAUGCUUGCAUUUUAUUGAUGCUGAUGAUUCGUUGAAUGUUUUAUGUUUUUGAUUUUUAAGUAUUCCGGAUCGAAGUUUGUGUCUACGCGGAAAUUGUAAAGGCAGCAUAUAAAGUACUCGUCGUUCUUUAGAUUUUAUUGAGUACACUUUUUUCACAUUUAGCGUAUGCUAUACACUACUGAUUUGCGCAUUGACAUAUAACUUAUUUUAUCAUUUUGAAUGAAUUGCACGGCGAGGCUUAUCAACUUUGGAUGAAUCCUCCAAUUGUCACAGUCCAAGACUGGCUGCAGUGAGUGAAAAUUUACCCAUAUAUAUGCUGGCUAUUUUUAUUGGCGACGAAUUCGUUGUAGUUGGUCCAUCUUGCUAUUCUCGGACAAUAUUAGAGAAAAUAAUCAUAUUAUUUCGCGUGAUGUGACCUUCCAUAACUUAUCAAUUGAAUUACUGUAAAAUUAUUGUGUAAGUUUAGGCCCAAUGGCACUUUAGUUCAUCACAUGAUAGCCUGGAUUUAAAUGGAAAACUAUAUUGCAUUGCUUCAAAAAAAUAAAUUAAUGUUUUUAAUAUGAAUAUUUUUAACUAUAUUCAGUUAAAAUAAUAUAUUCUUAAUAUUAAUAUUCAUAGAUGAAAUUCUUUUGCGGAUUUAAGAAUAAAAUAUCAAAUAGUUUUAUUUUUCUUUUGUUGUGUAACUUGGACCGAAAAAGAAAAUGAGCUUAACAUGACCCUCCUUCCGGCACUAUGCAUGUUUUUCUUGUAUUGAUGACAGUGCUCUUGGUGCUUCUCAUCUGCUUCUUGCUUUGGUUUCAAACAAGUCUUUCUCCGUCAAGACAUUUAUUGUAAUUUCAUUUGGAGACAUCUGUCGUUCAAAUAUAUUUCAUAUUCAAGCUGUUGAUAAUUCUGCUUGAGAAAGCCUACAAAGCAGCUGUGUGAUGUAAUGGAAGACUAUAUAUGCAAGCGGUCAUCAGUUUCUCUUGAAUUCUUUCUUGAGUUUCUUUGAAUUAUUUGUGAAUGAGUUCUUAAUCGGCUGCUGCUCUUCAGGAAAAGGAAAGUUUUGCAAACUGGUGAAGCUGAUCGAUAAAAGCAAUGUACCAUCUUUGCUGGCAUGGAUCGAUGCCAGUGAGUAGCUCAUUGGUGGAAGUAUUGCCAGUAACAGAACCCAAAGCAAAUGAAACUAUUUCAAGGCAGCAGUUGGCGCUUGCAAGUGAAUGGAGGCCAUUGACAAAAUUCUCAAGUGGUUGCGAUGCAAUUACGAUCAUCCUCAGCCUCAUGUAAAUUCUUCUCCUGCUUUGUUUUUAUUUGUUAUCUAAUUAAGAAGCACAAAGUAUCUUCAAUCAUUUUCUGUAUCUGGAAUAUAUGCAACAGUUUCUAAAAUUUUGAAACGAGUGUAAGGAUGGUAAUUUCUGUUUUCUGCCUGUCAUCCAAUGUUAGACAACUUUCAUUGAGACUCUUGAACAGAGUCAUCUUUGCUGGCAUGGAUCGAUGCCAGUGAGUUUUUUUAUUUGUCAACCUUUUUAAUAAUGCAUAUGUGUUUCUUCAACUUGAAGCGGCAUAUAAGACGAAAGAAGUGAUCUUUAUCCAAUUGCUCCAAAUUAUUUGCAAAUUACUGAACACGAAUGCUGAUGAAUAAACUGAUGGCUCUAUGUAUGUAUGCACAUGCAUGGAGAAAUUUUAAGUCAGACAUUGACUCGUGGUACCAAAUCAUUAAAUAAUCUUGAAAUCAAAGUAAUAAUUAAAUACAAAUAAAUUGCUCGAAUUGUACAUAUAUCUGAAUCAUGUAGUGAAGAAAAUACAACAACAACAGCCAAUGGCUCAAAUUCCCUAUCAACUUCUAGUCUCAACACUUUUGAGUGUCAGAAGCAUUACUCUGCUACUAGUUAACAAACAUAUAAUUAGUAAUUUGCCAUUCACUUCCCUUUUAGGCCUAACACAUUUUCUAUAAAAGAGCCACAGAGUGAACUCAGCAGGAAACACUCAAUUUCAACCUACGUAGGACCAGGAAUUUCAACCAAAAAAAAAGUGUGCAAUUGCUUAUCCUAUCCUAUUGCUACUAGAAAGAAAGUGAACAAUUAAUUUCAGUGAAUAAAUUAAAAAAAAAAUUACUUCUGCAGAUACUCAAGCUAAGAACACAUUAACCCAUUAAAGACUCCAAAUUGCAUCAAACAAAUUGUUGUUAAACAAGUAAAACAAAGAAAGAGAGUUAAGGAAGCUGACCAAGUAGUAGGGGAGCUGAAGAAAGACUGCCAGUGAAUGUAAGAGAAAAUAAAAUGCAAGAAAUGGUGAAGUGCAGCUUUUCAUGUCAACUUGAAAUUGAGUUUUCUGUUUUUUUUUUUUUUUUUAAUCUUUUGGAUUUUUCAAACAAAGAAAAUGAGGAGCAACCAGGGAGAUAAAAAGGGCGCCAAGGCAACUGUGUGUUGGGUUUAGAGCCAAAAAAAAAAAGAAUAAGACAUCGUGUUCUUGUGGAGACCAGACCUAUUACGUAACGUCCCCUUCAAUACCACUAGUUCCGUAUCUGGUUUUUUCUUCGUCUUUUACAUAGUUUGCAAUUUUAUUCAUUUGAGCCCUACAGAUGAUAUAAGGGACAAGAGCGCAAAACAGAAACUCUGUCCACUACUGAUGAUAUAACAACGAACCGGGGUUUUUAAUUAAAUACCCUUUAAUAGUUUCAAAAUUAUUUAAAUACCUCCUCCCUUUUUAGUUUUCAUGGAUACCCUAACAAAAUUAUUUAAAAAUGGUUCAAUUUUAUUCUACUCUCAGGAAUUAAGUGUUGGAUAGACUAGAAAAUUCUGAGUACAAAGCAUCGCUUGUUUUCGUUGGUUUUUUUUUUGCAUUCCAGUAGAAAGGUUGUGUACAAUUGAAUCUGAUAACUAUGGCAGGAGGUAAGUUUUCUAACUUGCGCAUGAUGAAUAUAGUCUUUUAUUUCUUCCAUUGUAAUUUUUGUUUAAUAGAAAAUCUAUUUGAGAUUUUGUGAGAAGAAACUCAACAAUAAAGUUUGAUAGACUUUGUGGAUAUUAAGAGUUUGACAAGUAAUUGAAAUCUGAAGUUUACUGAAGUUUACGAGCAAACAAACUGAAAUCCGAAGUUUACUGAAGUUUACUAUCAAGAGUUUCAAAACAGUGAAAAAGAUGAUAUGGUUGAUGACAAAAACCUGAGUUAUCCAUAGCGACAAGUAACAUACUGAAGUAAGCCGUGGGGAGCUGGCCUGUUCAUGGGCUAUUUUUCUCUGAUGAUCUGCAUUUUUCUUCCUUUUAAGUGAACCUUGACUCGUAUCAAACCUGUCAAAAGAACAGUUCAUCAACUGAGCUGAGAUUUGCUUUCCUUUUUCAAAACCCACCUGAGAUAUUGUAAUUCCCAAAUUUCUCUCUCUCAGCUACACGAGCAAGCAGCCGCUUUUUCACUUCAUCGACGAAGGUAAGCGAUAAUAUCUAUUUCGUCCGAUUGAUUUCUUGUUUCCUUUUCAGUGUUCGGGUAAAUUAUUGGCAUGCCUGACUUUUUGACCAUUACAUGAUUCAUAAAUUUAUAUUAAUUUUGAUUUUGAGUUGACCGGUUACUUUUAUUGGUUUGCUUACUUUGACUAGGUGACCGAUUUCUUGUAACUAAAUUUAUGACGUGAUGCAGGAAGCUGGGCAGGAUAUGAAAUGAGAAUCUUAUUAGUGGAAGGAUUGCCAGUAACAGAACCCAAAGAAAAUGAAACCAUUUCAAGGCAGCAGUUGGCAGUUGGGAGUGAAUGGAGGCCCCUGACAAAACUUCAGUAAACUUCAGAUUUCAGUUUGUUUGCUCGAAACUUGCAUGGUGACAAGGAUACUGGCAAGGAUAAUGAGAUAGUUUUUGUGUGAAUGAAAUUACGAUCAUCCUCAGACUCAGGUAAUUUCUUCUCCUGCUUAGUUGUUAUUUGUUACCUAAUUAAGAAGCAUAAAGUAUCUUGAAUCAUUUUCGUUGUCUGGAAUAUAUGCAACAGUUUUUAAAAUUUUGAUAUCAGUGUAAUGAUUGUAAUUUCUGUUUUCUGUCUGUCAUCGAAUGUAAGACAACUUUAUUAAGAUUCUUGAACCGAGUCAUUUUUGACAAUUGAAGAACAAGUGCUGAAGAGUGGGAAUGCAAAAAGUUUUGUUGUUUUUAGCCUUGUUUUCUUUGAACCAGCGCCUGAUUCACAAGAGUUCAUUAAUUUGGCUUUUGAUCAGCUGAUUGAUAAAUGUUCAAUUUCUUUGGUGAUAAAUGUAUAUGUGAAGCAGGCAGCAGGGCAUGACUGUGGAAAAGAGAAGAUUUUAGUGAAAGCUGAGACUCAGAUAAUUCUACGCGUUUUGGCUGAUUUAUAUAAUUCGUGAAAUUUUAUUUCCAUCUGUUACAAGAUCAAACUGCAAUUAGCAAUUUAACAUUCCCUUAAAACCACUAGCUACAUUUCAUCUUUGCACAAUUACACUUAAAAUUCCACUAAAAGAAACUCUUGAGUUGCUCGCAAGCUAUAUGUCAUUAUCCAUUGAAUUCUUACCACAUACAUCUCACCUUUCAAUCAAUCACAUAAUAAUCAAUAUACAUAUUGUAAGAAUUCAACAAAUGGAGAACAUAAUAUACUAUAAAAGCAUCCAAAAUUUUUCCAUCUCAAAUUAUUACUAAACUUCUUGAACAAGUUGAAGAUUGGGGGGAAAAAGUGCAAGAAGGAAAAGCAUUAUUCUACUAGUUUCUAGGUUUCUCAUUUGAACAGAAAGAUUAAAUAAGAUAUUUGUGUAUGGCUGUAGUACUACACGGUAUCUGCUAGAAAGCAAAAUACCUUCUGCUGAUUGCACAUUGGAAUGGGAAUAAGUUGGUAAAUAUAUAAGUUACAUAAAUUAUUUUGGAUAAUUCUGCUGGUGAAUUAAUUAUCUUAAAAUCACCCUUUUAUUUUUUAAAAAAUCUUAAGUUAUUUUUCAUAUAUCUUAGGAAGACAAACAAACUUUCAUCAACUCUCCUUUUUUAGCUUUUCCCUUCAAUAAUGUUAGAAAUUCUAACAUUUGAGUCCUGCUUGAGCUUAAUACUAUUUAUCACUCAUUUAUUAGAUGAUGAAUUUUUUAAAUUAUAAAGUUAUUUGACUACCAUUCAAUGAAUGAAUGUCACAUCAUUUAAAACUCAAAGAAAAGUAUUCUACUUCUUGCGGCAAUCAUGCCUUCAUUCAGACUAUGAACCAUUUCCUUUCACCAAAUUCUUCAUAAACAUUGAAUAAGUUUCAUGGUUGGACAUAGUUAGCUUCUGUUUCUUUUGGUGCAUUUAGGUGCUAUCAAGUGACGGCCGUAAGUAUGAUUGCAUUAUUGGGAAUUUUACGAUUUGAUGGUUCCCCACGUUAUUGCCAAGAAAGUUCUCAUGUCGGAAGCAGCGGUUCUUUUCAUCAGCCUGAACCCGAACCUGUCGCUAUGGAUAACUCAGGUUUUUGUCAUCAACUAUAUCAUCUUUUUCACUGUUUUGAAACUCUUAAUAUUAAACUUACAGUAAACUUCAGAUUUCAGUUUGUUUGCUCGAAACUUGUAUGGUGACAAGGAUACUGGCAAGGAUAAUAAGGUAGUUUUUUGUGUGAGUGGAUUUUGAGAGCUUGUGUGUAUAGGGAUUUGCAAUUACAAUCAUCCUCUGCCUCAGGUGAUUUCUUCUCCUGCUCUGUCUUUAUUUGCUCUCUAAUUGAAAAGCAUAAAGUAUUUCAAUCAAAUUCUGUACCAGGAAUAUGUAAAAGUUCCUAAUAUUUUAUUUUCAUUUGUUUGCAUUGAUAACUUGACGGCAUAUGUACUAGUUAAAGAACAAACAGAAUCAGAGCUCAAGAAAAAGUUUUUUCUGCCAUCAUAUUUGAAAAUGAAGUCAUUUGCAGGAAGCGGUUGGCAGCAAAUUCAUACAAAGUGUAGACAAUGAUGAGCAAAAAAGGUGAUUCACAGUUUGAUUUUUUUUUAAUAAUGAAAAUAAUUUGGUAGGUUGAAGCUGAUAUUGUAAGAGGGCCAUUGAGCUAACCUAUGUCGCUACUUGCCAAGAUUGCAGGGCGUUAAGACUCAAAAGAAGCACUGAAUUUUAAAAGGCAUGCAAUAGUUCUUGUGCCAUAUGUCAAUUCAUGCAAGUUGGAAUAAGUUUAUUGGUUUGAACGCUGUUAGCUCCUUUUCCUUUCGUGCAUUUUGGUAUGCUAUCAAGUGACAGCCGUAUGUAUGGUUUGCAUAUAGCUGCUGCUGGGAAAUGUGAGGAUUUCAUGGCUGGCCGUGUUAUUGUUUUAAAUUAGAUGUGAUAAGCUGUUGCUUGGAGAUUCUGUUGCCAAGACUUUGCUCACAUCAGAAGCUGUGGAACCUCAACCCUUCUCUAGAUAUCAUCUUUUUCAUUGUUUUAAAACUCUCAGGAUUAAACUUGAGUAAAUUUGUUCGGUUGUCUAUAUAAUCAUGUAUUGAGUAAACUCUCAGGAUACCGAGCAGGCAAAUGCCAUAACUCGGUUUGUUCUUCAAAAACUUGUUUAAGAUUCUUGACAAAGCUGCAUGAAGUGAAUCUUGGGAGCUUUGAGGGUGAGAGAAAUUAGAGGGUGUAUAGGGAUUUGGGUUUAUUAGUAAGUUAUAUAUGUAUUUCGUCACUUAUCAUUAUCAUUUUUAUUUUCACAGAAAACCUUCUGAUGGUGCUAAAUUUUCAAACACCGGUCCGAUUCAAAACUUCAUAUUCCAAUUAUAUUCAUAAGACAAAUGGAACACUUUGAACGGCUAGUGUCCGAGCAUUGUAGUUUGAUUUAUUUUGAUGAAAGUACCUUUUGACAUUGAGAUUCUUUCAUGAUUUAAACAUUCUUUUUUAAACCAAAUUAUUAAAAAAAGUAACUAACAUAUAUUAUUUUAUUAGUGCUUUUUAAAUCAAAUAUACAUAGGAGAACUGUAAUUCUUAGCAAUCAAUUUUUCACUAAAUACACCUGCAAUAAACUAUUAAUAACAAAGUGAUAGAAAAUACCUGAUUUUUCAUACUUUCUAAUUUCUUGUGGUCCUAAAAUAUGGGCAUUUGUGUAAUAAUUAGCCCAUGUGGAUCUCUAUGCCAUGAGUUUGAUAAAUAGCUAUCAAGGAUCACUUAUUAAGCUGAAAAUAUUUGGAGGACAAAAUUGUAAAACUAAAAGGGUAGAGCAAAUAUGGCUAUCUAGGAUUAAAUAGUAAGUCAACUAUAUUUAAAGGAUAAAAUGUUAAAACUUGAACUGUGAUAUUAAAAAUAUCUCAACUAUUACAUUAUUAAACCAUAUGUUCUAAUAGUUUUUUUUUAAGCUUCAAAAUGUUCAGGAUUUUAGAUUGAAACAUUUUCAUUUGAAAUUAUUUGGUGCAGUCACAAGUUAAGAAAGAAAAAGUUGUCCCAUUGGUCAUUUCACAAAAAUGAAAGCCCUGUAUAACAUGGACUUGAAUGGAAGCCCAAUUGUUUGUGUUUGAUUAAUUGAUUUCAAGCUUUAUCGGAUCUUUGGACCUGGAUACUUUACCGCGGCCUCUAAGCGCUAUAAUUUUUUUUUUUUUGGGAUAAACGGCGCUUCAAUGAGGGCAUUUCCAAUACUUAACACUAUUUUGGUGUAACACCAACACUAAAAAUGUACAUUUUUCACACUAAAUUACUAUUUAAUCUCCAACCCAUUUGAUCUACCAUGAUUGUGACUCCCACUGGGGCCACGUUCUGUUGAUCACCCUCUCGUCACCGAUAGCGCCUCCGCUUGUGGCGAACUUGCUUGUCUAUUUUCCCUAUUUUUCCGCUUACUCUCCUCAUUUAAUACGGAGGCUGCAACAUCAUCGAAAACUAGACUGUCCACUGAAUUGUAGUUUGUCAGGUUGACGAUGAGUUGUUCAUACGAAUCUUAUAGACUUUGAAGUAGAAGCUCUGCAUGUACAUUAUCCUCUAUAUUAUGACCCAACGUUGUGAGUUGUGAAAAUAGAGUCUUCAAGGUGUUGAUGUGGUCGGUCACCAUUGUAGAUUCCACCAUUCGAAGAGUAUAAAGUCUCCUCUUCAAAAAGAUUUUGUUGUGUAGUGACUUGGCCUCGUACAAUUUUGUAAGAGUAUCUCAUAUUUCCUUUGCUGUAUUUUUCUCUGCCACACUGGAUAAUACUCCAUCCGCAAGUGCCAAGUGUAGAUCAGAAAUAGCGUUGCCAUCUAUCUCAUUCCACUUGUCAUCAGUUAUCUCCAUGGGCCUUUCUCCAAUUGCUGCCAAACAAUUAUUUUUCCUCAAUACAACUUUCAUCUUCAUUUUCCACAAUGAAAAAUUAUUUCCGUUAAACUUCUCAAUUUCAUAUUUUGCUGCCAUUUUUUUGAUAAAUACCGCACACAAGUUAGUGUAUCACCUUGAAUAGUUGUCGGUAUGUGUGAGAAUGCACACCAGGAAAGUUCCCAGGAAAGACUGGAGGGGUCACACUGGUCCACUUAAAACUCAGACUCCUUAAGCACUUAUCGCGUUUGUAACAGAACUUUCCUAGACAUGUACAAAACCACACAGUUGCUUUUACUUACACCACUAUUUCCUACUUUGCAGUGCAAAAGUUCUUGGAUCGCUCCCAUCGUUUCUCGUGAACAGUACCAUAUACGUGAACAGUGCCACAUACAUGAAUAGUACCGUAUACGUGAACAGUACCGUAUACGUGAAUACUACCCUUUACGUGAACAGUACUUGACUCCAAAAAAUUCAACCAAUAGCUUUGAUACCACUGUUAGGAAAUUGGUAGGUGAAGCAGACACGCAGCUAAAAUAAAAUUGGAAGAAAAUAAAGAACAAGUACAAAGUGGACACCAAGAAAUUACGUGGUUCGGCUUUUAGCCUACGUUCACGGGCGAAGAUAGAAGGAAAAUAUUAUACUAGUGAUAUGAAGAUUACAAGUAUUGUAAUAUUUUGGCUCACUAUCCAAAACCCCAAUACACUCAAUCUCUCACUCAAUAAACUCUCAGGAGCUUUAUUAUUUUAAGCUCUUAAAAUCUCUCAAGCUUUCUCCUUAUUAUUCUCUCACAAAUUGUAUGCUAAAAUUAGGGUGGGAAGCCCUCUUUAUAUAUCCAAGAUUUUGGCUCUUUUUUUUUUAUAUAACAAGUCAACACGGCACCAUUAAGAAUGGCGAGCCAUGUUGAAUGGCAUGGCACCGCCCAUCUAGAUGGCCGGUGCCAACCAUGACUUUAACAUUCUAUCACUUGGAGAUUUGAUUGAGAAUCAAUCAAUCUCCACAUCAUCCUUUCUACUUCGCCAUAAUCAUGUUGCCUACGUUUUUACUAGGCCACAAGAGGAUCUACUCCAGUUAAACUUAUCAAUAUUGAUUGGCUUAGUCAAAACAUCUGCUAGGUUCUCCUUCGUAUGGAUUUUUGCAAAUUGACACUUCCAUCUUCCACUACUUCUCGAACGAAGUGAUACUGAACUCCUAUGUGCUUUGUCUUGGAAUGAAAGGCUGGAUUCCUUGCAAUGUGCAAGGCACUCUGACUGUCACAAAACACAGGAAUUUUCUGUUGUUUGUGCCCGAGCUCCUCCAAUAAUCUUUGUAUCCAAAUAGCUUCCUUGCAAGCUUGUAUAGCUGCCAUGUAUUCUGCUUCUGUUGUAGAUAAAGCCAGAACGGUCUGCAGUUUCCAAACCCAACUUACAACUCCUCAUGCAAAUGUAAACACAUAACUAGUAGUGGAUUUCCUUUUAUCAAGGUCUCCUGCAAAAUCUGAAUCCACAUAGCCCCUGACAGUAAACUCUGAUCCUCAAUAACAUAAUACAACAUCUGAGGUUCCUCUUAUGUAUCUCAGAAUCCUCUUCACAGCUAUCCAAUGCUGUCCACCAGGAUUCACCAUGUAUCGACUGAUUGCUCCCACUGCUUGUGCAAUGUCUGAUCUUGUACAUAUCAUAGCGAACAUCAAACUUCCCACUGCUGAUGCAUACGGUACUUGAGACAUCUCCUUCCUCUCUGCUUCAUUGCUAGGACACAUACUUGAGGAUAAUUUGAAAUUAACAGGAAGUGGGGUAGAAAUUGACUUACAAUCUUGCAUGUUGAAGCGCCACAAGAUUUUCUUCAAGUAGUUAUUCUCAGAAAGCCAAAUCUUUCUGUUAUUUCUGUCUCAGUGAAUUUGCAUCCCUAGAAUCUUGUUUGCUGGUCCCAAGUCCUUCAUUUCAAACUCCCUAGCCAACAGUGCCUUCACUUCUUGGAUUCGAUCUUUGUCGGGGCCUGCUACCAACAUGUCAUCCACAUAUAACAACAAAAUAAUGAAAUCAUUAUCUUCAAACCUUUUGUAAUAUGCACAAUGGUCUGAACUGAGUCUGUUAUAUCCAAGACUCAUGAUGAAGGAAUCAAAUCUCUUAUACCAACACCUCGGCGCCUGUUUGACACCGUAUAGAGAUUUGUUCAACCUACAAACCAAGUUUUCCUUUUCUGUUUCUGCAAAACCUUCUGGUUUGAGCAUAUAAAUUUUCUCUUCAAGUUCUCCAUGAAGAAAUACAGUUUUCACAUCUAACUGCUCUAGAUGUAGGUCAAAUAUAGCACACAUUGCCAAGACUACUCUGACUGUUGUGAGUCGAACCACCGGAGAAAAUAUCUCGUUGAAGUCAAUACCUUCUUUCUGAGCAUAUCCUUUCACCACCAAUCUUGCACGAUACCGCUCCACUUGAUCAUUGCCAUCACGUUUGAUCUUGUAGACCCAUUUGUUUCCAAUGACUUUUCUUCCAUGUGGUAGUGGUACAAGUUCCCAUGUCUUAUUUUUAUGUAGAGCUUCAAUUUCUUCCUGCAUUGCUGUCAUCCACAAAGCAACAUUUGAACUUUCUAAAGCUUCAUGGAAAGUUGAUGGCUCUCCAUCCUCUGUUAGAAGACAGUAUGCAACAUGGAUCUCUGUGACAUACUCCGAGUGCCACGCUGGCGAUCGUCUCUCACCAAUUGACCAAAGAACUUCUGGAGUCUCAGACUCGACUGGUUCUUGUUCCUCGUGCUCUGGUGCUGCUUUAGAAGAAUCUGAAUCUUCUAGAUUAUUUCCACAUAUACCGGCACAGUUUCUGACUUUUCUUUUACAGUGUCAUCAUCUCCAUCUUUCCUUUACAGUUGAUCUUCUACAAAAAUAACAUCUCUGUUGAUGACGAUCUUGUGGGCAGUGGGGUCCCACAAACGAUACCCCUUUACUCCAUUAGCAUAUCCCAAGAAGAUACAUCUUCUAGAUUUUGGAUCCAGCUUUGUUCUUUCUUACGGAUUGUACAUCACAUACACAGGACAUCCAAAUGCAUGUAAGUAGGAAUAAUCAGCUGGCUUUCCAGUCCACAUCUCCACGUUGUCUUCAGCCCAAUAGCUGUAGAUGACGACUGAUUUACUAUAUAACAAGCAGUUUUGGCUGCUUCUUCCCAAAAUGAAUUGGGUAGACCAGCAGUCCUCAACAUAGCUCUUAUUCUUUUGUAAGAGUUUUGUUCAUCUACUCCGCCACUCCAUUUUGUUGAGGAGUGUAUGCUACCGUGAACUGUCUAUGAAUACCUUCUUACUUACAGAAAGCAAGAAACUCACCGUCUGUAUACUCUCCACCAUUAUCUGUCCUCAAGCACUUGACCCUUUUACCAGAUUCAAGUUCCACCCGCGCUUUGUAUUCUUUAAAUACUGGAAAUAUAAUUGACUUUUUCAUAAUUGGAUACACCCAACAUCUCCUGGAAUAAUCAUCAAUGAAAGUCACCAUAUACUUUGCACCUCCCAUGGAUAUAUCCAGUGAUUCCCAAACAUCAGAAUGAAUCAAGUCUAAAAUGCAUUUACUUCUAGCAAUAGAUUUACUGAAUUUUAAUCUAUGCUGCUUACUUGUAACACAAUGCUCGCAAAAUGGUAAACUUACCGAUUUAAGCCCCGGAAGUAAUUUUCACUCAGAGAGAAUCUUCAAACAUUCUGACAUGUGACCAAAUUUGAGAUGCCACAUCAUCGUUGACUCUUCUCCAUUUGAUACGAGACACGCAUUAGCCUCCUAUAGUGUUUCUCCUUUAAGCAUGAAUAGAUUAGCACCGAUCUUUUCUGCCUUCAUCAAUACAAGCGCUCUUUUAACAAUUUUCGUAAUUUCAUUCUCCAUAUGAGUUUUAUACCCAUGACUAUCCAUUUGUCCCAAAGACAAUAGAUUUUUAUUCAGGUCAUUGACAUGUCGUACCUCCCCAAUUGUGCGAAUUGUACCAUCAAAAUUUUUAUUUUGAUAGUGUCAAUACCAGCGAUCUCCAAGGUAUGAUCAUUACCCAUAUAUAUAGAUCCUCCUGAGAUAUGUUCAUAUGUGUGGAACCAUUCUCUCCGAGAGGUCAUGUGCCAGGUAGCUCCUGAGUCUAUAAUCCAGACAUCAGAUAGUCGUUUUCUACCUUCUAAAACAGUUGUUGCCUCGCUUUAGAGAAUUUCACCAUUAUCUGAAGUACUUGCUACACACCCUUGAGCAUUUGAUGACUCAGGUUAUUUGCCCUCUCUUCUCUUCUGGUUACUCCAACACUUUUUCUUGACGUGCCCUUUCUUGCCACAGUUGUAGCAUUUAACAUUCUUCUUACUUCUGGAUUUUGAUCUACCAUGAUUAUGACUUCUACUGGGGUCACGUUCUGUUGAUCUCCCUCUCGUCACCAAUAGCGUCUCCGCUUGCUGCGAACUUGCUUGUCUGCUUUCAUUAUUUUUCCGCUUACUCUCCUCAUUUAAUACGGAGGUUGCAACAUCGUCGAAAACUAGACCGUCCGCUGGAUUGUUGUUUGUUAGGUUGAUGAUGAGUUGAUCAUACGAAUCUGGUAGACUUUGAAGUAGAAGCUCUGCAUGUACAUUAUCCUCUAUAUUAUGAUCCAACGUUGUGAGUUGCGAAAAUAGAGUCUUCAAGGUGUUGAUGUGGUCGGUCACCAUUGUAGAUUCCACCAUUCGAAGAGUAUAAAGUCUCUUCUUCAAGAAGAUUUUGUUGUGUAGUGACUUGGCCUCGUACAAUUUUGUAAGAGUAUCUCAUAUUUCCUUCGCUGUAUUUUUUUCUGCCAUACUGGAUAAUACUCCAUCCGCAAGUGCCAAGUGUAGAUAAAAAAUAGCGUUGCCAUCUAUCUCAUUCCAUUUGUCAUCAGUUAUCUCCAUGGGCUUUUCUCCAAUUGCUGCAAAACAAUUAUUUUUCCUCAAUACAGCUUUCAUCUUCAUUUUCCACAACAAAAAAUUAUUUCCGUUAAACUUUUCAAUUCCAUACUUUGCCGUCAUUUUGUUCAUAAAUACCGCACACAAGUUAGUGUACCACCUUGAAUAGUUGUCAGUAUGUGUGAGAAUGCACACUAGGAAAGUUCUCAGGAAAGACUGGAGGGGUCACACUGGUCCCACUUAAAACCCAAACUCCUUAAGCUCUUAUCGCCUUUGUGACAGAACUUUCCUAGACAUGUACAGAAUCACACAGUUGCUUUACUCACACCACUAUUCCCUGCUUUGCACCGCAAAAUUCUUGGAUCGCUUCCACCGUUUCUCGUGAACAGUAUCGUAUACGUGAACAAUGUCGUACAUGUGAAUAGUAUCAUACAUGUGAAUAGUAUCGUAUACGUGAACAGUACCGUAUACAUGAAUACUACCCUUUACGUUAAGAAAUUGGUGGGUGAAGCAGACACGCAGCUAAAAUAAAAUUGGAAGAAAAUAAAGAACAAGCACAAAGUGGACACCAAGAAAUUACGUGGUUCGACUUUUAACCUACGUCCACGGGCGAAGACGGAAGAAAAAUAUGAUACUAGUGAUAUGAAUAUUACAAGUAUUGUAAUAUUUUAAUUUACUACCCAGAACCCCAAUACACUCAAUCUCUCACUCACUAGACUCUCAGGAGCUUUAUUAUUUUAAGCUCUUAAAAUCUCUCAAGCUCUCCUUAUUAUUCUCUCACAAAUUGGAUGCUAAAAUGAGGUGGGAAGCCCUCUUUAUAUAGCCAAAAUUUUGGCUCCUUUUUUUUUUUUAUAACAAGUCAACACGGCACCACCAAGAAUGGUGGGCCGUGUUGAAUGGCAUGGCACCGCCCAUCUAGAUGGCCGGUGCCAACCAUGACUUUAACAUUAUAGUCCAAGUUUUCGAGGACCACUAUAUUGUAUUGAUUUAAAAAAAACUAAUAUUUUUAAUAUUAAUAUUCUAAAUUAUAUUCAGUUAAAAUAUUAAAUAUUAAAAACAUUCUUAAUAUUAAUAUUCUUAGAUGAAAUUAUUUUGCUGACUUAAGAAUAAAAUAUUAAAUAAUUUUAUUUUUCUUUUAUUGUGUAACGUGGACCAAAAAAAAGGAAAUGAAUUUAAUAAAACCUUCAUUCAAAACCUUCAUUCCGCCACCAUGCAUGCAUGUUAAUUGUUUCCAAAUUCCAACCUCCGUACUCUCUUGAGGAGUUUCCCAUUCAUCAAUUAUUAUUUUUUAUAAUCCAUACCAUCCUGAUAUAAUUAAACACCAUUAAUAAUGUACCAGCCUUUAAAUAGUAAUUAAUUUAUUUAGUUGGCCACCUAAAAGAAUCCUGCAGGAAAUAGAGGUUAAAAAUUUUAUUAAAUUUGCUUACCGCUGUAUCAUUAUAUAUAUAAAGAGUGAAAUCUAAAUGAAAUUUUUUAUCAUCCAUUCAGCAAACACUUAUAAUUCACAAAUAGUGAAUCUAUGCAUUGACAAUGUGGAUUAAGAAUUAUAACACAUGAAUUCAAACAUACCCUUGUGAAGUUAAGAAUAAGUUCAUACUUCAAAUGAUUUUUUAGCUAAUAAAGCAAUCAGUUUCAUUAAACGACAGCGUUGAAGGAAUUGUGCAAUUUUUUACGUUCUUUUCUAGACAGACGUUACAGAAAUGGGGUAAGUAGAGGGCUGGCCUCAGAUAUCUCACAAUUGUUAGUGAGAUAAAAUGUUAUUGUAAAAGGCGUUUAAUAGAAUAAUAUUAAUUCUUUUGCAUUGUUAUAAAAAUAUUUUUUUCUUUUGACAGUUCUGCAGGACAAGUGAUCAGAGCUCAAUGAAUAUAGCCGUGGAGGCACAGCAGAGCAGGAUUAUGAAAAAGAGAAGCUUAUUACAGGUCAUUCAAGUUUACUUGCUUUUAUAUAAUAAGUGUUUUGGCCGAUUUAUCUAAUUCACCAAAUGUUUUUUCCGGUACAUAUCUCCAUUGGUAUCAAGAAGAGGCAGAACCCAAAGAAACGUUUCUUGCAUCUUCAUAUUUGUGCGCAUUCAUCCUUUCAUUGAGAAUAACCAUUUCCAGGCAGCAGUUGCCAAUCAAUUCGCACGUCGAUGCUAUUCAUAGAUAUUAAAGACAAUGAUGAACCAAAGGUGAUAAAUCAUAAAUGCAUAAUUACCAAACCUCCAUCCUUCUCUCAUUAUGAUUUGAUUUUAAAUGAAUUAUUGCUUGGUAACAUUAUUUCCAACCAUUGCAAGACCUUUUUUUUUUUUUGGGAGAAAUUUCAAUUGAAAGUGAAACCUUUAGACAUUUACCUAAUGAAGUUAGUUAAUCGGGAGGGUGGAAAAAAAAAAGUUGACGCAAGUCAAUACACAAUAAUGAUUAAUUAAAUCCGGAGUGACUAAAACAGAGCCACUACUUUUUCAAAAAUAUCUGCAUUCAUCACUUUCUCCAGCAGCUAGUCAGCUACACACGAAUCAAUUUCUCUCCUCGUUUGUCAUCCAAAAUUAUUCACCAAUACCAUGGCUGAUGCAAUCGUUUCCACUAUCUUGGAGCAGCUGAUUUCCUUCGCUGCUGAAGAGAUAAAACAACAGGUGAUCGAAGUUACACCCCUCAUAUUACAAAUACUUCCAAUGAUUUUAAUUGGUUUUGUUUUUAUCAAAAACAUUAUAUAUUUUUGCUUUUUUUUAUUUAUCUGAUAAUUUUAUAUUUUGAAAUUUGAAUUGAAUUUAAUUAAAAGGUGAUGUAGUAACCACUCAUUUUUAUUUUAUUUCAUUUAUAUUCUCGAUAACUAACCAUAUUUUGGUAACUUAAUAUAACUCUCGUACAUAAGAAAUGAUCCAAACCCACAAUUUUAACUCUGUAUAAAUAUUCAACGUUGAGUCAUUAAUUCUCAACUCAGCACUGAAUCCCAUAGCUAUUACUUAGACUCUAUGAAAAAUUUCAUAGUUUUCUUACAUUCUUUGAGUUUGGUAAGUGAUUUCGUAUAAUUUCUUUUCAAGUUAAAUUUUAAUUUGGUUUAUGAUAUAGUCUCUGUGCCGAAUUGUAUCUUUUAUGAUUCUUGGAUUUUGGGCUCCAACUUUUUAGGAUUUGAUAGUCACAUUUUAUGCCAUGCUCAGAUUGAUUUUCAUGAUUUUAACUACCCGUUAAGUGGCUUACAAUUUGACAAAAGUUUGAAAGGAAAUAUGUUUCAGGAUUCUGUUUUAAUUGACCUUUAAGUAGAAAUAGGAUGCUUAUAACUUAAUGUGGAUGGUUUGUAAAAUCAUGAAAUUCGGAUAGGAUUCACUAGAAAUAUGUACAAGACUCUCCAUAAAGUUUCAUAAUUUUUCAUUCGGUAUGGGGUGGUACAGGUGAAACUUGUGGUUGGUGUUGAAAAAGAAGUGAAAAGCAAGUUGUGCUCGAUGAUGCAGAGGAAAAGCAAGUGAAGGACAAAGCUGUUAGUCUUUGGCUGGGUAGACUCAAGUACGCAUCCUACGACAUUGAAGAUGUGUUGGAUGAGUGGAUCACAGCAAGACGCAAAUUGCAAAUUGAGGGUGGCGUUGAUGAAAAUGCUCUUGUUGUUCCUCAUAAGAAAAAGAAGGUAUGUCUCUACUUUCCCGGCUCUUGUUUUGGAUUCAAACAAGAAGAAUUUGGUUUCAAACAAGUCUUUCUCCGUCAUGACAUUGCCGACAAGAUCAAAGAAAUCAAUGAAGAGCUACAUGAUAUUGCCGCUCAAAAAGACAUGUUUGAUCUUGUUAAGAGUGGCAAUAAAAGUAGUGAAAGACCAAGGCGUGUACAGAGUACCUCCUUGAUUGAUGAAGAAGAGAUUUGUGGCAGAGUUGGUGAGAGGAAUGAACUCUUAAGCAAGCUGUUGUGUGAGAGUAGCGAGCAACAAAAAGGCCUUCAUAUCAUCUCAAUCGUUGGUAUGGGAGGCAUAGGGAAAACAACUCUUGCACAACUAGCUUGUAAUCAUGACGAGGUGAAGAGAAAGUUCGACAAAAUUCUGUGGGUGUGUGUAUCAGAAACUUUUGAGGAGUUUAGGGUUGCCAAAGCGAUCGUUGAAGUUUUGGAUGGUCGUGAAUCUCAUUUAGCUGAAUUCCAUUCUCUUCUUAUAAGUAUUGAUAAAUCUAUUGCGGGAAAGAGAUUUCUUCUUGUCUUAGAUGACGUAUGGGACGGAGAUUACAUUAAGUGGGAACCGUUCUACCGUUCCCUAAAGAAUGGUCUCCAAGGAAGUAAAAUUUUGGUUACUACACGUAAGGAGUCAAUUGCGUUUAUGAUGGGAUCCAUUGAUAUUAUCUCUAUCAAGGGAUUGGCCGAAGAAGAAUGUUGGUCGUUGUUUAAGCGGUUAGCAUUUUUCGGUCGAUCCAUUGAGGAAUGUGGAAGAUUGGAACAAAUUGGACAAAGAAUUGCAGGAAAGUGUAAAGGCUUACCUCUUGCAGCAAAGGUAAUAGGGAGUCUCAUGCGUUCUAAAAAAACUGAAGAAGAGUGGCAAAGAAUCUUAAAUAGUGAGCUAUGGAAAAUAGAAGAGAUCGAGAAAGGUGUUCUAACUCCUUUGUGGUUGAGUUAUAACGAUUUGUCAUCUCGAGUAAAAAGAUGUUUUUUAUAUUGUGCUGUCUUUCCAAAAGACUACAAUAUAAAAAAAGACAAACUAAUUACAUUAUGGAUGGCUCAAGGUUAUCUUAAUGCAGAACAAAAUGAAGAGAUGAAGACAAUAGGUGAAGAGUAUUUUGGCAUCUUAGCUUCUCGCUCUUUCUUUCAGGAGUUUACGAAAAGUUAUGAUAAUCGUAUUAUAUGGUGCAAGAUGCAUGAUAUGGUGCAUGAUUUUGCCCGAUUUGUAAGUCAAAAUGAAUGUUUUUCGAUGGAAAUUAACGGCAGUGAGGAACCAAACGCCACAAACUCUCCUCAUGGGAAGCUUCGUCAUUUAAUGUUAAUCAUUGGUGAAGGGGCUUCAUUUCCUGUCUCCACUUGUAGAGUCAAAAGAAUGCGAAGCCUCUUAAUUGAUAGUAGCAGAUUUGAUUAUCAGUCGUUAAAUGGUGAGAUCCUAGAAGAAUUAUUGAGGGAAUUGACAAGUUUAAGGGCAUUCGAUUUUUGCAGAUCGGACCACACACGAUUGGGUUUCACUCUAGAGAUUCCAAGAAAUAUAAAAAAGCUGAUACAUUUAAGAUACCUUAAUUUGUCUGGUCAGAAAAUAGAGAAGCUACCGGAGGCAUUGUGCGAGCUAUAUAAUCUAGAGAAGUUAGAUAUUUGUGGUUGUUGGUGUCUUAAAGAAUUACCUGAAGGGAUUGGGAAGUUAAUAAACAUGAAGCAUUUACUAAAUAGAAAUACCGAUUCUGUAAGGUACAUGCCAGUAGGGAUUGCGAGAUUAAAGAGUCUUCAGACAUUGGAAGAGGUCAGUGUGAGUGGAAGAGGAUGUCUUGAUGGUAGGAAAGCAUGUAGGCUCGAAUCUCUUAAAAACUUGGAACACCUUCAAAUAUGCGGUAUACGUGGACUGGGUGAUGUAUCAGACGUGGGCGAGGCUAAGCGAUUAGAACUUGACAAAAAUAAAUACCUCUUCAGUUUGACCCUUUGGUUUGAUAAGAAGGAGGAAGAAGGAGAAAGGAGGAAGAACGAGGACGAUCAACUUCUUCUUGAAGCCCUGCAACCACCUCUGGAUUUAAAGAAAUUAACGAUAUGGUCAUACAGAGGCAACACUGUUUUCCCCAGCUGGAUGAUGUCAUUAACCAAUUUAAGGAGUUUAGGUCUCUGUUACUGCAAAAAUUGUGAGCAGCUGCCUCCUUUGGGAAAAUUGCCAUCCCUUGAAACGCUCCACAUAUUGGGCAUGAAUAGUGUGAAAAGAGCGGGUAAUGAAUUUUGGGGUAUAGAAAGUAAUCACCAUGACUCAUCUUCAUCUUCAUUUUCAUCAGUUAUUAUUGCCUACCCCAAAUUAAUAUCACUUUCAAUUCAUUGUCUGACGGAAUUGGAGGAGUGGGAUUAUGGGAUUACUAGAACGGGAAACACGUUCAUCAACAUCAUGCCACGUCUUUCUUCCUUGCGAAUUACUAUGUGCCCCAAACUAAAGGCACUGCCCGACCACAUUCAUCAAACGACAACACUGAAGGACUUGACCGUUGGGUGGAACUCUGAUCUUCUGCAAGAACGUUACAGCGAGGGUAUAGGAGAAGACUGGCCUAAGAUAUCUCACAUUCCCAACGUCAGGAUUUGGCAAGACGUAAUUUCUUCUCCUACUCUGAUUUGCUUUGUUGUUGUUUUUAAUCUAAUUAAGACGCAUAAAUAGCAUUUUGAUUUUGAGUUGACAAUUUUCUGGACCAGUGAUCAAGGGUGAGAAUGGCGCUAGGAUAUUGAAUAAGGCACUGAACUUAGGCUGAUGUCAAAAGAGGUAAAUUAUUGACAUGUGUAGCUAAUUUGACCGUUUCCUGAUUCAUAAGUCUACAUUAAUUUUGAUUUUGAGUUGAGUGAUUACAUUUUAAGGUUUGCUUACUUAACAGGGCCAGGACAUGAAAUGAGAAGCUUAUUAGUGGCAGUUGGCAGUGAAUGGAGGACCUUGACUAAAUUCUCAAGCGGUUGCACUGCAGUUACGCUCAUCCUAAGCCUCCUGUAAUUUCUUCUCCUGCAUUUUUGUAAUUUGCUAUCUAAUUAAGGAGCGUAAACUAUUUUGAAUCGACUUCUAUAUCAGGAAUAUAUGCAACAUUUUCUAAAAGUUUGAUAUGAGUGUAAUGAUGGUAAUUUCUCUUUUUUGUCUGUCAUCGAAAUGUAAGAUAACAUUCAUUAAGACUCUUGAGAGUCGUUUUUGGCAAUUGCAGGACAAGUGAUGAAGAGUGAGAAUGGUGCUAGAUUGGGGAUUAAAGCAAAAGGAGGUAAAUUAUUGGCAGAGAAUUGUGAGAGCUUGAGUGUACUGGGAUUUGCAAUUACAAUCAUCCUCUGCUUCAGGUGAUUUCUUCUCCUGCUCUGUCGUUGUUUGUAUCUCAAUCAAAUUCUAUAACUGGAAUAUGCAAAAGUUUCGAAUUUUUUAUUUCUAUCUGCUUGCAUUGAUAACAUCACGGCAUAUGCACUAGUUAAAGAACAAACAGAAACAGAGCUCCGGAAAAAGUUUCUUCUGCCAUCACAUUUGAAAAUUCAUGUAAAAUGUAGACAGUAAUCAGCAAAAAGGUGAUUCACAAUUUCAUUUUUUUUAUGAAAUUGAUUGUUAGGUUGGAGUUGCUAAAAGGCCAUUGGGCUAACCUAUGUCGUUACUUACCUAGAUCAAGACUCAAAACAAGCAUUGAAUUUUAAAAGGCAUGCAAUAAUUUUUGUGGCCAUAUGUCAAGUCAGGUAAGUUUGAAUAUAAUUAUUGUUGAAGGGGUUUUAUUUUCGGUGUCCAAAUAGAGAUACUGAUUCUUUAAGGUAAUGCCAGUAGGAAUUGCAAGAUUAACAAGUCUUCGGACAUUGCGAGAGUUCCAUUGAGUGGUGGAUGAGGUGUUGAUGGUAGCAAAGCAUGUGGUAUGCGUAGACUGGAAAACAUGUAAGAUGUGGGCGAGGCUAAGAGAUUAGAGAUUGACCAAAUGAAAUACCUCUUUAGUUUGAGGCUUAAAUUUGAUGGUGAAGAAGAAGGAAGGAGGAAGAAUGAGGAUGAUCAACAUCAGCUUGUUCUUGAAACCUUGCAACCACCUCUGACUUUGAAGGAAUUAGAGAUAUGGUCAUACAGAGGCAACACUGUUUCUGCAAGUAGUCCUCUCUUUUCUUUUUAUUAUAUUUUAUUUAGUUAUUAUUUAUUAUUUAUUUUUUGGUUUACUCUGCUUCUUCUUUUUACGUUUCUCAAAUUUUGAAUUUCAUUACUUUUGAACAUACGACAGUCUGUUAUGUGGCGACCCUGGUUUUUAAUUAAGGUUGUAAAAUAUUAUUGUAAAAGAUGAUUUAUUCAAUUUGAGUAAUUCGUUUGCUUUGAUAAUGAUAGCAAUUUUUUAUUUUGACAAUUUGCAAGGUGAGAAUGGUGCUGAUUGGUGAUUCAGGAUAUGGUUCAAACACCAUUGAAUAAAGCUAUGGACAUGGUGGCUCAACUUAGCUAGAUUGGUAUCAAAAUUGGUAAGUUGGCUUGUCAAUGUACCGAUGCUUUUGUUUUCUCUCAACCCUAAUUACCUUAACUUCAUUUAGUUUGGCUUUGGAGUUGAGUAAUAACUUAUUGUUCAAAUGUUAUUUCCUUAUUGUUCUAAUUCAUCAAAUGUUAUUUCCUUAUUGUUCCAUUGAUAUAUUUGUUGCAUAUCAAGCAGAAACAGAACCCAAAGAAAAUGAAACCAUUUCCAGGCAGCAGUUGGCAGUGAAUUCAUGCAAAUGUUGAUGCCAUUCAUAGAUGUUGAAGACAAUGUUGAGCCAAAGGCGAUAAAUCAUUAAUGCAUAAUUCCCAAAACCUCCAUCCUUCUCUCAUUGUAAUUUGAUUUGAAAUGAAUAAUUGCUAGGUAAUUGAAGCCAAUGUUGUUAAAGACCGUGUUGAGCUACCCAAGCUAAGAAGUUACUUGCCAAAAAAUGCAGGGGAUCAAAAGAAGCAUUGCAUUUGAAAAGGCAUGAGAUUCUGGUGGCUACAUGUCAACUCAUAUAUGUUUGAAUAAGUUUGAUCGUUCAAGAUUGUUAGCUUCUGUUUAAAUUUGUGCUACUGCGGUGCUACAAUGCUGCUACUGGGAAAUUUGAAUCCCAUAUUAGACUUUCCUCACAUCAGAAGCUGUGGAUCUUCGGACAUCAGGUUUUUUCACAGUUCUGAAACACUCAGGAUUAAACUCUAUUAAAGUGUUGUAGUUAUCUUGUUGUCAGAAUUCCCAUAUUAUUAUCUUUUUCAUGUAAAAUUAUCUUGUUGUCUUCGCCCAUGAAUCUAAGCUAAAAUUUGAACCAAUUGUUUGCCAUUAUAAAUUUCAUUGUUAAAUGUUAAUUAUGAUGUUGGCGUUGAGUUUCUUUUAAAGUCAUAGAAGCCUGACGAUUGAGUUCCAUGGGAUUCUGAGAAGCAGUAAUAUUUGAACAAGUGAAGGUUCUUCUCUUUUAAUUAUGUUCUGCACUUUUACAGUUUGGCUUUGGAGUUGAGUAAUAACCUUUCGAGGUCGCGGCUAUAAAAAGGCGAUGCUCAAUUUGCCACAGAUUACAUGUAUUGCCAUCAUUGACAAUUUUCUGGAUAAGUGAUGAAGGGUGAGAGUGGUGCUAGACUUCAGCCCUCCAGAAUAUUGAAUAAAGCUGUCAAAAGAGGUAAAUUAUUGGCAUGCCUGUUAGUGAAUUGGAUAAAGCUGGAGCAGAGCAUGAUGUUGCUGUAUAGCUGGAGCAGAGCAUGUUGUUGCUGUGUAGCUGGUUGUAGCAGAUCAACUCACUGAGCUGACCUGUCAAAGCUGGAGCAGAGCAGAGCAGAGCGGAUAAAGCUGGAGCAGAGCAGAGCGGAUAAAGCUGGAGCAGAGCAGAGCAUGAUGUUGCUGUAUAGCUGGAGCAGAGCAUGCUGUUGCUGUGUAGCUGGAGCAGAGCAUGCUGUUGCUGUGUAGCUGGUUGUAGCAGAUCAACUCACUGAGCUGACCUGUCAAAGUUAGUUAGCUGGUUGAGCUGAUGUGUAAAGUUAGUUAUGCAGCAAAUGGUUAUGUGAUGUAACAAACUCGUGUGUGUAGUGAAGAUUGUAGCUUAGUAUAAAUGUCAAUCAGUAUUCAUUAAGUUGAAAUAUCUGAGGAUAAUAAAAAGGUUCUUUAGAGUUCUCUUUCAUUUUCUUUUACUUUCUUGCUUGCCAAACAAUAUAGAACUAAGUUUCUUUCAUGGUAUCAGAGCCAUAAAUGGCAAAUACAGUUCAAAACAACAACUCUUUUAGUUUUGUUACGCCUGUAAAGCUAGAUCAAAACAACUAUAUUUUGUGGCGCACACAAAUUCUAGCUUCGAUCAAAGGAAAUGGUUUGGAAGGUUUUAUCAAUGGUGAUCGAGAAUGUCCUGAGCAGUUUCUUUCUUCUGGCAACAACAAUGGAGCUGAAAUCUUAACUGAAUCUGGAUCCAGAUCUGUUACUGAAUCUGGAUCCAGAUCUGUUACUGAAUCUGGAUCCAGAUCUGUUAAUCCAGAGUUCGUAGCUUGGAUGAAGGCUGAUCAACUUCUGCUGAGUUGGAUGAUGUCAUCGAUACAACAAAAUCUGCUUGCUACUAUGAUUGACUCAACAACCUCAAAACAGCUUUGGGAGACUCUUGCUAGUAUGUUUAUCUCUCAAUCACAGGCUAGAAUUCAAACACUUAGAAUGCAGAUUCAAACUAUUAAGAAAGGUGCAAUGCAUAUGUCUGAUUACUUUGUAAAAGUAAAACGUAUAGCUGAUACUUUAGCUCUAGCUGGAAAACCUGUUGAGUUAAAUGAUCUUGUGAUGCAUGUAUUAACUGGUCUUGAUUCAUCAGAUUAUGAAUCUUUAGUCACUGCUGUGUUAGCUCGAGGUGAAAAGAUAACAUUAGAUGAACUAUAUUCUUUGCUGUUAAAUCAUGAAAAUAGAGUUGAGCAAAAGAAAGGAAAAAUUGCUGGUGAUGUGAUGCAUAACAUGACAGCAAAUAUUGUUCAGAAGAACUCAUAUGCUAGAAAGAAUAAUGGAAAUUUUCAGAAACAGUAUGGAAAUAACUCUGGAGGUGGUAAUAAUUCUGGAUAUGGAUAUGGUCAGUUUAAUAAUAAUAGUAAUUUCUCUGAAGUUGUUUGCCAAAUUUGCUUCAUACCUGGUCAUGCAGCCUAUAAAUGCAGAAAUAGGUACAACUCAUCUUUUGUUCCACAUAGGAACCAUGGUAGAGGUAAUAUGAAUGGUGGCGGAGGUUUUAAUCAAGGGCAAUAUGGUCGAGGAAGAGCCUUUAAUGGUAAUAGUGGAAGAGGUUUUGGAGGUUUUGGUUCAAAUGCUGGUUUUGGACAAAAUGUUGGUUUUGGUAAUGCCCCCAGGGGUUUUGGCUAUCAAGGAAAUAUAGUAUAUCCAGAGAGCAACCCAUCUGCUUAUUUCUCAUUCAACCCUGGAUCAUCUAAUUUUGUUUCUGGUCUAGGACAUAAUAAUCUGGAACAGUCAAGUGCUUCCUCCUCCUCUGCUAUGUCUUCUUCACUUCCACCUGAACACAUUGAAGAUCCUUCCUGGUAUAUUGAUAGUGGAGCAACAAAUCAUAUUACCAACGAUCUAGGUAAGCUUCUGGAUUCAAAAGUUUACACUGGUACUGAAAGGUUAUUUGUUGGAGAUGGAAAUGCAUUAGCUAUUACACAUGUAGGGUCAGUUGUGCUAAAUACUUCAGCUUCUCAAUCCUUAUUUCUUAACCAUGUUCUUCAUGUCCCUUUUAUUACUAAGAAUUUGCUUAGCAUCUCAAAAUUGUUGGCUGACAAUCCAGUUACUGUUGAAUUUCUUGGUGAUUUGUGUUUUAUAAAGGCCAAGAACACAGGGAAAAUUUUACUUGAAGGUGUUGCUAAAGGUGGGCUUGUAUAGAGUCUCUUCUCAUGCUGCUGUUCAUUCAGUCUUUCUCAGUUCAGUUGGUCAAAACAAAAUUCAGUCUCUUUUUGCUUGUUCUCCUGUUUUUAAUUCUGCUCAGCUCUCUACUGUUAGCUCUUAUGAGUUGAAUAAAACGUCAUGUCUGUCAGUUGUUGCAAAGGGUUCUAUUGAUGUAAAUCUUCUUCAUAGAAGAUUAGGACACCCAGCAUCUUAUACUCUCAAAACCAUUCUCAAAGCUUGUAACAACUCUACUGCUUUUAAUAAAGUUGACAGUUUGAAAUUUUGUUCAGCAUGCCAAUAUGGUAAAAAUCACAUGCUGCAUUUUGAUUCAGUAGAAACAAAAACUUCAGCACCUUUACAACUGAUAUAUGCAGAUCUUUGGGACCCUUCUCAUGUUUGUUCUACCCAAGGAUAUAAUUACUACUUGUCAAUCCUAGAUGAUUACAGUAGGUUUACCUGGAUUUUUCCCUUAUCAGCAAAAUCUGAUGCUCUUGAAGUUUUUACCAAUUUCAAAAUAUUCAUUGAGAAGCAUCUUCAACUUUCCAUCAAAACUGUACAAACUGACUGGGGAGGGGAGUUCAGAACAUUUUCAUCGUUACUCACUACUUCUGGCAUCCAUUUUCGACAUCCUUGCCCCCACAUUCAUCAUCAAAAUGGAAAAAUUGAGAGGAAACAUAGACACAUAGUUGAUGUAGGACUGACUUUAUUAGCUCAAGCACAUUUACCACUCAAAUUUUGGUGGAAUACAUUCCAUACAGCUGUCUACUUGAUAAACAGACUUCCAACUCCAGUUCUAAACAGCAUUUCUCCUUUUCAAAAGUUGUUUAAUUCCCAACCAGAUUAUUCAACACUUAAAAUUUUCGGCUGUGCUUGUUAUCCAACACUCAGACCAUACAAUAGACAUAAGUUUGAUUUCAGAACAGCUAGAUGUAUAUUCAUUGGCUACAGUUCACGACACAAGGGAUAUCAGUGUCUUCACUCUUCUGGGAGGGUCUAUAUUUCAAAUCAUGUAACCUUUGAUGAAAGUUCUUUUCCUUAUGAGUCAGGAACAGAUUUUUCUUCAGUUUCUUCAAACUGUCAGUCAUCAACUCAUUCUGAGUCUUCUUUUAAUUCUUCUACUCCUUUUGUUACUCAGUUACAAGCACCUUUAGCAGCAUCAUCAGAAUAUCAUCUUAAUGAUUCUCAGUCACAUGCUUCUAUUUCCUUCCCAAAUUCUACUCCAGUUUACUUUUCUGAUAAUUUCAAUUCCACUUCUUCUUCUCCUUCUUCACCAUCCCAUCAUUCACCUCCACAUACCUUGUCACAACCUGCAUCAUCUGGUCAUCCAAUGAUAACCAGGUCAAAAGCAGGUAUCUUCAAGCCCAAGAUCUACUUGUCAGCUUUACUAGCUCAGAAAUCAGAACCAACCUCUGUUUCCAAAGCACUUUCUGAUCCUAUGUGGUAUAAAGCUAUGCAAGAAGAGUAUCUAGCUCUUAAAACCAAUCACACCUGGGAUUUAGUCUUACCUGCUACUCCAGUGAAGAUAGUUGGCAACAAGUGGGUAUUUCGAGUAAAGUAUAACUCAGAUGGUUCAGUUUCAAGGUAUAAAGCCAGGCUUGUGGCUAAAGGGUUUCAUCAGACACAUGGGAUUGACUACACAGAAACCUUCAGUCCAGUGGUUAAGUCCUCCACUGUUAGAGUUAUUCUUAGCUUAGCAGUAUUGAGUCACUGGGUUGUAAGGCAGGUGGAUGUUAACAAUGCCUUUCUAAAUGGCAUUUUAAUUGAAGAUGUGUACAUGGCUCAACCUCAAGGUUUUGUUGAUUCAACUAAACCUAAUCAUAUCUGCAAGCUAAAUAAGGCUUUGUAUGGCUUAAAACAGGCUCCUAGAGCCUGGUUUGAUAGGUUUAAGGAUGCAAUGAUCUCCAAGUGGCAUUUUUAGCAUUCCAGGUCUGAUAACUCUCUCUUUUAUGCCUGGAACAGUGGUCAUCUAACUGUUGUUUUGGUCUAUGUUGAUGAUAUUAUCAUCACUGGUUCCAGUCCAUCCAUAAUUCAACAAGUUAUCCAGAAUAUGCAUCAAGCUUUUGCUUUAAAAGACCUGGGGGAACUUCACUAUUUUCUGGGGAUUGAAGUCAGCAAAUCUUCACAAGGGGUUUCCUUGACACAAGCAAAGUACAUUGCUGAUAUUCUGGAUAAACAUGGCAUGACAGACUGCAGUCCUGUGCCAACUCCAAUGUCUACAGGCUUUUAUCUCACCAAAGACUCAGGAGAGCCACUUGAUAAUGUUUCUCAAUAUCGAAGUGUUAUAGGAGCUCUUCAAUAUGUUACUCUUACCAGACCUGACAUUGCCUUCUCUGUAAACAAGUUAAGUCAGUUCCUUUCCAGUCCUAGAACUCAACAUUGGGAAGCAUGUAAAAGGUUAUUGAGGUACUUAAAAGGCAUUAUCCAUCUGGGGCUGCAUUUCUACAAUCAAGGAGCUCUGCAAUUACAUUGUUUUUCAGAUUCUGAUUGGGCUUGUGAUCAUGAUGAUAGGAAGUCAGUGGCUGGCUUUGCUGUUUAUCUAGGUCCUAAUCUUGUUUCCUGGUCGUCAAAGAAACAAGCUGUUGUUUCCAGAUCCAGCACAGAAGCUGAGUAUAGAUCUCUUGCUCAUGCUGCUUCAGAAGUUACCUGGAUUAAAUCCUUACUUGGUGAACUUAGUAUCACAUUAAGCUCCACUCCUAUGAUGUGGUGUGAUAAUCAAGGAGCAAUUGCUUUAGCUUAUAAUCCAGUUUAUCAUGCUAAGACUAAGCAUGUUGAAUUGGAUAUACAUUUUAUCCGAGAUAAGGUCACUGCUAAAGAGGUUGCAGUAUGCUAUGUGCCUAGUCCAGAUCAAACAGCAGAUGUGUUGACUAAGGCUCUUACUUUCAAACAAUUCAGUUACUUCAGAAGCAAGCUGAAUGUUCAUCCUAAACAUUUCAGCUUGAGGGGGGAUGUUAGUGAAUUGGAUAAAGCUGGAGCAGAGCAUGAUGUUGCUGUAUAGCUGGAGCAGAGCAUGUUGUUGCUGUGUAGCUGGUUGUAGCCAAAGCUGGAGCAGAGCAGAGCAGAGCGGAUAAAGCUGGAGCAGAGCAGAGCGGAUAAAGCUGGAGCAGAGCAGAGCAUGAUGUUGCUGUAUAGCUGGAGCAGAGCAUGCUGUUGCUGUGUAGCUGGUUGUAGCAGAUCAACUCACUGAGCUGACCUGUCAAAGUUAGUUAGCUGGUUGAGCUGAUGUGUAAAGUUAGUUAUGCAGCAAAUGGUUAUGUGAUGUAACAAACUCGUGUGUGUAGUGAAGAUUGUAGCUUAGUAUAAAUGUCAAUCAGUAUUCAUUAAGUUGAAAUAUCUGAGGAUAAUAAAAAGGUUCUUUAGAGUUCUCUUUCAUUUUCUUUUACUUUCUUGCUUGCCAAACAAUAUAGAACUAAGUUUCUUUCAAUGCCUAGCUAAUUUGACCACUACCUGAUUCAUAAGCCUACAUCAAUUUUGAUUUUGAGUUAAGUGAUUAAUUUUCAAGGUUUGCUUACUUAACCGGCGACUAAUUUCUUGUAACUAAAUGUAUCAUAUGAUGCAGGAAGCAGGGCAAGAUAUGAAAUGAGAAGCUUAUUAGUGGAAGGAUUGCCAGAAACAGAACCCAAAGAAAAUGAAAACAUUUCAAGGCAGCAGUUGGCAGCUGGCAAUGAAUGGAGGCCCUUGAAAAAAUUCCCAAGCCGUUGCACUGCAAUUACGAUCAUCCUCGGCCUCAGGUAAUUUCUUCUCCUGCAUUUUUGUUAUUUGCUAUCAAGUGACAUUCGUAAGUAUGAUUGCAUUAAGCUGCUGCUGGGAAAUUUGAGGUUUUGAUGGCUGCCCAUGCUAUUGUCAGAAGCUGCAGUUCUUUUCAUCAGCCUGAACCUGGACCUGUCGCCAUGGAUAACUCAGGUUUUUUUUUUUUUUAAUCAACUACGGCAUCUUUUCCACUGUUUUGAAACUCUUAAGAUUAAACUUUAGUAAUGUUGUUUUAGUUAUCCAUGUAAUCAGGCUGAGGAUACUUAGCAGCCUAUUUAGGCAAAUGUCAGAAUUUAGUUUGUUCGCUGGGAAUUGGUGUGGACUGGCAAAGGAUGAUGAGAUAGUUUUUUGAGUGAGUAAAUUUUGGGAGCUUGAGUGUAUUGGGAUUUGCAAUUACAAUCAUCGUCUGCCUCAGGUGAUUUCUUCUCCUGCUCUGUCAUUGUUUGUUCUCUAAUUCAAAAGCAUAAAAUAUUUCAAUCAAAUUGUAUGCCAGGAAUAUGCAAAAGUUUCUAAUAUUUUAUUUCCAUCUGUUUGCCUUGAUAACUUUGCUGCAUAUGUACUAGUUAAAGAACAAAUCGAAACAGAGCUCAGUUAAAAGUUUCUUCUGCCGUCAUAUUUGAAAAAUGAAACCAUUUCCAGGAAGCAAUGGGCAGCAAAUUCAUAUAAAGCAUAGACAAUGAUGAGCAAAAAGGUGAUUCACAAUUUCACUUUUUUUAAUGAAAUUAAUUGUUUGGUUGGAGCGGAUAUUGUUAGAAGGCCAUUGAGCUAACCUAUGUCACUACUUGCCUAGAUUACAGGGGGUCAAAUAAGGCAUCCAAUAAUUCUUGUGGCCAUAUAUCAAUUCAUGUAAGUUCGAAUGUAAUUAUUGGUGAAGGGGUUUCACUUCCCGUCUCUAAAUAAAAAUACUGAUUCUUUAAGGUACAUGCCACUAGGGAUUGCGAGAUUAACGAGUCUUUGGACAUUGGAAGAGCUCCUUGUAGUGGAGGAGGAGGUGUUGAUGGUAGCAAAGCAUGUGGGCAGUGGGCUUGAAUCUCUUAAAAACUUGGAACUCCUCCAAGCGUAAGUAUACGUAUACUGGGAAAUGUGUUAGAUGUGGAUGAGGCUAAGAGAUUAGAGCUUGACAAAAUGAAAUAACUCUUUCAUUGAGACUUAAAUUUGAUGGGGAAGAAGAAAAAGAAGAGGGAAGGAGGAAGAAUGAGGAUAAUCAACUUGUUCUUGAAGCCUUGCAACCACCUCUGAAUUUGAAGGAAUUAGAGAUUUGGUCAUACGGAGGCAACAUUGUUUCCCCCCGGAUGAUGCAAAAAUUGAAGGAAUUUACCAAUCUAAGGAGUUUGACACUCUUUAAAACUGCAAAAAUUGAGAAAAGUUGCCUCCUUUGGGAAAAUUGUGAUCCUUUGAAAAUCUCAGCAUAUUGUACAUGGAGAGUGUGAAAACAGUGGGUAAUGAAUUUCUGGGAAUAGAAAGUGAUCUUCAUGACUCAUCUUCAUCUUCAUCAGUGAUUAUUGCCUUCCCCAAAUUGAAAUCACUUUCAGUUGAGGGAUUGAUGGAAUUGGAGGAGUGGGAUUAUGGGAUUAAAAGAACAGGAAACACCUCCACCAACAUUAUGCCACGUCUUUCUUCCUUGGAAAUUAGUGUGGGGUUAUGGGAUCGCACAACGACGUUGAAGGUAUUGCAGAUUGUGGCAUGUGGUACUCUAAGAAGACGUUACAGACAGGGGAGAGCAGAAGACUGGCCUAAGAUCUCUCACAUUCCAGACAUCAUGAUUGUGUGAAAAGAUGCCCGUGACAAAAUUCUCUAGGCGGCUACAUGGAGUACAAUCAUAAAAUGCUAAUGUGGCCACCCUGGUUCUUAAUUAAGGUUGUGAAAUAUUAUUGUAAAAGAUGAUUAAUUCAAUUUGAGUUAUUCGUUUGCUUUGAUAAUGAUAGUAAUUUUAUAUUUUGACAAUUUGCAGGGUGAGAAUGGUGCUGAUUGGUGAUACAGGAUAUGGUUCAAACACCAUUGAAUAAAGCUACGGACAUGGUGGCUCAACUUAGCUAGAUUGCUGUCAAAAUUGGUAAGUUGGCUUGUCAAUGUAUUGAUGCUUUUGUUUUCUCUCAACCCUAAUUACCUUAACUUCAUUUAGUUUGGCUUUGGAGUUGAGUAAAUUCUGGCCUCUUCCGAAAAAAAAAGCUUAAUUUGCUACUGAUCACGUGUUACCAAUUAUUUAAGGUAAUUCUCGCUUACUUGCUUCUGCACUAUAGAGUACGUGUUCUGGCUGGUUUAUCUAAUUCAUCAAAUGUUAUUUCCUUAUUGUUCCAUUGAUAUAUUUGUUAGAAAGUGAAACCAUUUCCAGGCAGCAGUUGGCAGUGAAUUCAUGCAAAUGUUGGUGCCAUUCAUAGAUAUUGAAGACAAUGAUGAGCCAAAGGUGAUAAAUCAUUAAUGCAUAGUUACCAAAACCUCCAUCCUUCUCUCAUUGUAAUUUGAUUUUAAAUGAAUAAUUGCUAGGUAAUUGAAGCCAAUAUUGUUAGAAACGGUGUUGAGCUACCCAAGCUAAGAAGUUAGCUGCCAAAAAAUGCAGGGGAUUAAAAGAAGCAUUGCAUUUGAAAAGGAAUGAGAUUCUGGUUGCUACAUGUCAAUUCGUAGAAGUUUCAAUAAAUUUAAUGGUUCAAGAUUGUUAGUUUCUGUUUAAAUUUGUGCUACUGCAGUGCUACAACGCUGCUACUGGGAAAUUUGAAUCCCAUAUUAGACUUUCCUCACAUCAGAAGCUGUGGAUCUUGAGACAUCAGGUUUUUUCACAGUUCUGAAACUCUCAGGAUUAAACUCUAUUAAAGUUGUUGUAGUUGUCUACGUUCUCAGGUCAAGGAUUCUAAGCUGCCGAUUAAGCAUUGCGCAUUUUCAUUUGUCCGAUUCAAGAGGAACGUCACAGAAAGGGGUAAAGAAAAGAGUAGCCUAAGAUAUUAAAGACAAUGUUGAGCCAAAGGAAACAUAAAUCCCAACCAUUGCAUGUGAACAUGAUCACAAUAAGGUCAAGAACCUACCAAACCAUUUUUUUGAGAAUUUUCAAUUGAAAGUGAAACCUUUUGAUAUUUACCUAAUAAAGUUAGUUAAACGAGAGAAAUAAAGGGGGAAAGAAAAGUUGACUCUAAGUCAAUACAGAAUAAUUAGUUCAAUACAGAAUAAUUGCUGUAAAAUAUUAAAUAGUUUUAUUUUUCUUUUAUCGUUUAACUUGGACCAAAAAAGGAAAUGAGUUUAACACGACCCUCAUUCUGCUUCUUGCUUUGGUUUCAAACAAGUCUUUCUCCUUUAUGACAUUUAUUGUAAUUUCAUUUGGAGACAUAUGUCUGUCGUUCAAAUAUAUUUCAUACGCAAGCUGUUAAUAAUUCUGCUUGCAGAAAGCCUACAAAGCAGCUGUGUGAUGUAAUAGAAGACCAUAGAUAGUCUCGUCAAUUUUUCAACAUUAGAUAUUCAGGUCAUCAGCUUCUCAUGAAUUCUUUCCUGAGUUUCUUUGAAUUAUUUGUGAUGUAAUAACUUGUGCAUUUGAGAAACUGUUCUCUUGAAUUCUUUCUUGAGUUUCUUUGAAUUAUUUGUGAAUAAGUUGUUAAUCGGCUGCUUCUCUUCAGGAUAAGGAAAGUGUUGCAAACUGGUGAAGCAGCUGAUAGAUAAAAGCAAUGGGUACAUCUUUGCUGGCAUGGAUCGAUGCCAGUGCGGCUGAAUUCAGCAAGACUGCCGUUCGUGAUGUUGUUGAUUGGGAUUACAUUAAGGAUGAUGACAACAUUGAUUAAAAUGGGACGUGAAGAUAUAUGGUGUGCAAAUUAACCCAACCCAACCAAACCCGUACAUUUUAUCAACCCAACCCAACCUGUAAAAAAUCACACGGGUUAGGUUAGUUUCACGGAUUGGGAGGUUGGUGCCCACCCCUAAAUAUAACCUCCAUUUCAGCACAAUGCAUGUUAAUUGUUCCCCAAGGACUUCUCCUGAUUCCCAUUCCCAACCUCCAUGCUCUUGAGAGGAAUUUAGCACCCAUCAAUUUUUAUUUUUGAAAACUCGUAAUGGUCUGAUAAAAUUAAACAACAUCAAUAAUGUUACCAGUCUUUAAAUAGUAAUUAAUUUAUUUAAUUUGCCACCUAAAAGAAUCCUGCUGGAAAUAGAGGUUAAAAAUUUUAUUAGAUCUGCUUACCUUUGUUCAUUCAGCAAAAACACUUACAAUUCACAGCUAGAGAAUCUAUCCAUUGACAAUUGUGGAUUAAAAUUAUAACACCUGAAUUCCAACAUAUCCUUAUGAAGUUAUGAAUUUGUUCAUACUUCAAAUGAUUUUUUUUUCCCAAGCUAAUAAAGCUACCACUUUGAUCAAACGACGACGUUGAAGGAAUUGCGUAUUUUCAAUGUCCUUUUCCAGACAGACGUUCGAGAGAGAGAAAGGAGAAGACUGGCCUAAUUAAGAUAUCUCACAAAGAUUAUUAUUGAGUUAAAAUGUUAUUGUAAAAGAUGUAUAAUACAAUAAUAGUAAUUCUUUUGCAUUGUUAUAAUGAGGCUGGUGGGUUUCCUCAGAGGAUGGAUCUUGCUCGCUAGUAUGCAUUUGGGAAGCUGCUAAUUAUUGGCCAUAAAAAGUCAGGGGGUUGUGGCUCUUCCGUCGCCCAGAAAUUCCUCAACUCAUAUCUCAAACUUCAGAUGAACUUGGGCAUUAUGUAAAUAUGUAUUUUGAGAAUUAAACUAGUGCCUUAGAAAAAAUUUGAGCCAUUGUAAUCAUUUUAUUUUGCUAAGGGAAAAUUUUACUUUGUGUUUCGCUUUGACUUUUUUUUUUUUGCCUUGUGAUAAUAAGAUUCAUACGAAAGUGAUUACACGCCUAUCAUGCAUCUAUUUUCAUUUGCUUGUCAUGAGAGAUCAACAUGCUCGAAAUAAUUACUUAGGUUGGAAAUAUUUGAAUCCACUAAAAUACUAUACAAACCCAUUUUAAAAUUAAAAAAAUGAUUAUCAUAAUACUUGUGAAGAUAACACGAUAUCAUACAUAAAAUAAAAUAUUUCGCAAAAAAGAUACGAUACAAAUCUUGAGUAAACAGGUACAAAAAAUAUUUUUUUUUGGUUAAACCACGAGGUACAAAAAAUAUUUUAGUGGGUUAAGUAGCACUAAUGCCCCCUUAUCAAAAAAUAUAGAAAAAUAACUAGUUUGAUUGGGUAUACCGUUUAUAUAUAUGUACAUAUUCUUGAUAAUGUGUAAUGUAUAUUAUAGACAAAGAUUUUGAAAGCAAUAUUUUUUGGUAUUAUUAUAUAAUAUUUUUUAAAAAGUUGAGAGAAUAGGCAAAGUCCAAAUCAACUUUCUAAUCCCUACCUCCUUUAUGAUUUAAACUUUAGCGUUUAGUGUCGCGAGCCACUCAAAUUUUCUAAUCAAAGAGACUAAAUUGCACGAAAUUGUGCUAGCUUAUUUGAUUCUAGAAAUUUCCAGUACACUGUAACACACUCUCAGGCUUGUACAUACCUCGAAAUUCUCUAGAAUUAAUUUACUAGAGUAGUGUUGCAUGUAGCUUGUACAUAGGUUUUUCUGGAACACUUCAGGUAUUACUAAGCAUGAGAGCUUUGAGAACUCUCUAGCCAUAAAACAUUCUAGGGUAUGUCUACCCUAAAAAUUGGGCAUGAUGCUUGCCACUUGAGCAUACAACAAGUAAGAACAAAUCAAGCAUACUUGUAAGCUCUCAAACUCUCUUAUACACACUUUUAUGAAUAAUAUACUUUCUCUUUGGCUAUAUUGCUCUCUCUUCUCUCUAGUUUUUUCGCAAGCAUCAUACCUUAGUUAGUCGAAAAGUUCAAGGCUUACUUUAUAGCUAUCUCACAAAAGUUGUUUAAGUACCACAUGGAUUUGCUGUGUAAAAUACUCAUCACAUGACAUUAGCUAAAUAGAUUUGUUUGAAAGCCACUUACCCAAACUAUUAAACGAAUAUUAACUUUUGUCUUAAUUUUCUAUCACCUAUGAUAAAAUUUAUAAUUAAAAAUUGAAAAAAUUAAUAACUAUUAGAUAGAGCAUUCUUUACUGUUAAAAGAAAUCUAUAUAGAUAGAUAGAUGGUAAUAUAAAAACUUACUUAUUGUAGUAUAAUGUUUUUAGUUUUUUGAAACAUAGAUUCUUACUUUUUUAAGAUAAAAUUCAAAGAAAACAAGUUAAAUGUUGUGGAAAAUCUUCCAGCCAUACAAGAAAUUGUGAUAGCUAAAUGCAAACCUAACUAAAGUAUUAGUUGUUUUAUUACAAUCUCCAAAAAGAUGAGCAAUUCCAAAAUAUUUUUUUGUAACAAUAAACACUAUAGGUCAGCAAUUAUCCAAGUCAAAAGCAAGCUACUCUAUUAAAAAAAAAAAAAACUUGUAGUGAAUCUGAAGAUAAACCAAUUUUACUAGCAAGUUGGAUACCAAAGAGUAGGGCUUCAGCCUCAAUUACUCAAUGUACCAACAACACAGUCUCGGUGAGUUAAAAUCAACUUCUACCACUCUUUUACUUGCUGAUAGAUCGAUUAAGGUACCAAAAGGAAUAAUCGAAGAUGUAUUAGUUCGAGUUGAUAAAUUCAUAUAUCCUGUGGAUUUUAUUGUUUUGGAAACUGAACCAAUUGCUAAUGAAUGCAAACAAAUUCCUGUUACAUUGGGUCGUCCAUUUUUAGCUACUGCUAAUGCAUUGAUUAAUUGCUGGAAUGGAGUAAUGAGUUUAUCUUUCGGCAACAUGACAUUGGAACUCAAUGUGUUCAACAUAUGUAAACAACCUCACCACCAGGAAGAUGAUGAUAAUGAGAAUGAGGAGAUUGAUUUCAUCGAGCCAAUCAUUGAUGAACACAUUCAGAAUAAGAAUUUUACAAACUCAGUGGAAAUUUAUUCUGCUCGUUCUUUUGAAUCGAGUAAGAAAUUAGAUUACGAUACUGAUAACAUAUACCCUACACUUGAUUCUAUGCAGGUACUUGCUGACGGUGACCAAUCAAACUUUAAAAAUACAGAACAAUCUAAAGAACCAAACGAAGAGGAAGUACCAGAGCUCGAAUUAAAGCCCUUACCGGAAGAAUUGAAGUAUGCCUAUCUUGGAGAAUAACAAACUUAUCCGGUGGUAAUUUCUUCCCAACUCACGCAUGAUCAAGAAGGUAAGUUGUUGUCUGUACUAAAAAGGCAUAAAACUGCAUUUGGUUGGACCUUAAAAGACAUAAAAAGUAUUAAUCCUUUAAUCUGCACACACCGAAUACACUUAAAGGAAAAUACCAGAACAACCCGUUAACAUCGACAUUAUCAGUGUAAACAUUAAAUACCAAAAUCAACCCCAAAAACUAUAACUAAACUAUCAUGACUAAAAUAAAGUUUUUUUUUUUUAGAUAUUCGUUGUAGUAUCUCUUUAGAUGACAAACAAGAGAUAAAAUACAUAAAUAUUUGCUGUGUAAAUAAAAAUAAAUAAUUUUUUUGAACUGAAAAAUAUUCUCAAAAACUAAAUAGUUCAAACUUUUUUUAACAUUAUCGGUUCUGGACCUGAACCGAACCGUGAACCGUAAACUGCCCACCCUUACGUAGUUGUUUCCGUUAACCGAUGUUGUAUUGCUGGUAUAAAAUUGUUCAAAUGUUCAAAUCACAGUCUCCCGCUCUCAGCUCAGUCAGAGUUUCAGGUCCAGAGACUUCCCGCUGACUGAGAGCUUUUUUGUAGCAGUUCUACAAAUAAUGGAGUAGAGCUGAUUUUAUGAUUAAUUUAUUUCCUUUUUCAAUUUCUUAUGAUUGCGAUUUAAUCUGGAAAGUUAAACGUGAAUUGUUUAGUGCGGAUUAAAUGUUCGACGAAUUUCCCGCAAGAGUAUUAAGUUAAAGAGAAAAAAGAAAACAAUUGAGCGUGAGCGUGAGCGUGAGCGAGAAUGGUGUUUGGGCAAGUGGUGAUUGGUCCGCCCGGCUCGGGAAAGACCACUUACUGCAAUGGCAUAACUCAGUUUCUCAGCCUUGUUGGCAGGUAACUUCGUUUCUUGAUUUCAAGCAGCUUUAUCUUUGAUGACCAAAAAAAUUGAUUUGGGCUUUGCCCAUUAAAUGAAUGUAAGAGCGGUAGGGAAUAACUGAGUUAUAGGAUUAGCUUUAAGUGAACAUUGAUGGUAACAUGCGCGUGAAGGUUGUAUGUGUUCAGUGGCAAGCUGUAUGCCAAUUUGGUCUAUAUGGUUGCUUAGGUAGUAACUUAUUAAUUUUUACGCAGGAAGGUUGCAGUCAUCAAUUUAGAUCCUGCUAAUGAUAGUUUGCCGCAUACUUUGUCAUUGAACUUUCUUACAAAUGCUGUGGUUUGUUGUAGUAUAAUUAGUUCAAUUGGAAACUUCCUUGAUGUUAAUAUAGAAAUGAGUGUGCUGUGAAUAUUGAGGACCUCAUUAGACUAAGUGAUGUGAUGAUGGAGUAUUCACUUGGUCCCAAUGGAGGUUAGUCAGCCUAUUGUUGUUUACUCUUUCUUGCUUUAUCACGCAAUGAUAUUCCUUUGCUUUACAACAAAUUUCGUGAAAUUAACUUCAAUCAAGUGGCAAUGUUCAUAUGCUGUUGAGAUUUUAUGGACAAUGAUUGGUAGACUUUAUAUGCCGUCUUCUUUCUUUUUGCAGUGAUAUGCUUGUAUUCAAUGAGCAUGUACUUAUUCUAUGGUUUCUAAAGUAGGUGUUUUUAUGAUAAACUAGGUCUUGUGUAUUGUAUGGACUAUCUAGAGAAGAAUAUUGACUGGCUGCAGUCGAAAUUAGAACCACUUUUGAAAGGUAAGAAGAGGCCAUUUUCCUUCAUUCUAAUGCCAAUAAUGCUGUCAUGAGACUCAUAAAAAUGUUAAAACGUUAAUGUUUUUGGUAUUUUGCAGAUCAUUAUCUUCUGUUUGAUUUUCCUGGCCAAGUUGAAUUAUUUUUUCUUCAUUCCAAUGCCAAGACUGUUAUAAUGAGACUCAUAAAGAAGUUAAAUCUCAGGGUAUUGUUACAUCUUACAUCUAUGAAGGGACUCAAAGAGUUGAGAUGAAUUCAUCUUUGUUAUUUUGAUGCCAGAAUUGUGCAAUUCUCAGUUGGUUCCUUGCACAUGCAGUUGACUGCAGUGCAUCUAGUUGAUGUGCAUCUUUGCAGUGACCCCGGGAAGUAUGUUAGUGCUUUGCUUCUCUCAUUGUCUACGAUGCUACAUCUGGAACUUCCCCAUGUCAAUGUCUUGUCUAAUCGAUCUGAUUGAGAAUCAUGGAAAGCUAGGUGUGGUUUUAAGUGUAUCUCUCCUACUUGUUUGUUUAGUUUGAAAUAUCAGAUAUUGUCACAAGCUCCUAUUUGCUACAUUUCCUCACCAAUCAAUUACUUUGGGUAUGUUGCAGCUUUUAAUCUCGAGUACUAUACAGAUGUGCAAGAUUUGUCAUAUUUACAGCAUGCUCUCGGUCAGGACCCUCAUUCUGCUAAGUACAGGUUUGAAUUCUAGCUGAAUCAAUGAUGCAAAUUAUGUUCAUUGCUAUUUCUGCUGUUGUUUCUAUCAUUUUCAAUUGUUACCUCCCCUUGCCAUCUACUGCCACACUGCAAUGCCUACACAAAUGUUAUGAAAUUUGUCAAUGGCAAUGCCAUCCUGUUUGUCCAGAGACAGCUCUUAGAUGCAAGUGAACAAUUUUUGGCUUUGGCCGUAGUACAGCCUUAGAUUUCAACUUGCCAUAUCUUGUCUCGGAAGUCAAAAGAAAGCGUAUAUGUUAGCCAAAUUUUAUUUGAAUUUAUUAAGUAACAAUGAAUGGGUCAGAAAAACAGUUCCUCUUUUGUUUUGAUCAGACUCAAUGAAUAAGUGUUUAAAAUGUGCCUGUCCUAAAAAUAUAGAUGUGUGGUUUCACAAAAUUUUCUUGAUCUUAAGAAAGAGUUAUCUUGAAAAGAAGAUAACAUGGAGAAUUCAGCAACUAUACAGUCAUAUUGAUGUCUGUCAACUUGGGUCAGAUGGUGUCGUUUGGAUGGAGAUGUUAGGUCCCAGAUGGUAUGCUUGUUAUCAAAUUCCAGUCUAAUUCAUUCAUGCUUUGAUGACAUAUGCGGUGCAGCUUCUUAUCUAAGACCUGUAUAUGUUCAGUCAUCAUUCAGUUCUGUAUUUGGCUGUCAUUCUUUCAAUGAAUUCAAACCACUUUCUGAAUACUUGCAAGGGAAAUUAUCAUUCGUAUACCCUAUAUUUACUCUGUUAUCAAAAAUACUACAACACUUUGAGGGUGUAUCAAUCGUCCACCAUAAGUUGACAAAAUGUAUCAACCGACCACCAAACCGUUAAUUGUCGUUUGAAAGUUAACGGAAUUACAGUGAAUUGACGAUUUUACCCUUGAAAAUUAUCACUUGUAUACCCAUAAAAUUCUCUUUUUAGCACUUGUAUACCCUUAAAUUAUCACUUGUAUCAUAUGAAAAGACCAAAUUACCCUUCUGAUGUUAUCAUAUUUAAACGGCAACUAACGGUUUGGUGGUCGGCUGAUACAUUUUGUCAACUUAGGGUGGACGAUUGAUACACCCUCAAAGUGUUGUAGUAUUUUUGAUAAUUGAGUAAACUAAGGGUAUACAAGUGAUAAUUUCCCUACUUGCAAAUUCAUCCAGUGUUGUCAUUGAGAUGCCAAUAUGUAAAGGAGCAAUAGUUGCCCUUGAUAGUAUGCUUAUUGAUUGCCUCUUGCCUCACUCAGCCUAAGGAAUCUGGUUGUAUGGUGUUCUUGUAAUUUCAUUUGGAGAUAAGUAAUAUCUGUUGUUCAAAUGUAUUUUAUAUACAACCAGUUCAUAAUUCUGCUUGCAGAAAGCUUACAAAGGAGCUGUGUGAUGUAAUAGAAGACUACAGUCUGGUCAAUUUUUCAACUUUAGAUAUUCAGGUCAUCAGUUUCUCUUGAAUUCUUUCUUGAGUUUCUUUGAAUUAUUUGUGAAUAAGAUCUUAGUUGGCUGCUCCUCUUCAGGAUAAGGAAAGUGUGGCAAAACUCGUGAAGCUGAUAGAUGAAAGCAAUGGGUACAUCUAUGCUGGCAUGGAUGCCAGGGCAGUUGAAUUCAGCAAGAUUGCCGUUCGCGAUGUUGAUUGGGAUUAUUUCGGAUAUCCUUCUUUUCACCUAUUUUCAAUCUUGUUAUUCUCAUAUUCAUAAAACAUUUUGGUUAUUUAAUUAUGGUUCAUCAUAUGCAUCUGCAUCUUCUAACUUGUUCGUUUGAGAAACUAAUUUUGCCGUUAGGUAGGCUUCAAGCUUGAUUCAUGCUUUUUUCAAAAAUGUACCAAAAUCAUGGAAACUUCUUUUUCCCAGAUAUUGUAUCCACACUUUUCCCAUAUAAUUGGGUCAGACAAGUUUUGCUUAACAAAGAUAUCUACAGUAGCCGAAGUGCAGGAGAAGUACAUUAAGGAUGAUGACGAUGUUAACUAAAAUGGGACGUGAAGAUAUGUGGUGUGCAAACCGUAAGCCUGCCUCUUAUUUUUGUGCAUGUUUACUUGCUUGUGAUUCACGUUUGUUAAUCUAUUUUGCUCUCUUGCAGGAGUUAUAAAGUUUUCAAUCAAUCAAACAUUUAACUCAAGUCCUUAGCUCUUCACGGCUUGAAUGGGUCAGAUAGGACAAGCGCCGAAGAGGUGGUUUUAAUCAAACCCCUCCUAAUUAUGAUGUAUGGUCCAAAUCUCGGACUUUCUGUACAAUAUCGAGCGAUUCGGACCUUUCAAGUCGAAUAUUGAUUUUUCUCCAGUAUUGUUUGUAAUUACAAGAAACGAAGUAAUGAAAUUUAUCACUGCGUUCAUAGUUAUGCUUAAGCUCAAAGAUUACCGUCAAGAUCAUUUUGGGCCCUCAAAGAAACAUGAUGUUGACACAUGUAAAAUUAUGAAGCUUGUGAUUAAAAUACUUUUGACAUAUAUAUGUUAAGUACUAUUAAUAAUUAAACAUAUGAAUAAAUAUGGUCAAUGAGGAGAGGAUAAAAUAAAAUGGUUUCAUUUUUUGAAUUACUCAACCGCUUCAAACUUCUAAGAAGUAGAUAUACAAUGAGUGGAAUACUGAAUUGAGUGCGAGCUGCGGAUAACUUAUAAAAUUGGGAUGCAAGCUUCAAGGAAAGUGUAUUGCUAUUCAAAUGUAGAUUUCAAAUUAGGAAGAUAUGCCAGCAAAUUGUAUAAAAAUGUAUAAAUUGAUCAGUAACAUUAAUUCCAAAUGAUGAAAUGAGUUAUCUUGAUCAAAAGGUCAAGAACCUACCUUACUUCUCUUAGAGAUAACUUGCAUCAACCGUUGUGGUAUUCAUACUUGUCUUCAGCUAGUAAAAGUGAAAGUUUCACAAUUGAAAUAAAGCUAAGGGAAGAUGCUAUGCUGCAUUUAUUAUUAUUAUUAUUGAUGUGGUCGAGAAGUAAAGCCAUGCAUAUGAUGAAGUAUAAAUAAGAAUGCAAUAGCCCGGAAUUCAUUUUCACAAACACUUCAAUAUCCUUUUGAUCACUUUUGCAAACAUCAAUUUGUCUCCUCUUGUAUUCACCAUGGUUGAUGCCGUCAUUUCCCCUCUCGUGGAGCAGCUGACUUCCUUCGCUGCUAAAGAGAUAAUACAACAGGUGAUCGAAGUUAAACCCCCCAUAUUAUAAAUACUUCUAAUGAUUUUAAUUGGUUUUGUUUUUAUCGAAAACAUUAACUUUGCUUUAUUUUACUUAUUUAGGCAUUUUAAAUUUUGAAAUUUGAAUUGAAUUUAAUUAAAAUGUGAUGUAGUUAGUAACCACUUUUUUUUAUUUCAUUUAAAUUCUCAAUAACUACCUAUAUUUUGGUAACUUACUGUAACCCCCGUAUCUAAGAAAUGAUCAAAACCCACAAUUUUAACUCCACAUAAAUAUUCCAUGUUGAGCUAAGUUCGAUGUUGAGGUAAGUUUUUGCAUAACAUUCAAGUUUGUCAAAUAGUCAUUAAUUAAAUGUUUAGUAAAAACUUAUCUCUGAAAAAUUUCAUAAUUUUCUUACAUUCUUUGAGUUUGGUAAGUGACUUCAUAUAAUUUCCUUUCAAUUUAAAUUUUAAUUUGGUUUCUGAUAUAGUCUCUUUACUGAAUUUAUAUCUUUUAUGAUUCUUGGAUUUGGGGCUCCAACUUUUUAGGAUUUGAUAGUCACAUUUUAUGGCAUGCUUAGAUUGAUUUUCAUGAUUUUUAGUACUCGUUAAGUGACUGAGAAUUUGACAAAAGUUUGAAAGGAAAUCCGUUUCACGAUUCUUAUGUGGAAGGUUCAUAAAAUCAUUAAAUUUGGAUAGGAUUCAUUAGCAAUAUGUACAAGACUCUCCAUGAAGUUUCGUAAUUUUUCAUUCGGUCUGGGGUGGUACAGGUAAAGCUUGUGGUUGGUGUUGAAAAAGAAGUGAAAAGCCUUACCAGCCACCUUCAAGCCAUUCAAGCUGUUAGCGAUGAUGCAGAGGAAAAGCAAGUGAAGGACAAAGCUAUUAGACUUUGGCUGGGUAGGCUCAAGUACGCAUCCUACGACAUUGAAGAUGUGUUGGAUGAAUGGAUCACGGCAAGAGGCAAAUUGCAAAUUAAGGGUGGCGCUGAUAAGAAAAAGAAGGUUUGUUUCUGCUUUCCCGCCUCUUGUUUUGGAUUCAAACAAGUCUUUCUACGUCAUGACAUUGCCAACAAGAUCAAAGAAGUCAGUGAAGAGCUACAUGAUAUUGCCACCCAAAAAGACAUGUUUAAAUUUGAGAGUAGCAGUAAAAGUAGUGAAAGACCAAGGCGUGUGCAGAGUACCUCCUUGAUUGAUGAGGAAGAGAUUUGUGGUAGAGUUGGUGAGAGGAAUGCACUCUUAAGCAUGCUGUUGUGUGAGAGCAGUGAGCAACAAAAAGGCCUUCAUAUCAUCUCAAUUGUUGGUAUGGGAGGCAUCGGGAAAACAACUCUUGCACAACUAGCAUGUAAUCAUGUUGAGGUAAAGAGAGAGUUUGACAAAAUUUUAUGGGUGUGUGUAUCAGAAACUUUUGACGAGUUUAGGAUUGCCAAAGCGAUGCUUGAAGCUUUGACUGGUUCAACUUCUAAUUUAGAUGCAUUGCAAUCUCUUCUUAUAAGUAUUGAUGAAUCUAUUGCGGGAAAGAGAUUUCUUCUUGUCUUAGAUGACGUGUGGGACGGAGAUUACAUUAAAUGGGAACCAUUCUACCGUUGCCUAAAGAAAGGUCUCCAUGGAAGUAAAAUUUUAAUUACGACACGUAAGGAGUCAAUUGUGAGCAUGAUGAGAUCCACAGAUAUUAUCUCUAUCAAGGAAUUGGCUGAAGAAGAAUGUUGGGCAUUGUUUAAGCGGUUAGCAUUUUUCGGUCGUUCCACUGAGGAGUGUGAAAAAUUGGAACAAACUGGUCAAAGAAUUGCAAGAAAGUGUAAAGGUUUACCUCUUGCUGCAAAGACAAUGGGAAGUCUCAUGAGCUCUAAAAAAAUUGAAGAAGAGUGGAAAAGAAUUUUAAAUAGUGAUUUAUGGAAGGUAGAAGAGAUCGAGAAAGGUGUUCUAACCCCUUUGUGGUUGAGUUAUAACGAUUUGCCAUCUAGAGUAAAAAGAUGUUUCUCGUAUUGUGCUGUCUUUCCAAAAGACUACAAUAUAGAAAAAGACAAACUAAUUACUUUGUGGAUGGCUCAAGGUUAUCUUAGUGCAGAAGCAGCAGAACAAGAUGAGGAGUUGGAGACUAUAGGUGAAGAGUAUUUUGGCAUCUUAGCUUCUCGCUCUUUCUUUCAAGAGUUUGAGAAACGUUAUGAUAAUCGUAUUAUAGCGUGCAAGAUGCAUGAUAUGGUACAUGAUUUUGCCCAAUUUGUUAGUCAAAAUGAAUGUUUUUCGUUGGAAGUUAAUGGUAGUGAGGAACUAAACGUCACAAACUCUACAAACUCUCUUGAUGAGAAGGUCCGUCAUUUAAUGUUAAUCUUUAGUAAAGGGGCUUCAUUACCGGUUUCCACUCUUAGAGUUAAAAGAAUGCGUACCCUCUUAAUUAACGAUAGUAGAUCUGAUCAUUCAUUAUUAAAUGGUGAGAUCCUAGAAGAAUUAUUUAGGGAGUUGACAAGUUUAAGGGCAUUAGAUUUUGGCAAAUCGUAUAACUCAAGUUGGUAUUCGACUCUGGAGAUUCCGAGAAACAUAGAAAAGCUGGUACAUUUAAGAUACCUUAAUUUGUUUUAUCAGGGAAUAAAGAAACUACCGGAGACAUUAUGCGAGUUGUAUAAUCUAGAAAAGUUAGAUAUUAGUUUAUGUUUUAAUCUUAAAGAAUUACCUGAAGGGAUUGGGAAGUUAAUAAACAUGAAGCAUUUACGAAAUAGAGGUACUAGUUCUUUAAGGUACAUGCCAGUAGGGAUUGGGAGAUUAACGGGUCUCAGGACCUUGGAUGAGUUCCACGUGAGUGGAGGAGGAGGUGUUGAUUGUAGGAAAGCAUGUAGGCUUGAAUCUCUCAAAAACUUGGAAAACCUUCGAGUGUGUGGUAUAUGUAGACUGGGUGAUGUAUCAGAAGUGGGCGAGGCUAAGCGAUUAGAACUUGACAAAAAGAAAUACCUCUCUUGUUUGAGACUUCGGUUUGAUAAGAAGAAAGAAGAAGGAGAAAGGAGGAAGAACGAGUACGAUCAACUUCUUCUUGAAGCCCUACAACCACCUCUCAAUUUAAAGGAAUUAGAGAUAGAGUACUACCGAGGCAACACUGUUUUCCCCAGCUGGAUGACGUCAUUAACCAACUUAAAGAGUUUAGAUCUCUCUUCCUGUGAAAAUUGCGAGCAGCUGCCUCCUUUGGGAAAAUUGCCAUCCCUUGAAAAUCUCCACAUAUAUCGCAUGGAGAGUGUGAAAAGAGUGGGUGAUGAAUUUUUGGGGAUAGAAAGUGAUCAUCAUGGCUCAUCUUCAUCGGUUAUUAUUGCCUUCCCCAAAUUGAAAUCACUCACAAUUUCUUUGAUGCUGGAAUUGGAGGAGUGGGAUUAUGGGAUUACAAGAACGGGAAACACCGUCAUCAUCAUCAUGCCACGUCUUUCUUCCUUGACAAUUGGGAAUAGUCCCAAAUUAAAGGCACUGCCCAACCACAUUCAUCAAACGACAACAUUGAAGACAUUGCGCAUUUGGAGGUGUGACCUUCUGGAAGAACGUUACCGCAAGGGGGAAGGAGAAGACUGGCCUAAGAUAUCACACAUUCCCAAUCUCCAUUUUGGGCUUUGACAAGUAAUUUCUUCUCUUACUCUGAUUUGCUUUGUUGUUGUUUUUAAUCUAAUUAAGAAGCGUAAAUAGCAUUUUGAAUCAAACUCUAUAUCAGAAAUCUGCAAUACUUACUUUCUAAUAUUCUGAUUUUCAUAUCCUAUGAAUAUACGAUUUUUAAUUUGUGGGAUGGGUAACGUUACUGUAAAAGAUUAUUAAUGCAAUAUGAGUAAUUCUUUUGCAGGACAAGUGGCCUACAUUUAGUUUGGCUUUGGAGUUGAAUAAUAACCUUUCGAGGUCCCGACAACCAAAAAACGAAACUUAAUUUGCCACAGAUUGCACGUAUUGCCAUUAUUGACAAUUUUCUGCACAAGCUUAGGUUGAUGUCAAAAGAGGUAAAUUAUUGGCAUGCCUGACUAUUUUGACCAUUACAUGAUUCAUAAGUUUACAUUAAUUUUGAUUUUGAGUUGAGUGAUUAAUUUUCUAGGUUUGCUUACUUUAACUGGGUGACCAAUUUCUUGUAACCAAAUGUAUGAUGUGAUGCAGGAAGCAGGGCAGGACAUGAAAAGAGAAGCUUAUUAGAGGAAGGAUUGCCAGUAACAGAAUCCAAAGAAAAAGAAACCAUUUCGAGGCAGCAGUUGGCAGUUGGCAGUGAAUGGAGCCCCUUGAAAAAACCCCCAAGCGGUUGCACUGCAAUUACGAUCAUCCUCGGCCUCAGGUAAUUUCUUCUCCUGCAUUUUUGUUAUUUGCUAUCAAGUGACUAUUUUAAGUAUGAUUGCAUUAAGCUGCUGCUGGGAAAUUUGAGGUUUUGAUGACUGCCCAUGCUAUUGUAAGAAGCUGCGGUUCUUUUCAUCAGCCUGAACCUGGACCUGCCGCUAUGGAUAACUCAGUUUUUCUUUUUUUUAAUCAACUGCCAUCUUUUCCACUGUUUAGAAACUCUUUAAGAUUAAACUUUAGUAAAGUUGUUUUAGUUAUUCAUGUAAUCAGGCUGAGGAUACUUAGCUGCCUAUUUAGGCAAAUGUCAGAAUUUAGUUUGUUCGCUGGGUACUGGUGGGGACUGGCAAAGGAUGAUGAGAUAGUUUUUUGAGUGAGUAAAUUUUGGGAGCUUGAGUGUAUUGGGAUUUGCAAUUACAAUCAUCGUCUGCCUCAGGUGAUUCUUUUUCCUGCUCUGUCAUUGUUUGUUCUCUAAUUCAAAAGCAUAAAAUAUUUCAAUCAAUUUUUAUGCCAGGAAUAUGCAAAAGUUUCUAAUAUUUUAUUUCCAUCUGUUACAAGAUCAAACUGAAGCAGAACUCAAACAAAAGUAUGCUACUUCUUGCGGAAAUCUUGCCUUUGUUCAGAUUAUGAAACCAUUUCCAUGCAGCAAAUUCAUCCAAAAGUUUGAAUAAGUUUCACGGUUGGACACUGUUGGCUUCUUUUUCUUCUGGGGUGCAUUUAGGUGCUAUCAAGUGACAGCUGUAAGUAUGAUUGCACUAAGCUGCUGCUGGGAAAUUUGAGGUUUUGAUGGCUGCCCAUGUUAUUUUCAAUAAACUAUUGAUGUAAGAAGCUGUGGUUCUUUUCAUCAGCUUGAACCUGAAACUGUCGCUAUGGAUAACUCAGGUUUUUGUUAUCAACUAUAUCAUCUUUUUCACUAUUUUGAAACUCUUAAGAUUAAACUUUAGUAAAGUUGUUUCAGCUAUUCAAAUGAAAAACUCAUUGAUUUGAGAAUUCCUUCAUUAUUGUUUCUAAUUACAAUGCUAACGAUCCAGAUAAAAUAAUAUUUAAUCGGCGAAGGUGUCCCUUGGAAGUACAUCCUUCUUUUUCUUUUAUUAUAUCAAUUCUUGCAAUGAGCUUAGUGAAGCUGUUGUGCUAAUCAUGCCACUGCAUAAUUUGGCCCCUAAUGUGGGUACUCUGUUACAUUGUUCUGCAAAUUCUCCAGAAGUUAAAAUCAAUAAAUUUUCUAUUAGCUCUAGUGCUUUGACCUAAAUGCUAUUCUAUAUUCUGAUUACAAUGUUUUAACCUUUAAAUUAACUACCCCUAGAUGUUGGAUUUUCUAGAACUUCAAAAUGAUUAAUGGAGAAAGAUCCCAUUAUCGUUAUUGCUAUAAGAAAUUGAUUUAUGCAUCCAAAGAUACAUUAUAUAUUUCUGUGUCUCUAUUUAUAGAUGACAUUUAAGCAUCCAUAAACCGUCAGACAGAGGAAGGGGGUUCAGUGCAAAGAUUCUGUUGACCUAGGGUUGACUGCAUAUGUCACUUGUUCGCAAUCUAUUAUUUAUUUUAUAUUUUGAAGAAUUUAAUGGGUAAUCCUAAUUGUUUGUUUUGGCAGGUAUGUGUUGUUAUCUCCUUCUAUCUAACAGUCGUACCUAAAUAGCAUAGUUUCAUCUGUGUUACCAUGUGAUGUACAUAAUUUCACAUUUGCCUCAGAUUAAGCUUAAUUUCCCACAGAAUAGAGCUGUCGCGACUGGACUUAGGUUGAUGUCCAAAGAGGUAAAUUAUUGGUAUGCCUAGAUAAUUUGGCCAUUUCCUAAUUCAUAAGUCUACAUUAAUUUUGAUUUUGAGUUGACUGAUUUCUUUUCAAGGUCUGCUUCCUUAACGGAGUGACCAAUGUUUUUCAACUAAAUUUAUCAUAUGAUGCAGGAAGCAGGGCAGGAUAUGCAAU
Molecule: long non-coding RNA, 94198 nt
Filed under: Citrus x clementina
Lineage: Eukaryota; Viridiplantae; Streptophyta; Magnoliopsida; Sapindales; Rutaceae
Description: Citrus clementina (C. clementina) long non-coding RNA (CCLE_LNC002338)
Source: RNAcentral